This 126110-nucleotide long non-coding RNA is filed under the name Coffea arabica (coffee). RNAcentral describes it as "long non-coding RNA (CARA_LNC001796)". Lineage: Eukaryota; Viridiplantae; Streptophyta; Magnoliopsida; Gentianales; Rubiaceae. The record is from RNAcentral.
AUGUCGUGAAUAUUUAAUCUUCACAGAGGAGGUGGCUUCCUGAUCUUUGUGGCUUGCUCAAAGUCAUAUGCGAUCUCUAUCAGUUUUGGUUCCGAUCCUUUUAGCCCUCCAAAGGAAAUGCCGUAUGGGGUGCCAUCAGUGUCAUAACCUGCUGGAACAUUUAUUCCAGGGUAUCCUCCGGCGGAUAUAGCAUAUAUAAUAUUUGCACCAGGUGUCACCAAGGCAUCCAAUUUAUUUUCCUUCAUCAACUUCUCAAAUCCAUUUUUGGACGCUCUAGUUAAAUUAAGCAGUAGUUGCCUUUCCGGUAUGCCAAUGCCAUUGGUUUUCUCUGCCGCCUCAAAUAUAUCUUGUCCGUACUCUUUUAUCUUUUCCUGAAGCACAAUAGAGUAGUCUUAGAGUGCCGUGUUUUUCUAACAAAGGCUAUGGACUGAAUUUUAGCCAACCAUUGCCUACGUUGUGAAUGAACAUGCCCCUAAACUAAAGAUUCUGUUACUUACCAACUUCGAGUGAUCCUUAUUGAAGACUAUUGCAUCGGCUAGAGAUCGCACAGGAGAGGUGAUCAACUGCUUUAGAUAAGCAUUUAGUGCCAGCUUGAAUUCCACAAUCACGGCUUUGGAUUCGUUAAUUAACAUUGAAAGUAUGAUGGUGUCGAAGCUGGCUGUAUCCACAAUGUCUACCAAUACUGCACCUCGUUUCCUGGUUUUAGCCAAAAUCUCAGAAUACUGUGUUAGAACUUUAACAAUAUUGAAAUAGGUUAACCAAAUCCAACCCAAACAAGAUUUUGUAUUUGCUCUGUGAAUUAACCAAAAGACAUGCUGGAAGUUUUUUAAUUGGGGUCCAAAUGCAAAGUUAUCAAUAAUCUGUUCAAAGUACAAACAAAAAUAUUGUGGUAGCUAGUCAUUCUGCUACUUUACUACUGUACAGACUUGUUCACACACUAGGUCAAUCACAAUCAUCUUUCCCUGGGCAUCCAAUGUGAGCUUUCAAUUAGGUACAGUAGAACUUCAAAGUUUAUGCUACUGAACUCACCUUAGAACGCGGAAGUGAGUUUCAAAAGCUUUCAAUGCUACAGAAGAGUUGCUGAAUCCCAAAAAGGAGUACCUUGGAAUCCCCAAUCUCUUUCCCUUAAGUCCAUUAGACUUGAGAAAUUGCAAAUAACCCCGAUGAGGAAUAUACUUUGAAGCUUUUUUGGUUGCUACUGCAUCAUCAGGAUCAAAUCCAACAAUGGCAUCAAGAACAUACACUGCAUCUGAAACUGUCCUGCAUAUUGGCCUGUUCUGUCCCAUAAAUAUAUUGUUAUGAUUUUGUAUCUAUUGUUACGCUUUCUUGUUCAUUUUCAAGUACUAAUUCACCUUUAUACGGUACGGUGAUGAAAUAGCGAUAAAAUAAAAGCAAAUUAAGCAUCUUUCAUUACCCAACCGUAUCCUGUCGAGGUGAAUAAGGGACAACACCGGCUCGACUUGUUAGCCCUACAGUAGGUUUGAUCCCCACGACUGAAUUAUAACUGGAAGGGCAUAAAAUGGAUCCAGCUGUUUCUGUACCUAGUGUGACUGCAACCAUAUUUGCUGCUACUGAUAUUGCUGAUCCGGUGCUUGAUCCACAUGGAUUAGCAGAUUUAAGGUACGGAUUCUACAUGGAAUCGAAACCACAACAUGGCAUUGUAUAUCAGUACUUGCAUUUCUAAUUGACCUAGAAAGGCUGCAUAAGGACUCAGAUUUUGAUUCCUAAACCACAAAUUUCUGAAAAAACAAAACAAAGAAAAAGAAAAUUUCUGACUCAUAUAGUUGCAUGGAAAAUUGGAAACCAAAUGGAGCAUGUCAGCAACUUACCACACUUUGGCCACGUCUAGCAUUCCAACCGUUAGGCACACCUGAUGACCUGGCAGCAGCCCAUUCUGUCAUGCUAGCCUUUCCUAAGAUGAUUGCACCAGCCCUCCUUAGCUUCUUGACCACCCCUGCAUCUUGAGGUACAACUGAUCCCAGAAGUGCAUAAGAUCCAGCUGUUGUGUUAAGCUUGUCCUUGGUUGCAAUGUUAUCCUUGAGCAGAAUUGGGAUACCAGCUAGUCCUGUCAUGGAGCCUGGCUUCUUAGCUUUUCGAUCCUGGUCUGCCUUGCGGGCUAAAUGCAGAGCAUCCGGAUUCACUUCUAUGACUCCAUUAAGAACUGGAUUUAGUCUCCUAAUCUCUUUGAGGUAGAAUUCAACCAAUUCCCGAGAAGUGAGUCUGUUAUGAUCCAAGGCAAUCCUAAUAUCAUGCACAGUAGCUUCUCUGAUUGAGAAUAGACUUCCUUCAGCAUUAUGGCUAAGGCCAAGAAUAGUAGUACUCCAGAAAAGUAGUAGCGCUAUAUCCAUAUGGAUUUCUAUACUGUAAUAUCUUUGAGAGAAACUAUUUCUAUAUACUGGUAACUAAGUUCUAUUUCUUCUUGUUGUAAUUCACUAGUAUAGUCAAGACAAUGGAUAUAUAUAUAUAUAUAUAUAUAUAUAUAUAUAUAUAUAUAUAUAUAUAUAUAUAUAUAUAUAUAUAUAUAUAUAUAGAUGAUAUAGUCGGAUGAUUCCAUCCUCUAUUGUUGUUUUCUUGGCCAUGUUUUCAACGAUAAAGACAUCCAGUUGACUGAAAAAAAAAAGGAUUUUCUGCUGACUGACUUUUGUUUUUGGUAUAGUACAUUUGGAGUAAAAACAUAAAACUCGCGGGAAACAAGAAACAGAGAGGGGAGAAAAUCCUAACAAUGGACAAUUCCGUUUAGUGAAGCCAAGCUUAAAGGUAAGAAGAUGAGGAAUCCUUCUUCACGCGGAAAUGAUGUCAAUCAAAUUGCAAUGACAGAGAUAUAUAUAAAUAGAAAAAGCAUGUUGCAGAUAAAAUACUGGAGUAGGUAAAAUUUGGUACAUUAUACUUGAGGAAGUUUAGUCGUGAAGACUUUCUUUUGAUUGGAUAAUUGAUCAACAAAAAACUAGCAGUCAAAGUAGCCAUCCUCAUAGUCAUUGUCAUAUACGAGCAAGAUAACAAUACCUCUUUAAAGUAGACCAUUAGAUUGAUGAUAAUAUUUAGGGCAAAUUCCACUUUACCCUUAUGUGGUUUAGCGUUUUUUCACAUAACCCCUCUAUGGUUUCAAAAGCUAUAUAUAACUCCCUUGUGGUUUGGAUUAAAGUGUCAAAGUGACGGGAAUGAUCAUUCAUAACGGCAUCACCUAAAAUGUCAAAAAUACCCUUAUGUAAAGUUGAAAUUUAUGUAUUAACCAAGGGGGUUAUAUGUAUAUUUUGAAAAUCAUAAGGGGGCAUUAUGGUAAAGUAUUAAACCAUAAGGGAGUUAUAUGGUAAAAUAUAAAAAUCAUACGAGGUUAAUGUGUCAUGUAUUUAUAAGGGUAAUUUCGAUAUUUUUAGAAGUUCCGUUACGAGUGACUAUUUUCGUUACUUUAACACUAUAAUUCAAACCAUGAGGGGUUAUAUAUAGCUUUUGAAAUCAUAUGGGGGUUAUGUAAAAAAGGGUAAAUCACAGGGGGGUAAAAUGUAAUUUACCCUAAUAUUUAUAACUGACAUGUAAUCCAACCUAGGUUGUCUGUACUGUACCAAAUACUUGGUCUUAAGUUUGUUUCGAGCAGUGUUUUGAAAACCGGAUCGGACCGGCCGGUUUGACCGGUCGAACCGCGAACCGGCCAUGGCAUCGGUCCGGUUCCAUGCUUAGGUUGGCUUUGGCAAAAAACCGGUCAAACCCGGUAAAAACCGCGAAACCCGUUGAACCGUAUUGAACCGGUUUUCGAGUUUUUCCUCUUUUUUUUUUUUUUUGCAAAAUACUUCUAUUAAAAUUCGAACUCAAGACCUUUGCAAUAGAAAACCAAUGUAAUAACCAUUGCACUAUCACAUCUUAUUUGCUUUUUUUGAUAAUUUAUUUAUAUAAAACAAACAUCUAUAUUUCAUUUUUUCAUUUUUCUUACAAAAUCUCAUUCUCUCAUGACUCUUUCUUUUUAAUUUUCAACUCUCUCUUUCUCUCUCAUCUUUUCUUUUGUCACUCCCUUUUUUAAUCAAACCUCUUUAGUUUUAAUUUAUUGAUGUUUUCUUCUAUCUUUUAAUUUUGUUUUUGUCCAUUAAAUUGAAAAAAUUAAAAAAGAAUUAUUUUUCUUUAACCCAAAUUAUUUAAUGCCACAACCACUCACUUUUAUCUCAUUUUUUGUUUCUUAUCAAGUUUACAUUUUUAUUUUCAAUUCUCUUGACUUCUUUCGAACUCCAAACUUUCUUUUUUAAAUUACAAUAUUUAAAUCUCAAAUAUGUAAAUUAAAAUUUAAGUUCACAAUGUCAAAUUCUCAUAGACAUGAAUUUUGUAUAAUUUCAAAAUAUUGUGAUAUUUUUGGGUUGGAUUUGAGAUUUUUUUGGUAGAUAUAAUUAAAAUUGAGAUGAAAUUUAUUUGUUUUAACUUAUAAUUUAAAAAAUUUAUUUUUGAAAAUCCAAAUUAUUCAAAAAUAGUGAACUUUUCAUCAUAUAAAAUUUUAAAUUAGUCCAUUGCAUGUCUUAUUUUGUGCAUAUAUAUAUUUAUAUAAAUUAUUUUUAAAAAAAUUCAUUGAACCGAGGUUGAACCGGUCCGACCGGUUGAACCUCGACCCUUUCAUAUCACCGGUUUAAUGGACGGUCCGGGUUUUAAAACAUUGGUUUCGAGAUAAAGUCUAUGAAAUACAUAUCUGCAAAUUCUCUGCAGUUUCAUGCUUUGUUUAGAAAGAAAAGGAAAAAUAUGGGGAAUUUUUUUUAAAUUUUUUGUUCUUACACUAGAAACACAUGAUUUCAAAAGUUUUUUUUUUUCAUGAUUUGUGAAGUUACUGGACGUUUUUUGAUUGAUGAGACUGAAGUUUGAAAUCUGAAUCUGAAAUUUAAAUGUUUAGUGUUGAAAACAUUAAGUUGUUAAAUUGAUUAAGUUAUAUCUGUUUGAUAACCAGUUGAAUUUAAACAUAGCAUAAAUAUUAUGUUUUUAUCUUUAAAAAAUUCUUUUAUUUGUGUAUAUAGAGAGAAAGAAAAGUGUGUGUGUGUGUGAGAGAGAGAGAGAGAGAGAGAGAGAAUAAUGAUUAUUUAUGUGUGAGCAUGUAUAUUUGCUCGUGUAUGCGCAUCUUAUAUGAAAAGAAAACAAAUAUGUACUUUGUGCAAGAGCAUAUAUAAGAGUGUAUUAUAUGUGUAACAGCUUUAGUAUAUGUAAUCAAUUCAGAAAAUUCAAUGAAAAAUUUUCACUUAAAACUUUGUACAUAAAUUAAGCAAUACUUAAUACAUUAAGUGGUAAGAUAUUUUAAUUAUCAAAUAUGCUGAAUUCAAAAAGCUUUAAAUGAAUUAUUUUUUUCGCAUGAAGUACAGUUAUUAAACAAGGCCGUCGACUACUAAAUGAAAAUUGUUAUAGUACCAGAUGUCGUUUACUUGCAAGCUGCCUCCUGGCAAAAUAUACACUAUCAGAGAUGUACACAUCCUCUCUGUGCAAAGGAGUUUCAAUAGUGAUCAAGGAAUUUUAAUAAGCUUCCAUGGUUCCACAGCCUGAAAGAAUGCAGAAAACUUGGAACAGAAAUAUCCAAAACGUACUACUGGCGAAAUUCCCUAGAAAACAAAACUAAUAACAUCACAAUACCCAAAUCAGAGACUUUUCUGGCACGGAGACCUUAAUCCUACAGAAAUUUUCCGGUGAAUGCAUGUGAGUUUGAAUUAAGGCCGUUAUGGGGUUUGGAGAGUAGGAUAGCUAGAGAAGCAUAGCAGAGUUUUGAUUCGGGCAUGGGCUUGGAAAGAAAAUCAAAAUUAUAAAGGGGAAAAAAAAAAAGAAAAGGGAGAGAGUUUAAUGGACAUAUCAGUAAAUUUGUUUCUGAUGAUCAGCUGAAAACUCACUUUAACUGAAUAUCAAAAUUAUUAUUCAUGAAUAUCAGUUUGCUCUGUAUUUACCCUUUAUAUAAAGAUCAGCUAAUUGGUUGGAAACUUAUUUUGUUACCCCUUUUCCAACUAAUUUUAGAAAAACACCUAGCUCCACUUUUAAAUGGUUAUGUAUUGUCAGCCUCAUUUCCAUAGUACAGUUUCUAAUUUGAAUUUGAAAUUAAAUUAGGGGCAUACAUUCAAUACAGUCUUGUACACACUAACAGUGCAUAAAAAAAUUUUAUCCUUUCUUUUUGGAUUAAAUUUUCAUAUGCCAAUGUAACUAACAAUUAUGGAUGCAUGUCACAUGUGCAAAUACUAAAUUUAAAAUUUAAAAUUAAAUUACCAGGUGUACAUCCAAUACAAUUUGUGUAUAUACUGACAGUGCAUAAAAGAGUAACUCUUUCAUUUUUGUUUAUUAAUUGUAAAAAAACCUUCUAUAUAUUGAUAAUUUUUUUCCUACUUUAACUUGGAAGAUUCUAGCCUUGUUCUCAACUAGUUUUCAAAAUCUAAUUUUGAAUUUUGGUUUUGAAAUGCUAUUUUGUUAUUUUUUUAGUUUGCUUUUUAUAUCCUGAUUUUGGAUUUUUUGACUCUAAAAAAAAUAAAAAAUAAAAGCAUCUAUUUUGAUUUUUUAUAUUCUCAUUUUCUAAAAUAAACUUUACACAACCAAAAACAAGGCCUCGCAGAUGAAGAUCAGCAGGGACCAUCAUGUUUUCAGCCUCAUAUGCAUCCUUGUUUGAAAUUCAUUACGACACCAUUUUGUUAUAUAUCUUUCUGUCUUUUUAUCAAUGCCUUGUGCCUUUCGAAAUAGCAGAUUCUACUCCUCAUGGAUAUCAUUUUCCAUUAUUGCUGUCAGUCAAAGUCAACACAGUUCAUCCAAUGUCGCCUACUAAUAAAUGGAUGAGUAAUGGUUCGAUGACAGACACUGUAAUUUACAAAAAUUACAGUCACCUGUUCUAACUGAUUCUCCAUAGUUUUCCAACAAUUUCCUUUGAUCUAAAAAUUUGUUAAAGUAACCCUAAUCCUGAAUGAAAGAAGAAAGGGUAAAUUAUCUUUUACCCCCUUUCAUUUGACAUUUUAUCAUAUAACUCUAUGAUUUAAAAAUUUAUGUAUAACUUCCUCAUAGUAUGGGUUAAAGUGUCAUAGUUAAUUUUUCUUUUUUAAUUAAUGAUCAAUAGUAAAAAGUUAAAAUCAAAAUAAUAAAUUGAUAAAUUCAUCCUUUCACUGUUGUUUUUCUUUUUUCCAACUCUUCUCUCUCUCUCUCUCUCUCUCUCUCUCUCUCUCUCUCUUUGGGAGAUAAUUUUGAAAACCUAUACGUUGGCUUACAAAAACUUAAUUUUCUCCAAAUACAAAAGAGAUGGAAGGAAAAUAAAAAAUAAAUAAAUAAGAAAAAAAGAUUGAAUGGAAAUAUAAAACAAGUAUAUAAGAAACAAUAUAUACCAAAUCUUUUUUUACUACAAAUAUUAUUAUAGGUUUUUAAAUUAAAAUUUUAAUGGUAUUUUCUAGUUCUUAUUUAUCUAUUUUUAAUUUCUUUUUUUUAUGUUUAGAGGAAAAAAAAGUAAUGAAAGCACAAAUUAAUUUGUUAGUUUGAUUUUGAAUUUUUCCUAUUGACCGUCAGUUUUAACGGAAAAAGUAAUUGUGACACUUUAAUCCAAAAUCAUCAGAGAGUUAUAUACAGGUUUUUAAAACAAAGGAAAAUUAUGUGAUAAAGUACUAAGUCACAUGGGUUAAAAGGUAAUUUAAUUAGGAAGAAAAUUUCCCUCUUGCAACCAAAGACAACUAUCAUCUUUGCUGCAAAAAUUGUAAAAACAAAAUCAUCCUUUUUUUCUUCAAAAUUUCCCAGGUAUGGCAAAGAACAUCUUUGCUUGACUAAUUUUGUCAUUACAAAUAAAUAUAAAGGGAAAAAUCACUUGAGACUUGAGAGUAACAAUAAUUAACUGGUAAUGGUUUGGUGACAGGGCAUAUGGACAGAAUCAACCGAGGGAGUUUCGAUUUGGGGGUGGGGGUGGAGGACAGGAACAGAGGUUGUAGCUAACUUGCAGAGAUAGAGGUUGAACUGGGCGUGGACAGCAAGAACGGGUGGGACUUGGAGUCAGGAAAGAGGAAAAUUGCAUUUGGGUGGUAGUUUUGCAAUUAAUUCUGGGAACCGGAUAGAGAAGUUGUAGGUACAUGAGUUCAGAAAUUCGUGACCAAGAUUUGUCGGUAGCUCAUUUGAAGCUAAUUGAUUGUCAUCUCAGUAUUUCCCUAAAUGGAUUAGGUAUGUAAUUAACCAACACUCUCCUGCAAAACCAUGACUUAAAUGAGAAGUGUGGAAGUCUCCAUUCGAGAUGUAUCUGACCAUUUAACCGUGUAAUAGUAUCAAAGUCAGACAAAUACAAUAUGAAAUGAGGAAUGUUCUUGUUCAAUGCUAUAAUGUCGGUUCAUGACCGCACAGUAGAUUCAGUUUGGCCUUGCAGAUAAUCAUUGAGGAAGAGCUUAAAUUCAGCGAGCACUGCUACUGUCUUGCCUCUUUGAAAGGGAAGUAAAAGCAUUGGCCCAGAACUAGAGAUAUUUUGAGUUCAAUCAAUCGCAUUUCUACCUUAAUGCGCUUGAACGGGUCUCAAGAAUUGGAACCCCAUUGGACUGGCCUAUUUGGAAGGUUGACAAAAGAAGUUCUUACCAUACCCAAUUUCUUCUGUUUCAGCCCAUUUUUGUUGAGGAAUUGCUUAUUGCCAGCAACAGGAAUGAGCUCAAUAGCUGCUUUUUGUCACUUCAUGCUCUCUUGGAUCAAAGAGCACGAUUGCAUCAAGCACAUAAACGGCAUUAGAAACAGAUCUGCAUAUGUGCUUGCAUGUGAAUACUAGUAAUAAGUAUCAGCCUCUAAUCAGUAAGAGUUGAAUACAAGAAACUUGCAUGCGGAAAUUUUCUGGAGCAUUUAGUGAGUAUUUUCUCCAAAUGCACUGUCUAAACAUCUACAUUGUUGUGAAUUUUAUGGUUAUUUAGCAGCUAGUAAGCAUAUCCUCUCAUGACUCAUCAUCUUGUUUCUUUUUCGAGUAAACAUAAUUUCAAGAUUACAUGCAACAACUACCAACUAAUAAAUUGUUACUUUUGAACAGACACAAAUGGUAGACUGUGAUACGCAAUUGUUUCUUGCCGGGUGUUUUACUCAAAAUGGAAAACAAGAGAAAUCUAGAAUGAUGAUUUCGUUGUGUUGUUAAUAGAAGCAAGUGGCACUGAAUAGUUUACGCCAAUAGUCAUCCUAGAAAGGCCUCACAUGCUACACAGACAAAUAAGCAUUGCAUACUCGCUAAUACACAGGCAAUGAACAACCAAUGUAGGAAAAGACAAUCAAAAGAAAAAAGAAUACGAAUGAUGUUGGUCAGUGAAUGCAACUUUUAUAUGUUAGUGUAGCUCCGUUUUAUUAAUACCCUUCUCCCCUUUCCUAGCUACUCAAUAUUGUGGCAUCUUUAAUACCCUAAAGUUUUUCAAAUCUGAAUACUGAAGUAAUUCCCAGCAUGUUUAUCCAUAUAUUAAAGUUCUGUAGAAGGAAGAAGCAGCAUGCAACUUGUGCUUCAUGACUACGGUAGAGGAGUAAUUUAUGCACCACCUGGAAACAGCUUCCAGAGAAUUUUGGUUUGGUUUGAAGACCUGAGCACCAACUUUGGGGUGGUAGUGUUAGCGAAAGUAAAUGAAUGCUUUAAUGAAAAUGCAACCUUUAUGGAAGAUACUACGGAGUUAAGAGACUGGGAAAAGCACCGCAAAAUGCUAGAUUAUUGUUUCUGAGGAUGCAAACCAUGAAAAGCUUAAAAGCAGUCAGUAUUGCUAACAGUAUGUAUGCCUUGGACAGCUGUUGAAGAUUUUUGUUUCCGCAUUUGCAUACUGAUUGAAGAAGGUCUGAGCCAUCUGCAUCUAUCUGCUUGUGCCGGUGGGUUGACUUGAUCUAUCCACAGUACAAAUGUAACGCCUUGGAGCCACGAGAUAGUCUUUAGGCCUUGUUUGAUAUUCCAAUUCAGCACUUAGUUUAAUGGAUUCAGAUCUUAAUAUGUUUAGAUGCGCCUGAUAACCAAAAUUUGAAUAUCUGAAUUAAUUAAAUAUAAUGUCUCGGAGCCACAAGAUAGUCUUUAGGCCUUGUUUGAUAUUCUAAUUCAGUACUUAAGUUUAAUAGAUUCAGAUCUUAAUAUGUUCAGAUGCGUCUGAUAACCAAAAUUUGAAUAUUUGAAUUAAGUAAAUGAUACUGAAUCUCCUAGGCAAAACUUGCUCCGUAAAAUAAGUGAUAAACCUUUAACUUAUUAUUGAAUAUAAUAUAGACUCAAAUUUAUUAGAUUUAAUACUUAAUAAUUCACUAAUUUAAUGAAUUCAGAUUUCAGAUUUUAGAUUUCAGUUUUCAGACUUCAAUUUUAUCAAAUGCACCCUAUGUAACUUUUGAGCGGAAUCAUGGGUUUAAAAUGAUUAACCCAAUUUAUUUACUAGCCCAUGGACCUAGGAUGUUAUACUAAUACUUUCUUCCUUGAUGUCCUUUUGUGGGAUAGAGUUGGGAUCUCAUAUUCACACCUACUUAAGGACUUUGUGUCCUCAUAAAACUCAUCUCAAUCUAAAUUGCCCACUUGGUCAUACUUAAACUAUAGAGGUAGCACGCAACUCCUUGCACAUUCCGUGUUCGAACUCUGGAGGUGAUCCCCGUACAUGGUAGCCUCCACCAUGCUCAAAAUCUGGAGGUAGUCUUCGUACAGUGUCCACUUGAUCAUGCUCGGACUUUAGAGUUGACCCUUAUACGUGGCACAUGGGUCCUACUUGGACUUUGGAGGUGGCCACCCAUACGCGGCAUGUAGUUCCUUGCACUUCUCAUGUUUGAACUAUAGAGGUAGCCCUCAUACAUGUGGUUGAAAAGUUAGCUUGAUCGAUCCUUGAUUUUGAUGAUUAACAAGGCAAAAUAAUGAUUUAGACUAAUAUCUUUUCAUGAGAAAGUUACUAGAAAUAGGUCCAAAAUCAAUGAAAAAUGAAAGGAGGAAAAUAAAAUUUGAAUGAAACUUAUCGCUUAAGGUCGAAUGCAAAUUUGGACAUUGGUUAGUAGGAUCAAACAUCCAAAGAAUGAAGAAAAUGCCUACUAUGAUGAUCAGACGAUGGGUCGGAUGCACAACAUGCCUAUUGGACAUCCAAUAAGUUGACUAAACUCUCUAUGAACUCUCCAUUUCUAUUGGAUGUGUCUCUCGGAUGCUACAUCGACCGUCUAAAACUCCUAGUGAAGACCAACUCAACAACUUUCGGACAUAGGGUCAGACAUAGAAUCGAAUUAUUGGACGCCCAACAACUCCAACGGCUAGUUUUUUAACAACUAGUAUUUUAAUUAUUGGAGAGACUUUUGGAUUAAAUUUCACUAUCUAUGAAUACCCCAAUUCUGAAUAUUGGAGAGAUUUUUGCCUACAAUACUACAAGAUUUGUAAGAGUGAUUUUAAGGGAAAAUACUCUUGUGUGUGGGUGUACUUGUAAUUUUGGUGAGGUUGAAAAGUGUAGUAGUAACGAGAAUUUACCAUGCACCAAAUUUUAAUAAAACCUAAAUACCUCUUUUUCUGCAAGUGUAUAUAUCAUUUAUUGAGUACAAGGAUAUUAGGUGUCGAUCCCACAGGGAAAAUUGUCAAUUAUCGAUGAUUUUUGAACUCUUUUAUGAUUUAGACUACCAUAAAUGCAAGAGAUUAAAUAUAUACAACAAAUAUGAAAAAAGAGUAGUAACAAUAUCAAUAACAAAUUCCUGGGAUUAUGGAAUUCCUUACUACUCUUGUAAAUGAAAUUAUCGAUUAGUUGAAUGUUAUUAUCUUGGUUAGUUAUGGAGUAAUUUCUUAAUAUAUGUGAAACCUACUCUCGUAGUGAAUCAACUAUACUUGUAACUAAACCAUACUUACUCUUGUGGUUAUGAAAUUAACUACAAGUUUAUUUAUUCUAUGAAACUACAUGGAACAAGUCACUAAUGCCACAAAGGUGCACCUCUACUCUCGUGAGUGUACUCCCUAGAUUUAGCACUUCUUGAACCAGUGUCAAAUCCCAAUUCUCAUUGCAAACUUAACACUUUAAGAUUAUAGCAAUUAAUAGUCAUUAAUCAUGAUUAGAUAAGCAAAAGUGCUGAAUAACUUGUUCAAAAUAAUAUCAUCAAAUAACCAAUUGAAUAUCACUAACAAGAUAUAUAAAAUUUAUCCAUAAAUCUAGGUAUAAACUUUAGCAAAACACGAAGAGAAUGAAAGAAAAGACCAUACUUGUAUUAUAGUUAAGCAUGAAUUCAAAUACAAAAGAGAAAAUGAUAGGAAAGAAGUUACCCUUGUCUCCUGAGUUCCAAACUCCCCAUCUCCUUAAUUCUUCAUCCAAAUCUAGUUACAAGUACAAGUUGAAUAAACUACACUAACAAUACUAUACUAAUGAACUAAGAAAAUCUAGUAAAGACUACAUUUUGGUAGUUUCUCUAGCCUUCCAAAGUUAUAUAACAAGCUCAACAAAGGCCCUAUUUAUAGAGAAUUAAACCUCCAAAUAAGUUGUUACAGUUGAUGUAAAAUGCUUUUGAGAUUCCUAAAAUAUUCUUCUACAAGUCUCCAUACUCUUCUUUAUAGCUACAGCUGAAAUUCUUGCUGGAAUUGAGCUCUAAAAAGUUGUAAAAAAUUAGAGAAAGUGGGUAUGCAAGUUGCACAACUUUCUUAAGAAUAUGCAAGGUCAAUAUGUAGGUGUAAGGCCGCAUAUUGUGCCUGCGUAUUGUGCCUACGUAUUGCCUCCACUGCAUGUAUGCACUUUUUAGAUCAAUCUUCAACUUUGCUUUGUUUUUGUACCAAUUUCAAUUGAUAUUUUAUUGAUGAUGAAUGCUGAAAUAGCUCUUAUACAAAAUAUGAAAGUUGCAGUCCUUUGAGUUAGCUUUUCAAUAGAGCAAGAAUCGUUUAAUUUGGAGCUCUGUAAACUAAGAAAUGAUCAAAAUAUUCUUGACUAGUCAAUCCCCUAUUUCAGCUUUUAACAGCAAAAAAGGCCGACUGUAUUUCAACUUUUUGGCUAGGAAACCUCUUGAACUGGGUUUUGAUAUCAUGAUAGGAAAUGUAGAACUUUGUCUUAGCUUCAAAAUAGCUUAAGAAUCAUCUUAAUAUGAUACUUGUAUCUCAAGAUAUAACCAAAAUACCAAAAUGUGUCAAACCUGUCAAACAUUUCUUCUUUUAUACUUGAUUGCAUUUCAUCUUUUAAACAUUUUGCACUUCAUAUUCUCUUUAAAUCACUUCAACUCAUCAACAAUCAUUCAAAUAUCUUCUCAAUUCACUGCAUUUGAUGAUUGAAUCAUUAAAACCUACAAAACAUGAAGUUUUCACCAUUUGAACAUAUACAAAUGCAAAUUUUCACACUUUGAACCACAAAAUGCAUAAUUCAUUAGAAACCUAGUUAAUUAGCUAUAAAAAUGAAUAAAACAUACCAAAACUAAAUAAUAAAAUACAAUUAAAAAAAUAUUGUGUAGGGUUUCUACUAACCUAUGCCUUGGUUUUUUUCGCCAUGGAAGAGCUCUAUUUAGCUCAUUCGGCGCGAAAACUAGAGUUUUCUCUGUUCUUGAACAAGUUGCAAGGAUGGUUAAUUCUGCUAAGAAACCAGUUCAUUUGACUCUUAGUGAGUUCCAGUAGCUUUCUACUUCAGAUCUUUGGCUUGGAAAAAUCCCUAUCUUAAAUGGGGAAGCUUCGGGUUCUGAAAAUCCUAUGCUUAGUACACCUGAUAGAAAUUGCUCUUGGGCAGAGGUCAUUCAUUCUAGAGGAGUAGUUCAUGAUGGGAUUGGGCUUUCUUACUUUUCUCCACUUGUUGGAACUGAUGAGGUAACUUUCAUCAUGGAUGAUGUAUCAGAAGGCUUGGCGAAAUGGAAGAAUGCAUUGAUUGGGCAUGUAAUGGGUUCUCGUCCUUCUUUCCAGUCUAUGAAGCAGUUUGUUGACCAAAAUAGGGCAAACAUGGCAAAAUUGAGGUAACUUUGUUGAAAUCCAGACUUUUUUUCUUUCAAUUUGAAGAUGAGGACGCUAAAUUGAAGGUUUAUAGCAAAAUGUUGUUUGUCAAACCGUGGUCUCCUGCUUUGGAAUUAACUAAAGAGGAAAUUUCUUCUAUGCCCAUUUGGAUUAAAUUUCAAAUCUGAAAUUGCAUUACUACUCUCCUAGUUGCCUAAGUAAGCUGUCUAGUUAUGUUGGUAUGCCUCUCUUUACUGAUAAACCUACUACUAAUCAGUCCACACUGUCUUAUGCACGAGUGUGUAUAGAGAUAGAUAUCCAUAGCACUUUGCCUACUAGCAUCCUUAUCUUGAAUGAAAAGGGUGAUAAGAUAAUGCAAGAGGUGGUAUAUGAAUGGAUUCCUCCAAAAUGUAGUUUUUGUGGUAAGUUUGGUCAUACGUUGGCUAACUAUGGAGCAAAGCCACAAGUUUAAAAAUUUAGGAAGCCUAAAGUUGAUUAGGUUAAAGAAUCAGUGAUUGAAACAAGGAUUGAACUAGUGAUUGUACCUGUACAUGAACCAAUGAUGGAAGAGUUUACUACUGUAGCCACUACUAAAUCAACGAAUUGUUUAGUGAACAUAUCUGACACUAAUGAGCAAACGGAGGUCCAUAUUGUGUUUCAAGAAAAGGAACAUAGGCCUUCAAAUAAGUAUAGAAGAGUAAUCCCAAUCUCAGCAGUGGAGAUUGUACUUCCCGGACUACAUUGUUCAACUCAAAAUAUUAAUACCCCCAAUUCAUUUGCUGCUUUGACAGAUAUGCCAGUAGAGAUUGACGUAAAGGCUAAAUGAGACAGAGUAGAUAAGAAGAAUGGAUCACAAAAAGCGAAUGGAAGAGGUAAGACCACUACGGCCCCUAUAACAUGAAUAUCAUUUGCUGGAACAUUAGGGGUUUAAAUCAACCCCAUAAACAAGUAGCUAUGAGAAAUAAAGUAGAUACUCUACACUUAGAUAUGUUCGGAGUUAUAGGAAAUAAAGUUUGAAUUGUGAACUAUGCUACUGUGUAUAAGAAGUGUUUUCCUACUUGGCAUUGUGUAUAUAAUACACCUUCUGUUGGAAUUGGUAGAAUCUAAUUUUGCUGGGAUCCUAUUAAAGUACAAGUUACACCUGUGAGUGUUCAUGAGUAGGUUAUUACUUGUCAUGUGGUUCAUCCCAAUUGGCAAAGUAGUUUUGUUGUCUCUUCUGUAUAUGCUAGAAAUGAUAAAGAGGAUAGAAGAGCCUUACGGAGUGAGCUGUGUAGGCUCCAGAAUAUAAUACAUGAUUAUGCUUGGAUUCUAAUGGAGGACUUCAAUAUAAUCCAUUAUGAUUAUGAAAAAUCUGGUAAUAUGGAAAGAGACCAGCCUGCAAUAUCUAAAUUUGAAGAUUGCUUCAACAAAUUAAUGUUGAUGAUUUGCCAUUCAAAGGCUAUUUACUUACCUGGUGCAAUGGAAGGUUUGGUUGAGAUCGGCUCUAUUGCAAACUUGAUAGGAUAUUAUGUAAUGAGAAAUGGAUGCAAUUAUUUCCUCAUCAAGAAGCUGAGUUUGUGGAUCUUGAAGUAUCGGAUCAUUGUGCUGGAUUACUUAUUAUUAAGAAAUAUUUUAAUUUUGGACCUAAUCCUUUCAAAUUUCAUGGAUUUUGGAUGUCUCACAAUGAUUUUCCUCAACUACUUCAUAAGGCAUGGUCUACUGAAUUUCAAGGUGACCCCAUGAGGACUUUCUGUUUGACGCUAAAAGAGGUGAAGAUAACAUUAAAAGAGUUAAAUAAGAAAGAAUUCUGGGAUAUCUCUGCCAAAACUAUCCAUGCACAAGAGGCUCUAUACUCUGCUCAAAGGCAACUACAAUAGGCUCCUUAUGGCAUACACUUGCAAUUUAUCGAGAAGAAAUGUCUAUCAGCUUAUAUUUCUCUUUUAAUUGUUGAGGAACAAUUUUUCAAGGCCAAGUCCCAAACUGAUUGGCUACUCUCAGGGGAUAGGAAUACAAAAAUUUUUCAUAAGAAGAUGAAAAUGCAUUAGAGGAGGAAUAGUAUUUUAUCUAUUCAGAAUAGCAGUGGACAUAAAGUGGAGGAUUAUGAGGAGGCCAAGAGCAUCAUAGUGAAUUUCUUUCAAGACUUGUUUUCUGAACAAGGGACCUUUAUUAAAGUACACAGUGCUAGAUUGUGUCAACUUAUUGUAAACAAAAUAAGCAAUGACCAGGCUAAUGAGCUCUAAAAAGAAAUCUCUGAUAGUGAAAUGUAGUCAGUGUUAUUCUCUAUGAAGUAAGGUAAGGCUCCGGGACCUGAUGGUUUUCCUGUAGAAUUUUUGUAAAAAAUUGGGGAGUUGUGCAAAUUGACUUUAUCAAAGUUGUUAAAUACUAUUUUAGUGAUAGCAAAUUUUAUCCUCUAUUGAAUAGUACAAUCAUUUCCCAAGUUCCAAAAGUGCCUAACCAAUCAACUAUGAAAGAAUAUAGGCCUAUAUCUUGUUGUAAUACAGUUUACAAGAUCUUCUCCUAAAUCUUAACUAAAAGGAUGAAGAAAGUGCUACCAAAAUUGAUAUGUAAUCGCCAAAAUGCCUUCCUAAAAGGUAGAGUGAUCUCAGAUAAUAUACUUUUGAUGCAUGACAUUGUAAAUGGGUACCACAGGGAUACUGGACAGGUUAAAUGUGCUAUGAAAAUUGACUUGGUUAUGGCCCAUGACACUGUUAGAUGUGAUUUCUUAUUCACUAUUAUGGAAUGUAUGAAUUUUCCUAAAACGUUCAUUUGUUGGAUUAAGAAAGGAUUGUUUUCACUCUGAUUUUCACAGAACAUGAAGAGAGCUUUAGUUGGGUAUUUUCCCAGUUCUAGAGGAUUAAGACAGGGUGAUCCCAUCUCACCAUAUCUUUUCCUUCUUGCAAUGAAAAUUUUCUCUCUUUUGUUUGAUGAAACUGCCAAAGGACCUGACUUUCAAUUUCAUCCAAAAGGCCAAUAACUUGGAACAUCUCACCUCAUUUUUACUGAUGAUUUAUUCCUCAUUUCUGUUGCAAACCCUGGUUCCUUUAAUAUCAUGAAAUCCAUUCUUGAGGAAUUCUCUUAUCUAUUAGGACUAUCCCUUAAUUUGUACAAGAGUGAAGUCUUCUUAUCAGGUAUUAAUGAAGAGCACGGUCUAGAACUAUGUAAGAUCCUAGGAAUCAAGAGAGGCUAUCAACUUGUCAAAUAUUUGGGUGUGCCUUUGAUAAAUAUCAAAUUAUCCUUCAAGGAUUGUUCCCCUAUCAUUGAGAAGAUAAUGAGGAAAAUAGAAGGGUAGAGCAAUAAACUAUUAACUUACGCUGGUCAAUUGCAAUUGGUUAAGUCCGUGUUGCUUAGUGUUCAGUUCUAUUGGAGUAGUGUAUUCUUAUUACAACGAGCUGUUAUUAAGAGGAUUGAACCUAUGCUUACUACAUUCUUAUGGAAAAGAAUAGAUUCUAUCAAGAAUGGGAUCAAAGCAUGUUGGAAGGAAAUGAGCAAACCUAUUAAACAAGAAGGGCUAGGAUUACCUAAUUUGACUAAUUGGAAUAAGGCAUUAUUGUUUAAGUAUAUCUGGCACAUAGCACUUAAAAAAGAAUCUCUUUGGAUUGCUUGGGUUCGCACUGUGGAGCUCAAAAAUAAAUGUUUCUGGUCUAUUUCAUUGCGUCAAUCUUGUUCUUUGGUUUGGCAUAAAUUCCUUCAGAUCAAAUCUAUUAUACAACCUUUUAUUGCCUGAGUGAUCAAAAGUGGAGAAAAUACUUAUCUCUGGUAUGAUAAUUGGCACCAUAGAGGGCCAUUGUUGAUAGCUUAUGGGCCCAAUAUGGUGCGACAAUUUGGAAGUACGUUACAGGCUAAGGUUUCUUCUAUCAUUGAAAAUGAAGAGUGGAAGAUCCACAAUAGUAGGAGAAGAAUAGCUAAAGUAGAUGAUUUUGCACAAUUUGUUCCUUCUAGGCAGUCAUUAAGCGAGGAAAUGUCAGAUAUAGUGAAAUGGUUACCCAGUAAAUCAGGUUUGUUCUCUGUCAAAUCUGCAAUUGAAGUGUUGAAUCAUUUUGCUACUAAGGUCUAUCGGCAUCAUCUUGUGUGGUUUAAAAAAUAUAUCCCAAAACAUUCAUUUAUCUUAUGGUUGUUGUGCAAGAACAAAUUAAGCACAAAGGACAGGUUGGUUAAAUGGGGCAUUAUGACUGAAAUGAAAUGUCUACUAUGCUGUACUGGAAAUGAAUCUUGUAAUCAUCUCUUUUUUCAAUGUGAGUAUGCAGCUUAUAUUUGGUCAAGAAUACAUCAAUGUUGCUUGCAAUAUCGAGGGACUUAUGAAUGGAUACUAAAGUUGAAUGGUUUAGUUGUCAUUGGAAGAAAGAAUGCUUUAUAAACACAGUAAAGAAGUUGGCACUGGGAGUAGCUGUAUAUUAUAUAUGGAAGGAGAGAAAUUAUAGGGUGUUCCAAUAUAAAGUCUCUGAUGCUGACAUUGUUGCACACAGAGAGCUAAAGGAGAUUCGUUGCUGUGUGGCAAAAUGGAGGAAUGUAUCAAGUACAAGAGACAACUGAUUAUUUUGCCUUAGUUGGGAUUUUCCCCAAGUGAUUUUCCUUAAAUGUUGAUAGCAUAAUCGGCGUUUAGUUGAUUAUAGUAAUACUAUUGUAUAGCUUAAAUGUUGAUAGCAUAAUCGGCGUUUAGUACAUUGUAGCAAUACUAGUGUAUAGCUUAAUUGGUUGUAGCAGUACUUUUGUGUAGCGGAUUCCUCUGCUCUUGUGUACAUUCAUGUUCUAUUCAAUAAAAUCCCUAUUUACGUGAAAAAAUUACACUUAAAUCACUCAAAAUGCACACUUAUCAAAUUCUUCCACACUUAAACUAUUAAUUGUUCUCAAGCAAUUAAGAAUUACAAACUAUCAUAAUAGUUCGAAUAUAUCCCUUUAGCCUAUAUGUCUUUCAAAUUUAUUUCUUCAAUAAAAAGGUAAAGCACCAUUAUAUAAUCAUUCUUUUCAUCACAAAUACUUAUCAUAUCAAGUAAAUGAGAGAGAAUUAUAUUAAGAGUUAAGACUCGUUGAAUUCAUUUACUCCCCUCAACCAAUAGCGGAGUCAGAAAAAAUUCUUAGUGGAGCUAAAAAAAUUUUCUACUCUUUCUCUAGUAUUUUAAGCAAAAAAAAAAUCACCAAAAAGUACAAACGAUGCAUAUAUUCCAUGAAAAGCAUAAAAAUACAAACUCAAAAUUAUUAAUUUUAUUUCAAAAAAUAAACUAAACCAUUUACAAUUGCUCAUAACUAAAUUUUCAUAUUUUGAUAACGUUUUACAACCUUUUCAUUUUGAACUUCACAAAUUAUAUUUUUUUCAAUAUAUGUAAUUGAAUAAUCAUUCAUCCAAGUGUCACCUAUUCUAUUUCGUAACCAAUUCUUCACUAUAUUCGUAGCUGAAAAAGCCCUUUCUAUGGUAGUUGUAGCAACAGGCAAAAUCAAAACCAACUUUAGGAGCAUAUAAACUAAUGGAUACACAAUAUCUCUUUUAGUCUCCACCAACUUUUGAGCUAGAUUAGAGAUUUUUCUUAAAUCUAGAAAUUCCUUAGCUGAUUUCAAGUCAUUAAUAUAAGUAUCCAAUUCAGUGUCAAGUGCAAGAACAUCCAACUUAGAAAACUCACAAGGAUAAUGUUUUGCAAGAAGAAUCAACUUUUCUUAUCAAAUGCUGCAAAGGAAUCACUUGGGUUCAAGCAUGCCAUGCAAAGAAACAACUCCAUAUUAAUUCCAUUGAAACGAUUGUUGAGUUCUUGGAGUUGUAAAUUUGUCACAGUACAAAAUAGCUCAACUUGAUAGUGGUGAAGGUUUGUAAUUUGAUGAACUUUUCUUCGAGAUCUCCCACUAGUAAUGAAUAUUUCAUCCAUUUUCAGAAUGAUGAUCUUAUGUUUUUUACAAAACAAACAAAUUUCAUCAAGUAAAAAAUCCCAUCCAUAUUCCCUAGUUGCUUGUAAUUGUUGCUUGGAAACUUUGACCAGACCCAUAACAUUGACAAUAUCUUGAUCCUUCCUUUGUAAUGCUUCAGAUAGUGCAUUCGUUAUUCCCAUGAUUUUCUUCAUCAAGUGUAAAAUAAAUGCAAAUUUAAAAGAUUGCAAAGAAUUAAGAAAUGCAUAUGCUUGACCUUUUUGCUCCACAAGACCAUCAUUUUCAAUUAUCAAAACAACAUCUAUUACAGAAUCAUACAUAAGAACCAGCUUUAACAACAAUCCAAAAUGUGAACCCCAACGUGUAUCACAAGUUCUUUGAGGGCUAGUUUUUUUAUUUAAGCCCGGACCACUCACAAGUUCUCCAGUCAUUAGAUCAUCAACAACUUUCUUAAGUCAUUGUUCUCUAAGAAUUUCUUGUCUUUUAGAUGAACCUUCAAGAACAUGCACUAAGGUAGACAAUGUAUUAUACAUAGAAGAGACUUGGACAUGUUUCUUUGCAACCCCUACAAGUGACAAUUAAAGUUGAUGUGCAAAACAAUGAAUAUAAUAUGCAGAACCAUUUUCCUUCAUGAUCAAAGUCUUUAAACCAUUAUAUUCACCUCGCAUGUUACUAGCACCAUCAAAACCUUGACCACAGAUUGUGAUAUGCCCAAACCAUGCUUUGAAAAUAAAACAUCAAUUGCUUUCUUAAGUGAAAAAGCAGUAGUAUCACUUACAUGUAGAAUGCCAAGAAAACGCCCAAUCACAUAUCCAUGUAAAUCCACAUAAUGUAUAACAACUGCUAAUUGCUCCUUUGUUGAUGCAUCAUGAGAUUCAUCACAUAAAAUAGCAAACAAUCUAUGUCCAAUGUCAUUUACAAUAAUGCUUGUAGUCUCACUUGCCAAAGCAUUUGUAAUAUCCUUUUGAAUAUUUGGAGCAAUGAGUUUGAGAUUUUUAGGGGCAUUUUCAAGAAUAACCUUUUUAUAUCAUCAUUAUGACCCGUAAGGAAGUGCAAAAGUUCACAAAAAUUUCCUUGAUUUUUAGAGAUAUGGGAUUCACCGUGAUCACAAAAAGCCAAACCUUGGUGUAGGAGAAAUCUAGCACAAUGUACUGAGGCUAAUAAAUGAAUCCGAUAAUCAGCCCUCAUUUUCUCUGAUUGCUUAGCUUAAAAAAUGCCACUUCGAUGUGCUGAUUUUGAUUUGCUUAUUUUGAUUUAAUAAACUUUGACAUUUACUCCAACCAAGAUUGUGUGCACUGUUAGGACCACCAAAAUGAACAUCAAAUCUAUCCUUUUUUUCAAUUGGUGAAUCCUUCCUUAAUGAAACUAUCAUCACCAGAUUGUUCACCCACAUCUGGUCUAUAUAGAUAACAACAUAAGCAAUAAGCGGCAUCUUUUUCAAUACUAUAUUCCAACCAAUUCUUGUAAUCAUCAAACCAGCCCCGGACUAAUCGACGCAUUUUUUUCCUAUCUUUCAUUGUGGAAAAACAUGCUCAUGAGGUUGACAUGGUCCAUUUUUUAAGUAAUAUCUCUGAAUUUCAUCGUGAAGGUUUGGAUGAUAAUCCUUAAUUUUUUCCCUUUGGGCAGGAUUUGCAGGUAAUUCAUCUAAGUUAAUCCCCAAGCAACUUUUUUUAUUGUCAUUUUUUGCACUUUCAUCAUCCUUGGCUUCUUCUUUAUUAGAUGACUCUUUUUCCAUUGACUUCCUCUUGAAAUAUCUCUCCAUAGCUAAAGAAAUUAAAAUCAAUAGAUAAGAUACUAAUCAAAUUAAAAUAUUAAAUAGACAAUAAAAUCUAUCCAAGAACUAUUUCACAAGUUAAAGUUAUUUAUUAAAUGACUUAUUUAUUCAUUACUACAUCAAAUCAUUCACCCCAACAUAUGAACCUUAUCAAGUUAAUUAGACAAAAGGAUCCAUAUAAGAAUAAUUUGAAAGUUAAAAAUAUAUGUCAAAUGGCCCUCUAUUCAUCAUUACAUUAACUCCAAUACAAGAAACUAAUCAAGGCAAAUAAAAAAUAAAUUAGAAAUCCAUAAAAGCACCAUUUCACAAGUUAAAAUAUUUAUCAAAUAAUCCAUUUAUUAGUUAUUACACUAACUAAUCAGUUUUCAAAUUUCUUUAAAACAGUAAUAAUCUCAUGCUCUAGAAAUAUAUUUGCAAACAAAUUCAAAAUAACAAUAAGAAGAAGUAAUUGUUUUGAACCUGAUUUUGAUGACCUCCUAAAGUUGGUGAAAAAUUUAGAAAAAAGUUGCAAUGAUCAGUGGCAGACCCAGAAGAUCAACUGAUUCUAGUGCAAUCUCUGAAUCAAAUGAAGUGAUCAAGAGAAAAAAUAGGGAAAACAGGGGACCAAAGGAGAGAAGGAAGAGUGGUUCUUGGUUGUGGGGGGAAAUUAGGGACCAAAGAAGGGAAGAGAAACUGGGGAGUGGGGACCAAAGGAAGUGAAUGAUAUGAUUGGUACUUGGUAGUUGAAAUGAAAAGAUUUUUUUAGCUUAUUUAAAAUGAAAUUUUGUGGCCCACAUAUUCUUUUAAAAUUUGAAUUCAUGAACUAACUUAGAGGACCACAUAAUUCUUUCACAUCAUUCAUAAGAAAACUUCAGAGAGCACACUUGAGAUUAUAUCACAAAAUUCUAUGUGUAUUAUAGGAAUUUAAGAGGGGCAGUGGGGGCGCCACCUUAAAUCCGCCAAUGCCCUCAACUCAAUUUCAGCUUUAUGAAACUCACAUGGCCAAGUCAAGGCAUACAAAUUCCAUGAUCAUCUUUAUUUACUCAAAAGAGGGAUUUAUUCAAUACACAACAAAUAGUUUCCUCAAGUAGUGAAGAUAUCUUUUGAUGUGAAGAUCGACAUUGGUAGAUAAAGACCUCCAUCACUAACUAGAGUUGCUUUUGCAUACUCAUAAUUCAAGAGCCAUUUUAUGCAAAAUUCAACAUUUGUAGAUGAAGACUCGCGAUUACUAAGUUUCAAGAAUCAUUAGAGUUGCACUUUUAUUUGUUCUUUCUUUUUUUUUAAUUACUUCCCUCAUAUAGAAUGAUUAUACAAAAAAUAAUGCAAAUAUUGGCCAUAUUCAUCGCUCAAAUUGUGAAAUUCAAUCAAGAUAGAAAACUUAUCAAGCAUGUAAAAUUUAAGGUAUAAUUACUUCCACUUUGCAAAAUAUACUUUCUUCAUAGCAAAAAUUCUAGUCACAUAAGAGUUAUUUCCAAAUCAAAUAGGAAAUGAGAUUCUUAAGACACAUAAAUUUUAGGGAAAAUCGUUCAAAACGUCCCUCACAUUUUACAGGAUGAUUUUUUCAUCUUGGUCCCUACCUAGGUUUUUGACUAGUUUUUUACCGGAAUUCACCACGUGACUUACAUGUGAUCAUUUUUUAAGGGCAAAAUUGUCAAAUCAAAUUUUUGCAUAAUCUGAUUUAUAGUUCCUCACAUUUCACAAAAUGAAUUUUUUCCUCCCUAACAUUUUACAAAAUGAAUUAUUUCGUUUCUCACAUUUCAAAAAAUGAAUUUUUUCAUCCCUCACAUUUUUUAAAAUGAAUUUUUUAUCCCUCAUUGAUCAUGUGUCUGAAAAGUUUUUUUUCUUUAAACCCACGUAUAUGUCUAUUUGAUUUUAUCUGAACAGUACGAAUAACAUGUAAUUUAUCUCUAUUGGAUUUUAUCUAAACAUGCUAAUCAUAGUUAUACACAUGCUAUACAAUAGAUAUAUAUAGAGGUUUAAAACUAAUAAUUUUGUUUGAAACCCAUGUAUAUAUUUAUAUGAUUUCACCAUUUAAACCUAUUCAAUAUUCACCUGCUAUUCAUAUUGUUCAAGUGAAAUCAUCCAAUCUCUCGGUCCCUGCAGAAGGAAAAAAGAAUUUCAUGCUCUUCCUUUCAGGAAGGGAGGAUUAGGGAAAUCCUAUUGAUUGCAGCUUUUUCCAGACCCCCCGGAAAGACAUGAAAAAAAAAGCUCGAAUGAUACGAUCCCAGUACAACAUUUGAAUAGCCAUGAGAUGAUCAUCUUAGGAUAAUCCUUUUGUCGACGGAUGCUCCUAUUACACUUCCGGUCGAGAUGUAUAGAUCCUGUUGAUGGAUUAACAAAAAUGUGCAAAAGUAAGUGAAAUAGAUAAACUAAAAUAUAAUAUAUAAUAUAUUAAGUGUAUAGAUACAAUCAGAAUGAAAACAAAUUCAACAAAGACAUUAGACAAGGCAAUCAAAGUGUUGAGCUAACAAAUAAAAAAAGAUUUUCUAAUGCAUUCAAAACAAAAACAUAAAAAUGAAAUGAAUAGAGGCAGAUGAAAAUACAAGAAAUUCUCAGAAAAAAUUCGAUAAAAAAAAAGAUAAAUAUCAAAUUUAUAGACCGACCCCCCUUAAUUUGUCCCGUAUUACUUAACUGCUUUUUCUUUUUAUUUUUAUUGUACUUGCAUCUUGACUUCUAUUUUUCUUAAUACUUUUCUUUCCUAAAAGAAAUCUUUAUUUCGAUUGGAGUUGAUCCGCCCCUGUCUUGUCUAGUAUAUAGUAUCUCAAAAUGGCCAACUUCUCUCACUUUCUAUUAAAAAUCAAAUGUGGAUUUUCAUUCGCAAAAGUAAAAAUUUAUGAGAAAUUUGAACCAUUAACUAUUAACUGCUGACUGCGAAUUCAUGAACGGUUUGAAUCUCAAAAUUGGAACAGAUAACAUUCGAGAUUAUGCAGGAUUAUACAUGAAAGAUCCUUUUUUGGCUCUCUCUUUAGCCCUAUGUCUCUUAUCCCUAGGAGGCCUGCCUCCACUAGCAGGUUUUUUCAAAAACUCUAUUUAUUCUGAAUGUGAUACGAUGAGAUAAAAUGCAAAGACAAGGAACGGGUUACCUACUCUUAACGGACAAAGCGAGCCCCUUUAUUCUGAAUUCUUUAAUUCAGAGUAAAUCAAAUCUCCCCAAGUAGGAUUCGAACCUACGACCAAUCGGUUAACAGUCAACCGCUCUACCACUGAGCUACUAAGGAACAAUGGGAGAUUAGAUCUCAUAGAGUUCAAUUCCUGUUCUCAACCCAUGACCAAUAUGAGCUAAAGCUUUUUUUCUAUAAACCGACGUAUAUGUCUUUUUUAUUUUAUCUGAACAGUACGGAUAACAUGUAAUUUAUCGCUAUUGGAUUUCAUCUAAACAUGCUAAUCAUAGUUAUACACAUGCUAUACAAUAGAUAUAUAUAGAGGUUUAAAACUAAUAAUUUUGUUUGAAACCCAUGUAUAUAUUUAUAUGAUUUCACCAUUUAAACCUAUUCAAUAUUCACCUGCUAUUCAUAUUGUUCAAGUGAAAUCAAUAGAUAUAUACAUGGAUUUAAAAAAAAUUAUUCACACACAUGAUCAAUAAAAGAUGAAAAAAUUUAUUUUGAAAAAUGUGAAGGAUAAAAAAAUUCAUUUUGUGAAAUGUAAAGGACGAAAAAAAUUUAUUUUAUGAAAUGUGAGGGAUUAUAAAUCGAAUUAUAUAAAAUUUGAUUUGACAAUUUUGUUCUUAAAAUAUAAUCACAUGCAUGGCACGUGGUGAAUUCUGAUAAAAAACUAGUCGGAAAUCUAAGUUAGAACCAAAUUUGACCAAUGAAAAUUUGUAAGGGAUGUAAAAUUACAUUUUUAAAAGUGAGGGACCAAAAAAGUUAUUUUACAAAAUGUGAGGGACGUUUUGAAUGAUUUUCCCUAAAUUUUACUCCAAAUGAAGAAUUUUGACUACUAAUGGUUAUGGACUUCUUUGAAAAUUGACAAAAUUGUGAAAAUACCAUUUUUCUCUAAUCACCAUAAUUAAAAAGGAAGUAAACCUCUCCCCACACUUAAAUUGCACAGUGUUCUCAAUGUGUGAAAAGGAAAAGCAAGGGUAAAAGAAAUACUCCCUCCAUGGUGAAUUGGCCUUUUAUUUGGGAUCUUUGAUGACCUCAUCUUUCUUGAAAUUUAACCAUUAUCUACAUAAAUGAAAAUCAAAGAUUAUAAGUUUCAUAUAAUAACCGUUAGUUUGCAAAAAAUUGAAAAUAAAGGCAACAAACUUUACUACUAAGGUCCAAGAAGUGCAUAUGAUACGUAAAUGAUCAAAUAAUGAACUAUAUUGACCCUAAUGAUUCACCAUGCAAUUAAUAUGCAAAUGUAUGUUUUGAAUCUAAAAAAAAAAAGCCAUACAGAGUCAUUUAGUAUGUUUAUAUAUCCUAAAGCACCUUCAUAUAUUCAUCAUACAAACCUAUGCACAAAUGAGAAUAGAGUCGAAAAGGUGAAAAUGCAAACUAGCAUGCAAAGUUAAAAAAAUUCACCUCAAAAUAGUUAUAUGAGUGAAAUGAAAUGUGACUGAACUAUUUUCACACUCAAAUGACCCUUAACAUGAACUUUAUGCAAAUUGAACUUAAUAAGGACUCAUAAAGAUUAAAUACACCAAUGAUGCGUUUAAUGAUGCAUUUGAAUGUUAAAAACUACUCCAAAUAAUGUUAAUGGUGAAUGCAAGUGUUGAUUGAUCAAGAAAUUUGAAAAAAUAAGUGAAGUGCAUGUGUUUUGCCCAUAAAAAGAAGAAAAAAGAAAUGUUGAGCAAAGUUUCCCUUUUUGGGGAAUUGAAAUACAUAGGCAUGGGAACACACGGGUUGAUACCCACGUUUUGAGGAUGCAUUUUCUCAAGAAAUUAUGAAGAUGAACUAAUAUGCGACCUGAAAACGCAUGCUUAAUGAUAAUGUCAUGGCUAUUCAAGGUUCGGAUGGCAGUGUCGAGGGUCCAAUAGCUUCACGUCAAGUUCGUGUGCCAAUCGAACCAAUUACAAAAGCUCGAGCUAAGCGUCUCAAAGAACAACUUAAUGCUCUUGUCCAAGCUGCCCAUGAGUAGUUCAAAGGGUUCUUGAUUGUUGGGGAUGUUGAUCAAGAUACAAGCAAGCUCGUGAAUUGCAUUCAAGUCGCAGAUGCGCAAGAUUGAAGAUGAAGUCUUGGAAGCCUAACCUACAUUGCAUGAUAGUUGUGUCUCAUUCGAUUAUGUUUAGUUAAGAGUCAAGUGAAAUAAGGAAACUUGCAUUGUUUCCAACACCAAGUAGGUUAAGUCGUAUGGUUAGUUUCCUAAUGUGUUUCGCUUUUAAGUUUCCUAAACUUAGUAGUUUUUGAGGGCCUUGUAAAAUCUAUAUAAGAGUCAUUUUCAUUCAUAAUAAGAUAACAAGAAAUUUUCCAGCAAUUCGAGUGAGCUUUUCUCAUAGUUCUGAGCUUCUCUUGAAUACCUUAGAGGUGCUCUAAGUGUUCAGACUCUGGCUUAUCAAUCAAGAAUCGUACUUGAUCGUGGCGCCUUCUACCAACACCUUUGGUUCGCUAAUCCGUUAGUUUGUGGGUUGAGAUCAUAUCAAGAUUGUUCGCAAUUUCGGGGAUUAGAGGGGUCGUAAGGUUUCCGCUGCCAAUCUAAAUUUGAGUUCCACUAUCAAGAUCCGGGCUUGUGAUCACGAACUCCGUCGCACCCAUGGGAUUCAUAUCAGCUGGUAUCAGAGCUGGUUGAUGGUAUUCAAGUUAUAUCUCUUAUUUCUAGUGUUAUCGUACCUUUUGUGUCAUUCCUAAUCACCUAAGAUUUUGUUCUUCAUCUUGUUGCCAAAUCUGCCCAUUGUUUCCACUUGUGUUGCCUCAAUUUUGGCCUCUUAUUGUGUGUCUUGUGUUGUGUCCAACCUGCUUGUGUGUGGUUUACAGUCUAUUCGUGUAAAAUAAAAAAGGUCAUACUGUAGCAUAGUUACUGUUCAUAGCUACUGUAGCAAAUUCUAGUUCCAAUUCCUAGUUUCCAAAUUCUAGUCACUUAUUUUCAUUCUUUUUCUAGCAGCAAAUUUUGAGUAUUCUUGCGCUAUUUUCUAGUCUUUUCAUUGUAUUUUAGAGUCAUCAAAGUUUCAUUAUUUGCUACCUUCAUCAGUCAUCUUUGCUCGCCAUAAAAUCCCAAGCGAACCGAUAGCCAUAUUGCUACAAUCACUUGAGAUUUUGACAUUGGUAAGUUGAGUUGCUCACUUGAGGGAGUUCUAACUUCUUCAAGGGUUGCAAAAGGGCUGUGAGAAGCUACAUUGUGAGAUUCUUAAAGUGUACUCUUGAGUGAUACACGAGUGCGAGAAUAUAUACGUAAGGGAGUGAAGUGAGGUAUAUUUAUUUCACUAACAUUGUUUUGCAGGUUAAAGUAUCAUGUCUCGGGAAAGUGAAGGAAAUCCUCAACCCGUUGAUAUGAAAAUGCUUGCUGACAUGUUUGAAACAAGAUUCAAAGGAAUGUUGGAGAAAAUGCUAGGCGAUACUUUAGACCCGAUUCAUGAGAAGUUGGUGGGUAAUAACUCCCAAGACACUCCUAAUCCUUCCAAAACCAUUCAUAGGAGGAGGUACAUGGAGGAGUCCACGGAUUCCAAUGACAAAGCGGAGGAACUCUUCAAACGUUCCAAAUCUAAGUCAAGGGGACCAGAUAAACUCUCUGACAUUUUUAAGAGAAUCAAAAUGAAAAUUCUAGAGUUUAAGAGAGGUUUCAAUCCUGAGGCUUAUCUCGAAUGGGACUUCAAAAUCGAGAUGGUGUUUGCUUGCCAAAGCUACACCGAUAAAGAAAAGGUUAAGUUGGCAGUAAUUGAAUUCACGGAGUAUGCAAUCGUGUGGUGGAAUCAACUUAAGCUAUCUCGGAGAAGAAGUAGGUUGCCUGAGAUCAACACAUGGACCGAGCUAAAGGGAAUGAUGAGGACACGUUUUUUACCAGGACACUACUAUAGGGAUUUGUAUCAGAAGCUACAAACCCUUGUACAAGGCAAUAAGAGCGUGGAUGAAUACUACAAGGAGAUGGAGAUCUUGAUGCUACGAGCCGAUGUUCAGGAAGAUAAAGAAGAAACCAUGGCCCGAUUCUUGAAUGGUUUAAGGCCUAAAAUCGCGGAGAGGGUGGACUUUAUCACUACAUGGAACUCCAUGAGUUGGUGGAGAAAGCUGAUGAGGUGGAACAAAGACUCAAGAGGAGGGGCCAAGAUCGUUCCAACUUCGGCUACACCACUCCCAUCUAUCGGCCGCUCAAUCCUAAGGGGAAAACAAAAAUUUCAGCCUCAUCACCAUCACAAAAACCAAAAUUUGAGGGUAGAAGUAAUCUUAAGCCAGCCGCUGGAAGGUUCACUAAUUCACCCAGACUUGAGGGGUAAAAGCCAAGAGAAAGAAUACGCGAUGACCGUUGCUUCAAGUGCUAAGGAAGAGGUCACAUUGCCAGCCAAUAUCCCAAUCGAAGAACAAUGAUAACACUAACCAAUAGGGACAUUGUGACUAGGGCUGCAAACGAAUCGAGCCGCUCGCGAGCGGCUCGAGUCAAGCUCGAGUCGAGCUCGAGCCGGCUCGAGUCGAGCUCGAGCUCGAGCUCGAGCUCAGAAUAUGAAGCUCGUUAGCUCGCGAGUCGGCUCGCGAGCUUGGGUAUAUAUAUAUUUUUUUUUAUUUUUAUUUUUAUUUAAUAAUAAAAUUACGUAUAUUAUAUAUUUUUUUUUAUUUUUUAUUUUCAUAGUAAAAUUACGUAUAUAUCCUUAAUAUUUUAUUAUUUAUUAAGAAAAAAAUAUUAUUUUAUUUAUUUUUUUAAAAAUAAAAUAAUUAUUUUUUAUUUUUUUUCGAGCUCGAGCUCGAAAUUUGCCGGCUCGUCGAGCUCGAGCUUGGUAAAAUUUAGUCGAGGCUCGGCUCGAUUAGCUCAAAGCUCGACUCGGCUCGGUUCGUUUGCAGCCCUAAUUGUGACCAAUGACGAUGCAGAGUAUGAGGGAAUGCCACCCCUUAUGGAGGACAAUGAAGGGUUACAUGAUGAAGACGAGCAAGUUGCAUUCGAGGAAAUUUUUGGCACCCUUAUAGUGGUGCGGCCAGUUUUGACCACUCGAGUCAAGGAGGAGGAUGAGCUGCAACGCGGGAAUACAUUUUAUACUCGAUGCUUCAUUAAGGAGGCCCUAUGCAGCGUAAUCAUAAAUAGUGGGAGUUGCACCAAUGUGGCUAGUGCAACUAUGGUGGAAAAUUUGAAAUUGACCAUCCAGGAUCACCCUCGUCCUUAUAAGUUGCAAUGGCUCAACAAUUCUGGGGAGGUUUGAGCUGGCAAACAGGUUCUCGUUUCUUUCCACAUUAGUAAAUAUGUUGAUGAAGUAUUAUGUGAUGUAGUCCCCAUGCAAGCGUCAUAUUAUACUUGGUCAUCCAUGGCAAUUUGAUUGGCGUGUUUCAUUUGACGGCAUCACAAAUAAAUACUCAUUCAUGUACAAUAAUAAGAAAAUUACCCUUGCUCACCUUUCUUCUCGACAAGUGCAUGAAGAUCAAUUGAAAUUGCAAAAAGAGUAUGAAAAAUCGUGUGAAAAAAGAAGAAAAGUAAGGCUGUCGAGGCAAAACAGGAGGAAAAAAAGGCAUGUAUUAGCUCGGCAAUUGAGGCAAAAAUCGAGGGAAAACGAAUGCUUUUGAUAAAAGCCAAAAGAGUGAGGAAGUUAGCAAGUGAAAAUCAGCAACUUCUUCUACUUGUUAGUAAAUAAGUAGCGCUAUCCAUACACGAACUAGAUACUAACUCACCUCCUGAGGUGGUUUCUCUUUUGCAGGAGUACACGGACGUAUUUCCUGACGAUAUUCCAAGUGGUCUACUACCUCUUCAUGGAAUUCAGCACCAAAUCGACUUCAUCCCGGGAGUUUCUCUACCAAAUCGCCCAGCCUAUAAAAGCAAUCCGGAGGCGACAAAGGAGCUUCAAAGGUAAGUCGAUGACUUAUUCAGCAAAGGAUAGGCGCGCAAGAGCUUGACCCCGUGCGCAGUGCUGGUGAUUUUGGUGCCAAAGAAGGAUGGUAUGUGGCGUAUGUGCUCCGAUUAUAGAGUAGUUAACGUCAUCACGGUAAAGUAUAGACACCUUAUACCUCGCUUAGAUGAUAUGCUGGAUGAAUUAUACGGGCUGUUUUCUUUACUAAGAUUGAUUUGAAAAGCGGGUACCAUCAAAUUAGGAUAAAGGAGGGGGAUGAAUGGAAAACUGCUUUCAAAACUAAGUAUGGAUUGUAUGAAUGGUUAGUAAUGCCAUUUGGUUUAACUAAUGCAUCUAGUACCUUUUGCCUAAUGAAUCAUGUUUUACGUCCAUUCUCAGGGAAAUUUAUUGUGGUUUAUUUUAAUGAUAUAUUAAUCUAUAGCAAGUCCUAUGAAACGCAUUUAAAACAUGUCAAAGCUAUUUUGGAUGUGCUUCAAAAGGAACGACUUUACGCCAAUCUCAAGAAGUGCAAUUUUUGCACUAGUGAGUUUGUGUUUUUAGGAUUUGUUGUAAGUGCAUAGGGCAUGCGUGUAGAUAAACAAAAGGUGAAAGUCAUUUUAGAGUGGCCUACGCCUAAAUACGGUGGAGAUGUGCGGAGCUUCCACGGUCUCGCGGACUUCUAUAGGAGAUUCGUGAAGGAUUUUAGCAUCUUAGCCGCACCAUUGACCGAACUCAUCAAGAGGAAUGAAAAGUUCCAUUGGGGAGAUCCUCAAGAAAAGGCUUUUCAACUCUUAAAACACAAACUCACACACGCACCAGUAUUAACUUUACCUGACUUUUCUAAAACCUUUGAAAUUGAUUGUGAUGCAUUAGGUAUUAGAGUUGGUGUUGUGUUGACCCAAGAAGGAAAACCAGUUGCAUAUUUUAGUGAAAAGCUAAAUGGGGCUGCUUUAAAGUAUUCGACUUAUGAUAAGGAAUUGUAUGCCCUAAUUAGAGCUUUACAAGUGUGGCAGCACUAUCUGAAACCUAAGGAGUUUGUGAUACAUACAGAUCACGAGUCCUUUAAGUACUUAAAAGUGCAACACAAUCUCAGUAAGAAGCAUGCACGGUGGAUUGCAUUUGUGGAGUCUUUCCCUUAUGUGAUCAAAUGCAAAACUGGUAAGUCCAAUAUGAUUGCGGAUUCAUUAUCUCACUGGUAUUCUCUACUCACCACCUUAGAUGCUAGAUUAUUGAGUUUUGAAAUGAUUAAAGAUUUGUAUGCUAAAAAUGCUGAUUUUGGGGAGAUAUGUGCUUCUUGUGCAAAAUCUGGUCAAGGUAAGUUUUUCUUAUCUGAUGACUUUCUCUACUCCAUUUGUGAAUUACUGGUAAGAGAGUCUCAUUCUGGCAGUUUAAUGGGUCAUUUUGGAGUUUCUAAGAGUUUGCAAACUCUGCAGGAGUACUUCUAUUGGCCACGAAUGCGACGAGAUGUAGAAAGAGUGAUGGAUCGAUGCCUUACCUGUAAGAAAGCCAAAUCCAAGGUAUAUCCUCAUGAUUUAUAUACUCCUUUACCAAUUUCUAGUGCAUCUUGGGUAGAUCUUUCCAUGAAUUUUAUACUUGAAUUGUCUAGAUCUAAGUAUGACCAUGAUUCCAUCUAUGUUGUAGUGGACCGAUUUUCUAAGAUGGCACAUUUCAUUGCAUGCCAUAAAACUGAUGAUGCAACUCAUAUUGCUAACUUGUUUUUUAAGGAGAUCGUGAGAUUCAUGGUAUUCCUAGAACCAUAGUUUCUGACCGCGAUGUUAAGUUCCUUAGUUAUUUUUUAAAAACACUGUGGGCUAAACUGGGUACAAGGUUGUUGUUUUCUACUGCUAGUCACCCAUAGACGGAUGGUCAAACUGAGGUAGUUAACUGCAUCUUGUCCACUUUAUUGCGUGCAUUAAUAAAAGGGAAUCUUCGAACGUGGGAAGAGUGCUUACCUCAUGUUGAAUUUGCUUCCAAUAGGGCUGUUCACUCUACUACUUGCUUUUCGCCAUUUGAAAUUGUCUAUGGAUUUAACCCACUAACACCUCUUGAUCUAGUGCCUUUACCUAGUAGUGAACGUGUUAACAUAGAUGGGAAGAAGCGUGCAAACUUUGUCAAGAAAUUGCAUGAGAAGGUCUAUGCUAAUAUAGAAAAAUGUACUACUCAGUAUGCUAAGCAUGCUAACAAAGGACGUCACAAGAUGGUGUUUGAGCCUGGUGAGUGGGUAUGGUUACACAUGCGUAAGGAGCGAUUUCCAGCUCAGCGUCGCAAUAAGUUGUCUCCAUGAGGUGAUGGUCCGUUCCGCGCUCUGGAGCGUAUCAAUGACAAUACGUACAAGCUUGAGUUGCCAGGUGAGUAUGGAGUUAGUACUACUUUUAACGUUUCUGACUUAGCUGCAUUUGAUACGGAUGAUGCUUGUGAUUUGAGAACAAAUCCUUCUCAAGAGGAGGGGAAUGCUAGCAUCAUCAUGGUUGUUCAAGGUUCGGAUAGCGGUGUCGAGGGUCCAAUAGCUUCAAAUCAAGUUCGUGUGCCAAUCGGACCAAUUACAAGAGCUCGAGCUAAGCGUUUCAAAGAACAACUUAAUGCUCUUGUCCAAACUGCCUAUAAGUCGUUCAAAGGGUUCUUGAUUAUUGGGGAUGUUGAUCAAGAUACAAGCAAGCUCGUGAAUUGCAUUCAAGUCGUGGAUGCUCAAGAUUGAAGAUGAGGUCUUGGAAGCCUAUCCUACAUUGCAUGAUAGUUGUGUCUCAUUCGAUCAUAUUUAGUUAAGAGUCAAGUCAAAUAAGGAAACUUACAUUAUUUCCAACACCAAGUAGGUUAAGUCGUAUUGUUAGUUUCCUAAUGUGCUUCGCUUUUAAGUUUUCUAAACUUAGUAGUUUUUGAGGGUCUUGUAAACUCUAUAUAAGACUCAUUUUCAUUCAUAAUAAGAUAACAAAAAAUUUUCCAGCAAUUUGAGCGAGCUUUUCUCAUAGUCCCGAGUUUCUCUUGAAUACCUUAGAGGUGCUCUAAGUGUUUAGGCUCUGAUUUAUCAAUCAAGAUUCGCACUUGAUUGUGGCGCCUUCUAUCAACACUUUUGGUUCGCUAAUCCGUUAGUUUGUGGGUUGAGAUAAUAUCAAGAUUGUUCACAAUCCCGAGGAUUAGAGGGGUCGUAAGGUUUCCACUGCCAAUCUAAACUUGCAUUCCACCAUCAAGAUUCUGACUUGCGAUCAUGAACUCCGUCACACCCACGAGAUUCGUAUCACUCAACCAUGCAUUGAGCAUGCAUUUUUUAGGGUGCAUAUUCACUUCCUGCAAUUUUAGUGCGGAAAUUCUGCAUUUGUCUAAAAAUUAUGUGUAUGACCCCAAUUUUUCAAAAUGCAGUCUAAUCACUCUAUUGACAAAAUAAUCAAUUCACACAUAUCUAAAUUGAUCUAAACAUGCAUUCCAAACCACUGUAACACAUCAAAAAUAACAAUUACUCAAAUUGUGGGGUUGAGUUCUUUGAUCUUUCUUAGCUUCAUUGACAUCAAAAAGUGACUUUUGCCUUCUUUCUUGAACCCUACAAAACAAACAUAAUAAACAUACUUUGAAACAUAUAACAAACAUGACUAUUUAUAGCUUCUUUAUAGUCAUUGGCUUGACUAUUUUACCUUAUUUUUCAAGAAGAUUUUGUUAAUGAAUAAUCCACUAUUUUAGGUCGUGAUGGAUCCAUAAAAGGUGCCUUGAUAGAAAAAAUCACAUAAUCAAAUGAUACGAGAGAUAAAAGAGCUUUACUUAUUUCAAGUGUUUUAUAGAUAUUAUCUUGUAGUAACACCACUUGAGAAUUGUCCAAUAGAACGUCCGCAUAACCUUAUUAGGUGAUGAUAUUCUUAGUACUUACUUCUUCAAAAUACUCCUCGAGUGGGGUUAAAUAUGAAUCAUUCGUGCUCAUCUCUUAAGAUUCAACAUUAGUUUCAAAGAUACAAGCAUGUGACAUGGACAUUUCUUACAACAUUCCCACCAUUCAUAAUAGAAUCAAUUGGCAUACGAUGAGAAGAAAUAAUUUUACACAAAUUACACAAUUGGUCUUGAAUUUUAUCUAUGUGAGAAGCUAGUUCUUCUAAUCUAUCUUUAGCCUUAUCAAAAUGGUCGGAAGUUGCAUUAGUUAACCUUUCAUUUGCUAAUUCUCAAGACAAAAGUGUAUUAGGAACCUUUCAAUGGCUAACUUCCAAGAUUGUUUUGAUUCAAAUUGGACAAAUUUGGAUUGGUAAUCAUAAAAAUACGAAGAACUAUUAUAUGCAUAUUGAUUACCCCAACAAUAAGUGUAGGAAUUAUCCCAAUUAGUACCAUAUUGAUUAAAACAAGGAUUAAAAUGUUCAAAUUCAUCACAAUAAUUCACAUUUUGUAUCUGCCUACAUGUAUGAGGAGCAUGAUAACUUCCACACAAGUCACAAAUCAUAUGAAUAGAAUUGAAAGCAUUAACAUUCCUCUUUCAUUCAAGUAUGUUUGUAAUGGUGUUCAAUUGAACUUUUCAUGUUAUAAAAUCAAGUUUAGCCUUUAAGUUCCUUAAGCCAUCUUUAAAAGUCAUACCUUCGGACAUCCUUUAGUUACCUCCAUAGUUGUAGUUUUGAAAAUUGUAAUCCAUUUCCAAAUUGCCUUGUCUCAACCUUUUAUCCAAGUUUGUUUGCUAUUCUCCUUAUUACAUAAAAAAAUGCUUUCAAGCAAUCUAAAAAACAAGAUUAGUCAAGAAGAAUAAUUUAAAAGACAUAAAAAAUAAGAUAUUAAACAUAAAACAAAAGACUCAACAAGACACUAAACAUAACAAAAAAAACACUUGACACAACAAAAAUAAGAAAAGCAAGUAAAAGUGUUUAAACUGAUAAAGUUUUUUUUUAACUAUUCUAAUAUUUUUUUAUUGCAUAAUUUUCUUUUUUUUUUUAAUCAUUAACUGUUAUUCAUAGAAAAGUCAAAUAGAGCAGACAAGUACAACUAACGAACCCUCCUGCGAAAGUUAGGGAGCCCUAAUCUAUCCAUACGAAUAUCUCCGCGAACCAGAGGGGGAAGUGCUGCAAAUGAAGUAAAGACGGAGUCAGUGCCCUCCAUCGCACCCAUCUUAGCCAACCUGUCCGAUAGCUUGUUUGCCUCUUUGUAACAAUGCUUGACAGAGCGAAACAGUUGCCGAUGCUGCAUAAGCUCGUCCAGCUCCACCUGCAACCUCCAGGGACAAGCAUGAUCCCCCGAUAUGAUUUGAACCAGGGAUAACGAGUCCACCUCCAGAUGCAGAGCCAAGUACCCCCUUGCAAUGCAUUGAUUAACCCCGUAUACUAAUGCCUUUAUUCAGUAUGGAGGCUCGUGGUGAUGCCCAGAAAGCAAGCAAACCCAAGAAGGAAACCCCCCGAGAAUCCCGCACCACUCUUCCUCCUCCACUCCGCCGUGGAUUCCCAAGCGAACACUCAUCCGUAUUCACCUUAUAGCCCGCUUCCGGGUACAUCCAUCCGACAAGCAGGAUAGUCAGCGUUUGCUGCCGAGCCUGCAAGGCUAAGUGCAAGCUCUCCCAAGAUCCGUAGGGCCAGGUUAGUGAUGGGAAUUGCACUUGUAAUAAAUCCCUUAGUCGAGUCAAGAUGUGAGCGACCACCGUUCUCCCAUCUGUCCUGCCCUCAUGGACCACCGCCUUAGUUCGGGCCUACCAUAAUUCCCAACAGAUGAUAGAUGGAAAGAUCUAGUAAACAAAAGCCAAGGACUGCUAUGGCGUGGGCCGUAGCCACCAUGCUACUUCCAUGUGUCGGGCCGUGCAGAUCUGUGACGACAUCCCCUCUUGUAGUUCAAACGUCCUCCAUACCUGUCGGGCAGUUUUUUUCGUGCAGAAGAGAUGAUUCAAGUGUUCCUCCUCCGGAUGGGAGCAGCACCAACACUGUGACGGACCUUGGACCCCAAACCGGCGUAGCUGCUCCAGGACGGGCAACCUACCCGAUAGCAAGCGAAGCAUGAAAAAUGAUAUUGUGAUGGGCAAGGACCUGUGCCAAAUACAAGCAGCGCCCAGUGAUCCGCGAGAAGUUCCCAUCAAGGGUCUGCAUCCACACCAUCCUGUCCUGUCCCUGGCCCGCAAGAGGCCUGCUAGACAGCACAAGUCGCACCAACUCCGGCGGCAGCGCCUGCGAGAGCGCGCGGCUAUCCCAGUCCUCUCCAGCAGCAAAAUCUACCACCUGCUGAUCCUGAAAAAUCUCCAUCUGGUGGCAUAAUAGACCAGACCCUGUCUAGUUGUCAUGCCAAAAGUCCAUCAGCCCCGCCCGUACCGUCCAGCCUAUUUUCUCCUUCAUGACCCCUUGAACCUCACACAUUCGUCUCCAAGUUAAGAGUUCCCUAGUUUCUCCUCCGCAAGACAAGGGUAUCGUCCCUUACAAUAUUUGGACGCCAUAAAGAAGGCCUACAGCAAGCGACCCUGCCUAAAUCUCCACCACAAUUUCAUUGAAAAAGCCUGGUAUACCUCAAUCACUCGUCGGAGGCCUAGGCCCCCUUCGUUGUGAGGACUACACAAAUUCGCCCACUUCAUCCAAUGGAAUCGUGGGCCAAGCUCAGACGAGCCCCACAGGAAGGAAGCCAUGAUCCGUUCUAGCUCUCGCAAAACCCUCUUAGGCGGCGCUACCGUCGCCAAUAAAUGAAUGGGCAUGGAGGUCAAAACGUGCUUCAGCAACACCACUCUUCCCCCCGGCGAUAGAAUGCGAUGAUUCCAAAAUAAAAUCCUGUUAACAACUCCCUUGCAUAUCUCCACGAAAUGCUCCUUCUUUCCUCUACCAAUGAACAGUGGGCAACCUAGGUAUCUGAUCGGGAGCUCCCUCUUUUGAAAUUCUGUAACCUGCAUGAUAAGCCCACUGCGGCACGGGCCAAGUUGAGGGUGCACUAGGAAGCAACUCUUAUGUUCAUUAAUCUUUUGCCCGAGGCUGCACAAUACUCCUCCAGGACCCACAUUAAUAAACGCAAAGAAGACUUUAAGCCACUAGUGAAGAUGACGACAUUGUUCGCAAAGGAAAGGUGGAUGACCAUCGGGCAUCUGGGCGGGAUCUUGAAGGGAUGAAACUGGCAUUGCUCGAGUAAGGCAUUCAAAACCCUAGACAGUGUUUCGGUACCAUUCACAAAUAAGGCCAGAGAAAUUGGAUCACCCUGCAAUAGGCUACGCGUGAACCAAAAGAAGCCAUGCGGCACGCCAUUGACCAGUACUGAGAACCAAACAUUCGAGAUUAGCCGCCAAAUAGCAUUGAUCCAGGCCUCAGAGAAGCCGAAGCACCUCAAAACCUGUAAGAGAAAGCACCAAAAAACCCUAUCGUAAGCCUUCAUCGUGUCCAUCUUAAUUACCACGUUACCGCCACGGGAAGGCUUCCCAAUACCUGUCACAAUCUCUUGACCUAGGAGAAAGUUGUCCGAGAUCUGAUGCCCUUUAACAAAGCCGCUUUACUAGGGGGAGAUGAUUUUGGGUAACAGAUGCGCUAGACGAUCCGAUAGGAUGUGGAAAAUCACUUUAUUGAUGAAAUUGCAUAGGUUAAUCGGGCGAUACUGCGUGAAGUCCUCUGGGCAAGGAACCUUUGAGAUCAGAACAAUGGUCAUGGCGGUAAUGUUUCGAGGCAGCUUCGCCCCGCAGAAGAAGUUCAAGAUAGCCUUGUAGACGUCCUCUGCAAUCACGUCCCAAGCAAAUGUAAAGAAUCUCCCCGUAACCCCUUUUGGACCCGCCGCACUCUCCUUAUCCAUGGAGAAGAUCACCUCCUUCAUCUCCGCCAUGGUGGGGGACUCCAUCUGUCGGGAGUUGUCGUCUUCCGUUACAAGUUUUGGGAUAACAUCUAGAGGCCCGAAAGAAGAGGAGGGCGACCCCGCUGUGAAAAGCCUUUGGAAGAAUGAAGUUGCCUCCCUACAGAUGUGAUCCUCAGACUCCACCCAGUCUCCAUUCGAAUCACGGAUCUAAUGAAUGAUCGCCCUACUUCUCCUCUCCGCCACCACGGCAUGAAAAUACCUCGAGUUACAAUCUCCAUUCUUUAGCCACCUAGCCCUCGCCUUCUGUCUCCAGAAGCCUUCCUCAAUGGCCAACGUAUUCCGUAGCCGCUUGCGGGUUUCAUUCAAGCCACGCAAUGCCUGUUCCGACGAGUCAUGCUCUUGAAUCAUCUUUGCCUCUGCCACCGCCCUCUCUGCAUCCUUAACAAUCUCGAAUAUGUCACCAAAGGAGUCCUUGGACCACCCUUUUAGUAACUGCUUGGUUAUACGUAGUUUGGCCGCUAACACACUUAGAGGAGAUCCCUCUAUCUCCCCUAUCCACCCUUCCUAAUGACGUCCAAUAACCCUGCUCUGGUGGUCCACACAUUUAAAAAAUGAAACGGCUUUGGUUUGUUGUCCAAUCGAGUCGAGGCCGUCAUUAGAAGUGGGGCAUGGUCCGAUGGGUCCCUUGCCAAGUGCUACACCCGAAUAUCCGAACCCAAGCGAAGGACCUCCAAGUUAAGAAGCAAGCGAUCUAGUCAUUUCCAGACACGGGCUCACCCUUGCCUAUUAUUGCACCAAGUAAAGUUGGACCCAGAGAAACCCGCAUCUGAAACCCCGGCCUCCAUCAUGAACCGCAAAAAAUCCUCCCCCUCGGUCAAACGGAAUGGCUGUCCCCCACGCUUCUCCCCCCUCAUUGACUAUCACAUUGAAGUCCCCAGCUAAGAACCAAGGGACAUCGGACGGUGUACCCACCAUCAAGUCUGCCCACAGCAUCUGACGCUCUUGAACAGUGCACUUGGCAUGCACAAAAGAGAAAUAAACCGUAGAUGGGAGCAACUGGCACUGGACCUGGAGCGAGAGAUGUUGACAUGACUUCUCAACAAUGGAACAAGAGAGAGAAUUUAUAGAAGACCCAUAUGGUCCCCCAUUGAUUUGUGGCACUAAAGUCCAUCCCCAACAUCAACCGCACAUUAUCAAUAUGGCCUACAUCCACUUUUGGUUCACAAAUUGCAAUCAAUUGUAAGGAGUGAAGUUUAACUAAUUUUUUGAACCGGCGUAUAUUAGGGAUGCGAGUAACACCCCUUAUGUUCCAAAACAGUAUUUUAAUCAUUGGACAACAACGUGAAGGAGUUAGAAGCACUGGACUUACUGGAGCGUAAAGUGCCAUCGAAUGGGAAGCGAGCUCGCACCCCUCGAUGUUUAGACUGAGCUAUAGCCGGAGGGUCUACUCCCUUCGGCGAAUGGCACGACAUGUCAGUAGAAACAGCCACUGAGUCAAGGUUCAGCGUGUUAGAGAGCGGCACACUGCUCUUCAAGGGUCGGCACUCCACUGAACCACGAGGAGAAACACUGCCAAAUCUCCCCUGGAAACUGUGCAGCUCCUCCAACAACUCUUUGUCAACUUCGAAUCCAGUUUGGGGGUGCCCUUCAUUCCCACUGCUCUCAAUCUCCAUAGCAACUGCUCGCAGGCGUGACACCUGCUGGUUCUCCUCCCCAUUCGCUGCAACCAAUUGUCCCCCAUCCCACUCUUGCCCAGGCUGCUCCGCUAGAAGGCAGACUUCACCGUGCACAGCCGGCUGUCCGUCACCUCCACGCUGGCCACCCGCAGUUGCCAUCGCAUCCCCCUUCGUACCCAGCUCUCCUACUCUUGGGUGUGGCACCUGCUGAAUCUUCCCCCCAACCGCUGCAAUCAUAUGCCCCCUAUCGCUCACCUACUUCAGUGCUAGGGGCAAGGCCACCGCAUCAUGCACAACAGGUUGCCUAGUGCCUCCAAGCAGUUCAUCCGUAGGCGCCACUGCACCUCCUGAGCGUAUCUCUACCCCUGACUUGCCCAGGCCCUGGGCUCCCUCCGAUGUCGCCCCCAACCCAGCAGGUGCGACUGGCAAGGCUAAGUUGCACCCAACAACAACCGGCUCACCCUCAACAUGCGGUUGUUCCCUUGGUUUCGCUGCCGCGUCCCCCCAUUUCACGCGGCGCUGAUCUAUUCUAGGAGGACGCAGUGCAGGGUUGAGAACAUGACAUUCAUCCACCCCAUGUCCUUGCCGAUAGCAGUGCGAGCAAUACUUAGGGAUAUGUUCUGGAUCAAAGUUUUGUCAAAAGUCAUCGUACUGCCCGUUACCAAUCCAUACCCGUGACGACUUGAGCUGGAACAAAUCGAUCUCGACACAAACCCUCGCGAGACUUGGCUUGGAAGUUGCCAAGAUUGUAGCGUCAAGGAAGAGAAGGACACCUAAAACUGAAACAAUCUAAAAAAUCGCCUCUUUGUGGAAGUAGUGCAGAGGCAGCUUGGGGAGUUGAAACCAAACAGGGACAACCGAAGGUUCUCUGUCAACACGGAAGGCUGGAGACCACUUGAAUAUGCGCAUUGGGAAGCCUAAUACGUACCAAAUACCACGAGCCCGGACGCGGUGAUAAUCUGCUUCGUUGCCCAUGCAGAUGAAGACGUGCCUUGCAUCCAAAAGCCCAACAGUAGCCGCCUCACUCAAAUCUAGCGUGCGUAUGAACUUGCGAACCUCCUCUAGCUUUGGCCGCCCCUUUGAGAAUUUGCCGACAAGUGCAAACCUGUAAGGAGUCGCUAGGGUUUCCAAAUCCUCCUAAGAAAAGAGGACAGCAAGCUCACCUUUGUGGGUAGAGGGUGCAGCCCUAAUCUUCAGCGCCGGCUGCACCGAGUUCCCGGAGAAGAGGUCAGAGAAGGACUUCUUUUGGAAGUCCACGGAAGAGGAGGGAUGCCCUCCAGUAGCAGGCUGGAGGGCUACCAUGCCCAAGCUACGCUUGCUACGUACAAACCCGAGAGGCAAACCCUUUGUCAACGUAUCGAGACUUCAAAAGGAUAAAAAGUGGUACAGAAAGUGAGAUAGAAAAUUCGUUGUAUUUUUACAAUCCUUAAACUGAUAAAGUCAUUUUUAGCACCGAUAUUGAAUCAAAUCUUCCCCGAUAAUGACGCCAAAAACUUGAUGAUGUUCUACCAUAUACCAAAUGUUAACAAAACUUAAAUACUUAUUUUCUACAAGUAUACAGAUCAUUUAUCAAGUACAGAGAUACUAGGUGCCAAUCCCACAAGGACGAUUGUCAAUUACCAAUGAUUUUUGAAUUCCUUUAUUAUUUAGACUACCACAAAUACAAGAGAUUAAAUCUCCACUACAAACAUGAAAUAAAAGUAAUAAAAAUAACAAUAGAAAACUCUUGAAGUUAUGGAAUUCUUCACUACUCUCGCAAGUAAAAUUACCGAUUAGUUAAAUGUUAUUAUCUUGACUAGUUGUGGUAUAAUUUCUUAAUGUAUGUGAAAUCUACUCUUUUAGUAAAUCAACUAUACUUGCAAUUAAGCCAUACUUACUCUUAUGAUUAUGAAAUUAACUACAAUCUUAUUUCUUCUACAAAACUACAUGGAACAAGUCACAAAGGUGAACCUCUACUCUCGUGAGUAUACUCCCUAUAUUUAGCACUUCUUGAACUAGUAUCAAAUCUCAAUUCUCAUUGCAAACUUAACACCUUAAAAUGAUCACAAUUAAUGGUUAAUUAAUCAUGAUUAGAUAAGAAAAAGUGCUAAAUAACUAGUUCAAAAUAAUGUAAUCAAAUAACUAAUUGAACAUCACUAACAAGAUAUAGAAAAUUCAUCCAUAACUCUAAGCAUAAAUUUUAGCAAAAUGAGAAGAGAAUGAAACAAAAGACUAUACUUAUAUUAUAGUUGAACAUGAACUCAAAUACAAAAAAGAAAGUGAUAGGAGAAAAACCACUCUUGUCACAUAAGUUCGAAGCUCUCCAUCUUUCUCGUUAAUUCUUCAUCCAAAUCUAGUUACAAGUACAAGUUGGAUAAACUACACUAACUGUAUCAUAUUAAUAAACUAAGAAAACUAGCGAAGACUAUAUUUUGAUAGUGUCCCCAACCUUUCAAAGUUAAUCUAGAAUAAAAAUUGAUAUUUUUACUGGAACAGUGACUAUGGAACAUGAUGGUGACAUAUAAAAUUCAAUAUCUAUGAUACCAUGAAAUAUCCUAGUGAUGCACAUUCAAUUUUUGUUAGAGAUGUUAUUGGCACUUUGACAUAGCGAAAUUUUGAAUUAAGUGAUGAAAAUGCAUUGAAGUUGUUUUUACUGAAAGCUUUGGUCAUGAGCAUGUUCAAGGAGUAAAAAGGAAGUUUGAUUUUCCUUUUGAAUUGCAAGACAAUGUCUUGGUUAUAGAAUCUCUUAAAUGUAUGAUAGUCUUAUGUUGAUUUACCUUUGUCUCAUUCAAAACUUCUACCAUUUAUUGUGCAGGGCUCAAAGUUAGAGUUAAGGCUGUUGUAAGGCCCAAAGACAACCUAAGAAGGGGGGUGAAUUAGGUUGAUUAAAAUCUUAAUCAAAUUUAUGCAAUUUUUCUUUAAUAAAAAUUUACCUUCUUUUCUAGUAAUAAUCAACCAAGUAGAUUAGAAGAAGAGAGCAAUGUUGAUUAGAAAAACAAGUAUAGAUAAGCAAUGAGAAUUUUAUUAAACAAAAAAAAAUAAGAUAGAAUAUCAAACCGAUUGUCUACCAAGUUUUCCUCAAACUUGAAGACCAAUCACUAGGUUGAGCAACUUCUCUUUGAUGAAAGAUGAUCAACUAGAUGUACAAUGGAGGGAGCACUUCCUCCUUGCCCUAAGUCUCACUUAGUCAAGCUAAGAAGUUUUACAAACACUCAGAUAACCCUCAACAAAGCUACACUAAUGAAACUUUCAACCACAAGAGAAAUGCUCACAAGAAAUUCACACCACUUGGAGAACAAAUCUAGCUUUGGAGACUAUUUUCUAGCUAAAAUAUCUCUUGAGAUCUUGUAAACAAAGUGUGCAAAAGUCCUCCUCUGAAUCAGAAUCGUUUGUAUUUAAAGGGAACAAAAAAUGGGCUUCAUUAAUACUUCCAACGGAUAGAAGGCAGAUGAAGAGUCAGCUAGCCGUUGGGGCUGUCGGACGUCCGACGGCUUAGUCAUCGUCCGAUCCUAUCGUCCGAAAAUCAGUCAAGUUGUUGUUCGGACGUCCGAUGGGAUUUUAUCGUCCGAGCUUCUGUGUCCGAACGUUGUCCAGAGAGUUAUCAAAUCUUUGUGGAAUUUUUAGGAUGUCCGAUGAGAUUGAUGUACGUCCGAAGCAUGCGUCCGAUCCUUCAGGACGUCCGAUGCUUCCUUACGAGCGUCCGACAGAGUCUUGGCAGAGAGUCAUCAACACUUUGUGGAACUUUUAGGACGUCCGACACGAUCACUGUGCGUCCGAAGAGUACGUCCGAUCCAUCCGGACGUCCGAUGCUUCCUCACGAUCGUCCGACAGAAUUUCCUUCUUGAUGUUCUUCAUCCUUUCGGACGUCCGACCGAUUCCUUCGGACGUCCGACAUGAGUGCCCUGUUUUUGCUUCUUCUUUUGGUUGAUUUUCAUUUCUUGACAUAUUCGUACCUGAUUCUUUGAUAGGCAAAAAACACUUAUAUUUGAAGAGAGUUAGAUAAACAUUUCAAAGUCCUUUGUGAUCAUCAAAACCAAGAAUAACAUUCUCCCCCUUUUUGAUGAUGACAAAACAAAGGUUUGAAAUGAGAUUUGAUGAUUGCAAUAAAAACUCCCCCUUUCUCAAUAGACAAGAACUCCCCCUUACUUAGUGAAUCAUAAAAAAAAUUUGAAAAACUCCCCCUCACUUGGCUGCCCAACCGAAUUAAACAAUUAUCCAAAUUAUGACAAUUAAGCAGCCAACAUCAUCAAUCAAUCAAUCAAUCCAACAUCAUCAAUCAUCAAUCAAUCCAGUCCUCUCCCCCUUUUUGUCAUCACAAAAGGGCAAUCAAUCACAUUAUAAUAUGAUAUUAAUAUGUAUUAAUAUGUAUAUUUCAAUUUAUAUUGUAUUAUAUAUAUAAAUUAUAUAAUUUAAUAUGUAAUUUAAUUAUGCAUAUUAAUAUGUAUAUAUAUAUAUUAUAUCAAUUGAAAUAAAUAUAUGUAUUUAUAUAUAAAUAUUAAUAUUUGUUUAAAAUAUAUUUAUAUAAAGAUAUAAAUAUAUACAUAUCAAUUUUGUUUUAUAAUAUGUAUAUUUAUAUAUUUGUAUAUGUAUAUUAAAUAUAUAAUAAUAUACAUAUUAAAAAAUUGAAAUAAAAAUAUUAUAUAUAUAAAUAAAUAAACAUUAAUAUAUAGAAAUAGAGCUAGUAUAUAUUUAAAAAGAAUCUCAACAAAAUUCUAAAUUAUAAAAAUAUUCAAAAAUAUAUUUUAAAAAUACCUCUAAAAACAAUCCAAAAACAUUUACAGUAAAAGUUUUUCAUAUACAAAGUUACAGCAACAUUUUUAAAAAACACCUCCAAAAACAGCUAAUCCAAGCGGAGCCUAUAUCUUAGUAAUAUUUAUAAGUUCUAUUUGCUGCUCCAACACUACCAUCUCUAUUGCCAUUCUGCAUUAGUUCUUCUCGCUUAACAAUAUAUAUUUUGUGUAUCUUAGUAAUAUUUAUAAGUUCUAUUUGCUGCUCCAACACUACCAUCUCUAUUGCCAUUCUGCAUUAGUUCUUCUCGCUUAACAAUAUAUAUUUUGUGUAUCAAAAAUAUCUGUUUUAUACAAUAGCAUCAAUUUUUAGGGGGGCAUUCCAUUUUUGUUUGAUUUUUUCCCGAGUAGGAGAGAAAAGGGAGAUUUGAACUCAGAAUUUCCAAAUCUUAAAAUCUCUACAUUAAUCACUAAAUCAAAGUCUCGUUAACAAUUUUUACAAUAAAUUGACAUAUUCGCCUUAAAAUAUUAAAGGUUUUGACAACAUUUCAAUAAUUUGAAUGGUAUGCAACAUUAGUUCCUCCGAUUACUUCUUUUGCUAGACAGUGGCAGCCCAAACAAGAAAAAUAUUUGUAAGAGGAUGACAUAAAUAGUAAGUAAAAUAAAUUCUCGACACAAAUGGCAAGUAAAAUAAAUUAUUGGGUGUCCCCAAAAUCCACCUUAAUGUACUCUUAGAUCUUUUCCUUUCUUCCUUCCCCAAUUUAUAAUUUAGAGUCUUGAGAAGUAAAGUAGUUGGUAUUUACUUUGUAUCAGCCUUCCCUUAAACCAAUAAUAAAUUGUCAAAACUGAAGGAAUAUAUAACGAAUAAUGAGUCAGAGAAGCAAUGUAGUUGGUUUUUGCAUUUUAUAACACACCAAAAACGAAGCUGGUUUGACAGGAAGUUUUAAACCAUUUGUAAAUGCAGUGAGGCUCAAAUAGGAUACAAUGGAAAGUUCGUUAGUUCUAAAUUUCUUAGCAUUUCUAAACAAGAGCCAAUAGCAUUAUCCAGUAUCUCCUGUGGAAAUGCAAGUCAAAGCAUUUCUCGAUCUACGUUUGCCACUAUUUAUUUGCUAUUUUUGUACCUAAUAAACUCCACAGGAGUCUUUUUCUGCAGAUGCAGAGGAUAAAUAAUUAUUAGAUGAAGAGGACAAAGAAAGUGUGGAAGCUGAACAUCUUGACACGGAUUAUUUACUCUUCAGUCUCAUUUAACUAAAAAAAAGUGAAAGGGAAGUGAUCCAACUGAAUGUAAUGGUUCACAAUUGACUGGUUUUUCCACUUUCAAAUACCUAAAAAUCCUUUUAACAGCAUUCAAAUGUGAUUCUUUUGGACAAGAUUGAAAUCUAGCACACAAGCAAACAGCAAACAUAAUAUCGGGUCUACUUGCGGUUAAAUAAAGUAAGCUUCCAACCAUACCUCUAUAGUGCUUUUCAUCCACAUGUUUACCUUCUUCAUCUUUGUCAAGUUUUGUUGAAGUGCACAUUGGAGUUCCAACUUGCUUUGAAUCCUCCAUGCCAAAUCUUUUCAGCAAUUCCUUAGUGUAUUUUGCUUGAUUUAUGAAACUGCCCUCUAUGGCUUGAUGUAUUUGAAGUCCAAGGAAGAAAUUUAAUUCUCCCAUCAUACUCAUUUCAAAUUCACUUUGCAUAAUGGUGGAAAAAUCCUUGCAUAGAUACUCAUUAGUAGCACCAAAAAUAAUAUCAUCUACAUAUAUUUGCACAAUGAGGAGUUCAUUUAGCACUUGCUUAGUAAACAGUGUGGUGUCCACAACUCCUCUUUUGAAAUUAUUUUCAAUCAAGAAACCACUCAAUCUUUCAUACCAAGCUCUUGGAGCUUGUUUUAGCCCAUACAAUUCUUUUGAGAGUUUAAACACAUGAUUUGGAAAUUUUAAAUUUUCAAAACUGGGGGGUUGAUCCACAUAUACUUCUUGAUCAAUAAAACCGUUUAGGAAGGCACUUUUAACAUCCAUUUGAAACAGUUUAAAACCUUUGAAGCAAACAAAAGCAAGAAGCAUUCUAAUUGAUUCUAAUCUAGCUACGGGAGCAAAUGUUUCAUCAAAAUCAAUUCCUUCUUCUUGAGCAUACCCUUUUGCGACUAAUCUAGCUUUAUUUCUUACAACUACACCUUUAUCAUCCAGCUUAUUUCUAAAUACCCACUUAGUGCCAAUGAUAGAGUGAUUUUGAGGUCUAUCAACUAGUGUUCAAACCUCAUUUCUUUCAAAUUGAUUGAGUUCCUCUUGCAUUGCCAAAAUCCAGUUUUCAUCCUUUAAGGCAUCAUUGAUAUUUUUAGGUUCAAAAAGAGAAACUAAAGCAAAAUUGUCUAUCAAUUUCUUAGAUGAGGAACGAGUGUUUACCUUCUCGGAUGGAUCAUCAAUUAUAAGUUCUUUUGGAUGAUUUUGGCUAAAUUUCCAAGCCUUGGGAAGAUCUUUGAAUGAAUCAUCAUUUUUGUCCUCAUCUUCCCUUUCUUGAUCUUCAUGAGCUUCAUUCUCCAUUUCCUUUGCUUCCGGUUCAGAAUUUCCUCCAUCUCCAAUUUUUAGCUUUUCCAUUCCUUCACGAACACCUACAUCAUCAUCCUCACACGAACUUUUGGAAUUAUCAUCAUUAGUUUCAUCAAAUGUUAUGUGUAUGGCUUCUUCUAUCACAAGAGUCAUUCUAUUAAAGACUCUAUAUCCUCUUUUGUUCUCACAAUAUCCCAAAAAUAUUCCUUCAUCAGAUUUUUUCUCAAACUUACCAAGAUGUUCCUUUAAAUUUAAAAUAAAACAUUUACAACCAAAGACUUUGAAAUAUCCAACCGUAGGUUUCUUAUCAAAAAUCAGUUCAUAAGAUGUUUUAUUCAAAAUGGGUCUCAAAAGGAUUCUGUUCAUCACAUAACAUGCAGUGUUUACCGCUUCAACCCAAAGGUAUUUUGGCAAACUACAUUCACUUAACAUAGUUCUAGCAGCCUCUUGUAGUGUCCUAUUUUUCCUUUCUACAACACUAUUUUGUUGUGGAGUUCUUGCAAUUGAAAACUCAUGUGUUAUGCCAUUAUGAUCACAGAAAUCUGGAAAACCAUAAUACUUGAAUUUCGUUCCAUUAUCACUUCUAAUCCUAACAAUUUUUAAGCCAAGCAGGUUUUGCACUUUAGCAAACAAUGAAGUGAAAUUCUUGAAGGCAUCAUCCUUAUGAGCAAGAAAUAUCACCCAAGUAUAUCUAGAAUAAUCAUCCACAAUCACAAAGCAGUAUUUCUUACCUCCCAAGCUAGUGAUUUGAGUAGGACCAAAUAAGUCAAGAUGCAAGAGUUCUAAAGGUUUAGAAGUUGAAACACACUUCUUUGGUUUAAAAGAAACUUUUGUUUGCUUUUCAAAUUGACAUGCAUCACAAAUUUUAUCCUUUUCAAAACAGAUUUUUGGCAAGCCUCUAACCAGCUUCUUUUUCGAAAUUUCCUUUAGUAAAUCCAUGUUAAAAUGACAAAGUCUCCUAUGCCACAACCAAGGAUCUUCAUUUGAAGCUUUAAGACAUUUGAAGCUAGAAGAAUCAAUUUUAUCAAGAACCACAAUAUAUAUGUCGUUAAACCUCUUACCUUUGAACACAACAUUAUAUUUGGAAUCAAGCACAAUGCAUUCAUGCUUUUUAAACAACACAUUUAAGUCUUUAUCACACAAUUGACUAACACUAAGCAAGUUAUAACCUAAAUUAUCAACUAAGAGCACAUUAUGAACAAAAGUUUCACCAUCCUUACCAACAUCACCUAUUCCAAUUAUCUUAGCUUUCACAUCAUCACCAAAUGUCACCUUUCCACUUGAUUUUGAUUUUAGCUUUAUGAACAAAGAGGGAUCACCGGUCAUAUGCCUUGAGCAGCCACUAUCAAUAAACCAUUUGGACUUGUUUGAGCCUUUUUCCUGAAAAGAGAAAGUGUUUGGUACCCUUUUUAAUUUUUGGGUCCACAAUAGUUAGCAUUGUGUCUAACUAACCACAUGCAUCUCAUCCCUUUGUUCAGAUUUCUUUUCACAUAGCAAUCUCCUUUCAAAUGCCCUUUUUGAUAAUAAAAAUCACACAUAAUGGAAGAGUCCUUAACAUGUAAUGGUUUGACAUAUCUCAAUCCACUUCUUCUAUAUGUUGUGAAAUCAUGUGCAUUUUUGUUGUGUGCUAAUGUUCUUUGAUGAGCAGUAAGAAAGGUAGAUGACAUGUUCUUUUUGAGAAAAUCUUGCUUUCUUGCUUUCAAAGUCUCAUCCAAGUUGUCCAUUCUUUUCUUCAAAUCACCAUGUCUUUCCUUCAGCAUUUCACAAAUACUUGUCUUUCUAUCAAGCUCAUUUUGAACAUCAAAUCCGGCUCUUACAAGACAUUCAUUGUCAGUCUUUAGUUGUUUAUUUUGUUGAAGAAAACUUGCAUUUUCAUGAAUGAGAAAAGCAAUUUUCUGUUUUAGCUGCUUGUUUUUAUCAUAAGAUUCCUUCAAGGCAUUAUGCAGUUUUUCAACAAAGGAUUCAAGAUCAUCAUCUUCUUCAUCAUCACUUUCAGAUUGAGAGUGUAUGGAAGUUACCUCAUUAUCUCCAAUAGCCAUGAAGGCCAUUUGAGCUGAUUCUUCCUCUUCUUCAACUUCCCCUUCGGAGUUGCAUUCAUUCCAAGUAAUCUGGAAGUUGUUGAAUCUUGGCUUUCGAUCAGCUUUCCCAUCUUUCAUUUUCUUCAUGGGGCAUUCGUUUGCAUAGUGUCCAGGCUGUCCACAUUCAUAGUAUUUGUCCACUUGCUUCUUGUUGAAUUCUUGUUUUCCUUUGUUCCUUGCAUUUGAUGAAUAAUUUUGGAAUUGAUUGCUAGGUCCUCCCCUUCUAAACUUCCUUUUAUUCAAGAUUCUCUUGAAGCCCCUUGUGAUGAGAGCAAGAUCAUUAUCAUCACCAUCCGAGUCUUCAUCAUCCAAGUGAGCUGGAUCAUCUUCACCUUGAGUAGUCUUUAGAGCAAUGUUUUUCUUUGCUCUAGCAUCCUCUUCCUCCUGCACUUUAGAUUUCAACUUCAACUCAUAAGAGGUUAGUGAGUUAAUGAGAGAUUCAAUAGGCACAGAAUUUAGAUCCUUAGCCUCCUCUAUUGCAGUCACUUUAUUUUUCCAUUCUUUGCCCAAUGCAUUGAGAAUUUUUCUGUUCUUCUCUCCCAAGGUGUACUCUUUGCCCAACACCUCGAGAUCUUUGAUCAAGUCAUUGAACCUGCAAUAUAUUUUGUCAAUAUCCUCGAGAGGUUCAAUUUUAAAUGAUUCAUACUUUGUGACCAAAAUAGCCUUUUUUUGUUCUCUCACGUUGUCACCACCCUCAUGGAUUUCUCUUAGCUUAUCCCACAUUUCUUUGGCCGAUUUACAGCCUUUUACUCUAAUUGAUUAAUUUGAAUCUAAGACACUACAAAGAACAUUCAUGGCUUUGGCAUUCAAUGUGAGAUUAGUCCUAUCUUGAGCAUUCAUUUCAGCUCUUGUUUUUUGCCGAAGCAACCCUGUAUCUGCAUCAAGAAAGUUAGCUUCAUGCGGUCCUUCACUCACAAUAAACCAUAGCUCAAUAUCAAUAGAUUGCAAAAAGAUAAUCAUCCUUUCUUUCCAUCUAACAUAAUUGGAGCCACUAAACAUGGGAGGCCUAGUAACAGAUUGCCCCUCAACAAACAUAGCAUGACUGGUUGUCAUCUUUUCUCCAAGCCGCUUGAGUUUAAUCUCUAGGAGACCAAGCUUUGAUACCAAUUGUAAGGCCCAAAGACAACCUAAGAGGGGGGGUGAAUUAGGUUGAUUAAAAUCUUAAUCAAAUUUAUGCAAUUUUUCUUUAAUAAAAUUUACCUUCUUUUCUAGUAAUAAUCAACCAAAUAGAUUAGAAGAAGAGAGCAAUGUUGAUUAGAAAAACAAGUAUAGAUAAGCAAUGAGAAUUUUAUUAAACAAAAAGAAAUAAGAUAGAAUAUCAAACCGAUUGUCUACUAAGCUUUCCUCAAACUUGAAGACCAAUCACUAGGUUGAGCAACUUCUCUUUGAUGAAAGAUGAUCAACUAGAUGUACAAUGAAGGGAGCACUUCCUCCUUGCCCUAAGCCUCACUUAGUCAAGCUAAGAAGUUUUACAAACACUCAGAUAACCCUCAACAAAGCUACACUAAUGAAACUUUCAACCACAAGAGAAAUGCUCACAAGAAAUUCACACCACUUGGAGAAUAAAUCUAGCUUUGGAGACUAUUUUCUAGCUAAAAUAUCUCUUGAGAUCUUGUAAACAAAGUGUGCAAAAGUUCUCAUCUGAUUCAGAAUUGUUUGUAUUUAAAGGGAACCAAAAAUGGGCUUCAUUAAUACUUCCAACGGAUAGAAGGCAGAUGAAGAGUCAGCUAGCCGUUGGGGCUAUCGGACGUCUGACGGCUUAGUCAUUGUCCGAUCCCAUCGUCCGAAAAUCAGUCAAGUUGUUGUUCGGACGUCCGAUGGGAUUUUAUCGUCCGAGUUUCUGUGUCCGAACGUCGUCCAGAGAGUUAUCAAAUCUUCGUGGAAUUUUUAGGACGUCCGAUGAGAUUGAUGUGCGUCCGAAGCAUGCGUCCGAUCUUUCAGGACGUCCGAUGCUUCCUUACGUGCGUCCGACAGAGUCUUGGCAGAGAGUCAUCAACACUUUGUGGAAUUUUUAGGACGUCCGACACGAUCGAUGUGCGUCCGAAGAGUACGUCCGAUCCAUCCGGACGUCCGAUGCUUCCUCACGAGCGUCCGACAGAAUUUCCUUCUUGAUGUUCUUCAUCCUUUCGGACGUCUGACAGAUUUCUUCGGACGUCCGACAUGAGUGUCCUGUUUUUACUUCUUCUUUUGGUUGAUUUUCAUUUCUUGACAUAUUCGUACCUGAUUCUUUGAUAGGCAAAACACACUUGUAUUUGAAGAGAGUUAGAUAAACAUUUCAAAGUACUUUGUGAUCAUCAAAACCAAGAAUAACAGCUGUUACCUAGCCAUCUAGAGUAUGUAUUCCUCGGAGAAGGAGAGAAUCUUCCAGUGAUUAUCUCCUGUAAGCUAACUACUUUAGAGGAAGAAAAGUUGAUUCAGAUGCUUAAGCAUCAUAAAGAAGCAAUUGAGUGGACCAUAGCUGGCAUCAAAGGGCUGUCCGGUCACUUGUAUGCACAGAAUUUUGUUGCAAGAAAAUUCUAAUCCUUCAAGAGAAACUCAACAUAGAUUAAAUCCACCAUUGAUAGAGGUAGUAAAAAAAAAGAAGUUUUAAAUCUUCUUAAUAUAGGUAUAAUCUAUUCAAUCUCAGAUAGUAAAAGGGUAAGACCUGUGCAAAUGGUUGCUAAAAUGAUAGGUAUAAUAGUAGUUGAGAAUCCAAAUAGUGAGUUGAUGCCUAUUCAAGUUCAAAAUGGGUGGCAAGAUUGUGUUGAUUUUAGAACAUUGAAUGCAUGAACUCGAAAAGACCAUUUUCCACUACCUUUUAUUGAUCAGAUGUUAGAAAGGCUAGUAGGAAGGUCUCACUAUUACUGUCUUGAUGGUUUUUCAGGUUUUCAUCAAAUUUUAGUUGCAUCAGAAGACCAAGAGAAAACUACUUUCACCUAUGCUUUUACUACAUUCACUUGUUGAAGGAUGUCAAUUGGUAUUUGCAAUGCCCCUUUAACUUUUCAAAGGUGUAUGGUUAGUAUAUUUUCUGAUUAUGUAGAGAAUGACAUAGAGGCAUUUAUGGAUGAUAGUAUGGUCUGUUAUGAUUCUUUUGAUUAAAAUUUAGUUAAUCUCACUAAGGUGUUGAAAAGGUGUAUUGAGACAAAUCGUAACUUGAACUAUGAGAAAUGUCAUUUUUUGGUAGACCAUGGCAUUAUUUUGGGACAUAAGGUAUCUUCCAAGGGAAUUGAAGUAGAUAAAGCCAAGGCAGAAUUCAUUGAGUGUUUGUCUUAUCACAAAUGUGUGAGAACUUUGCUCUUUCUUUUGGCACGCAGGCUUCUACUGCCACUUUAUAAAAGAUUUUUCGAAGAUAGUCCAACCCCUGUGCAAACUACUCGGAAAGGAUGUGGUCUUUAAUUUGAUGAAACCUGUAAGGUGGUGUUUGGCACACUUAAGGAAUCAUUGACCUCGACACUAGUUAUUCAAUCACCAGAUUGGAGUCUAUUUUUUGAAAUCACGUGUGAUGUGAGCAAUUUUGCUGUUGGUGUUGUUCCUUGACGAAGGGAUGGGAGAGCUGCCUAUGUCAUAUACUGUACUUCUAGAAUCCUUGAUAGUGCCAAGUCAUUAAAGUACUUGCACACAAAAAAAAAGGCAAAACCAAGCCCCAUUCAAUCAUGGAUUCUCUUCAGUCGAUUGGCCAUAAGUGAGAAACCCAUGCCUUUGCAAGAUAAUUUUUCAAAUGAGCAUCUUUUUACUAUUCAAAAGACAACUCCACAGUAUACUGAUAUAGUUAACUAUUUAAUGCUACCUAGUGAUUUAUCUCGAUCUCUAAAAGAUAAAAUUAAAAGUGAUGCUAAAUAUUAUGUGUGAGAUGAUCCAUACUUGUGAAAAUAUUAUGUUAACCACGUUAUUCGUAGGUGUGUCUCUAAAAAUGAGAUUCCUUCUUUACUCUCGUUUUGUCACUCGUAUGCAUGUGGAGGACAUUUUGGUUCUAAAAAAACUGCAUGAAAGGUGUUGUAAUACGGUUUAUUUUAGCCAACAUUGUUUUGUGAUUCAUAUAUGAUUUGUAAAGCAUUGAAAAUUGUCAAAAGAUGGGCAAUUUAGACCAUACAGAUCAAAUGACUCUUACUCUUAUGCUUAUCUGUGAAAUAUUUGAUAUAUUGGGUAUUGAUUUUAUGGCCCAUUUUCCUCAUCUAUUGAUAAUAUGUAUAUUUUUUUUGAUGUAGAUUAGGUAUCAAAGUUGGUGGAAGCUACUUGGACUGGCAAUGCUAAAGUUCUAAAUCUUGUCAAAUCUCAUAUUUUUGUCAGCUUGAGUACACCAAGAGCAAUAAUGAAUGAUCGUGGAAAACAUUUUUGCAAUCGUGUAGUUUAGGCUUUGAUGAAGAAAUAUGGUGCCACCAUUGAGUUUCUACUACUAACCGCAGUAGUAGCAUCAGCUAAAAUUUGUCCCUUUUAUGGGGUAGACUUUUUUCAUAAUAUUGUUCACAUCCAUAAAGGAGUCGAAUGAAACCAAAGUUUUAAAGGGAAAUUGGAACGACUUUUUGGAGCUUUUAAGGCAGUCUUAAAAUUCCUUUCUUCUUUUCAAUUUCGAUUGGAUCAUUUUUCUGAAGAUUGAAUACCAUAACUCUUAUUUGUAUUUUACUUCUGAAGAAAGUGAAAAAAUUGUAGAGUGGUCUACUAAAUUGUUCCACCAAAUAAUUGUUGCUGGGCAUAUGUGACUUGGUGUGGAUGGAGGAUCUAACGGUGAUAUAUUUAUCAAAAGUACAAGAAGUAUAUUGAUUUGGAAGUUUAGUGGUCUGAUAAACUCCAACUAAUUGAUUGAGAAGUAUUUUUGGAGUUCAGUGACCUGAUGUUAUUGAUGAUCAAUUGGAUGUAGUCGAGUUGCAAAAAAGUAUAACAUUAUUCUAAAUAGUGAAAUAGUGACUACUUGUACAUUUUGCAAGGUUGAAGGGUGAACUAAACUAUUUAAUAUUCAAGUUGACUAUAUGUACAUUUUGCAAGGUUGAAAGGUAAAUUAAAUUAUUUAAUAUUUGAGUUGAGCUCAAUUGGGUUUCAGACUCAUUUGAAUUCAAUUCACAAACUAAUCAAACUAAAUAUGAACAACAUUUUGUACUUUAUUAUAUCCAAAAUUCAGCUUGAACUUCACUCAAUUAAUAUGAUAUUCAAAAUUUACAUGUAAAAAAUUCAAAUUAUUCAAACUUGACAGGAGCUCAGCGCCAUAAAAGCUUCAUUAACUUUGAUUCAAUAAAUAAACAAGCAAAAUCUGAACAUAAUUUCAAACAUGUCAAAAUAAACAAAUGAGCUUAAACACUAGAAUAUUCAUCUUGAUUAGACUCAUUUACACUUUAAACUCAUCUUGGUAAAAUGCAAUUUUAGUCCACAAAAUUUUUAUUUUAGCCAUUUUUAGAAUAAUUGACAAAAACUUAACAAUAGCUAAUAGUUAAAAUCAAAUUGCUACUACAACUUUGACUUUUCAUUCUUGGUCCCUUAUGUCUGGAGUUUUAACUAUUUAGUCACCUAAGUUUUCAAAUAUUUGAUAUUGAUGGUUUUACGAUGAAAUGAGAUGCGAUUUAGAAUGAAAUUGUGUUAAAUAGGUAAUAGUGUCAUAGUUAAACUUUUUUUCAUCUUUUUCAUCUUUUAUUUCAUUUUAUUUAUGCCACUACGCUUCUUCUCUUCUACAUAGUUGGUAUUCAAUUUGGUAUACAAUGUGUAAGUAUUGUUUAGCUUAUUUGAAAAGGUAUUGUUUUGCAUUUUUAAUAACUGAUUGAUAUAAGUUUUAUGAAUUUUGACUUUUGGUGAUAAUAAAAUAGCUUAAUUGAUUAUCAUUUUAAAGUAAAGGACUAUAUACUAUAAAUAAAUUAAUUUCAUCCUUCUUUUUCUUUUUGCCUUUGAAUAGAUUAUCAAUUGAGUUUGAAAUUAAGCAUUGGCUCCGUUUGGAUUUGAGAGUUUUUCAAAAACUUGUUUUUCAUCUACAAUGCUACAGUAAAAAUUUUACAAAAACACCAUAUCCAAACAAAUAUUUUAAAAACAACUCCAAAUAUAAAAAAUAUAUAUAUAUUUAUAUAUAAAUAUUAUAUACAAAAAAAUAUAUUUUGUUUAAUAAAUAUAUAAAUACAUAUAUAAAUAUUAAUACAAAAAUUAAUAUACAAAAAUAUUUAUAUAUAUAAAUAUUAUAUACAAAAAAUAUAUUUUGUUUAAUAAAUAUAUAUUUAUAUAUAAGUAUUAAUACAAAAUAUAAAUAUAUAUAAUUAAAUAUAUUUACAUAUACUUAUAUUUAUUUAUUUAAAUACAUAAAUAUAUUUAUAUAAAUUUAUAAAUAUAUUUAUUUCAAAUUUUUUAUAAUAUGUAAAUUAAUAUAUAUUAAUAUGUAUAUUUUGAUAUUUAUAUUUCAAUUAUGAAUAUAAGAUAUAUAUAAAUUAUAGUAAUAUUAAUGUAUUUCAAUUAUGUAUAUUAAUAUGUGUAAUAUAUAUAUAUUAUAUCAAUUGAAAUAAAUAUUAUAUUUUUAUAUAUAAAUAUAAAUAUUUUGUUUAAAAUAUAUUUAUAUAUAUAUAUUUAAAUAUAAAUAUAAAAUAUAUUUAUUUAUAUAUUUAUAUAAAUAUGUAAAUAUAUUUAUAUAUUUUAACUUUGUUUUAUAAUAUGUAUAUUAAUAUGUAUUAAUAUGUAUAUUUCAAUUAAUAUAUUGUAUUAUAUAUAUAAAUUAUAUAAAUAUUAAUAUGUAAUUUAAAUUAUGCAUAUUAAUAUGUAUAUCAUAUAUAUUAUAUCAAUUGAAAUAAAUAUAUGUAUUUAUAUAUAAAUAUUAAUAUUUGUUUAAAAUAUAUUUAUAUAAAGAUAUAAAUAUAUACAUAUCAAUUUUGUUUUAUAAUAUGUAUAUUAAUAUAUAUUUGUAUAUGUAUAUUAAAUAUAUAAUAAUAUACAUAUUAAAAAAUUGAAAUAAAAAUAUUAUAUAUAUAAAUAAAUAAACAUUAAUAUAUAGAAAUAGAGCUAGUAUAUAUUUAAAAAGAAUCUCAACAAAAUUCUAAAUUAUAAAAAUAUUCAAAAAUAUAUUUUAAAAAUACCUCUAAAAACAAUCCAAAAACAUUUACAGUAAAAGUUUUUCAUAUACAAAGUUACAGCAACAUUUUUAAAAAACACCUCCAAAAACAGCUAAUCCAAGCGGAGCCUAUAUCUUAGUAAUAUUUAUAAGUUCUAUUUGCUGCUCCAACACUACCAUCUCUAUUGCCAUUCUGCAUUAGUUCUUCUCGCUUAACAAUAUAUAUUUUGUGUAUCUUAGUAAUAUUUAUAAGUUCUAUUUGCUGCUCCAACACUACCAUCUCUAUUGCCAUUCUGCAUUAGUUCUUCUCGCUUAACAAUAUAUAUUUUGUGUAUCAAAAAUAUCUGUUUUAUACAAUAGCAUCAAUUUUUAGGGGGGCAUUCCAUUUUUGUUUGAUUUUUUCCCGAGUAGGAGAGAAAAGGGAGAUUUGAACUCAGAAUUUCCAAAUCUUAAAAUCUCUACAUUAAUCACUAAAUCAAAGUCUCGUUAACAAUUUUUACAAUAAAUUGACAUAUUCGCCUUAAAAUAUUAAAGGUUUUGACAACAUUUCAAUAAUUUGAAUGGUAUGCAACAUUAGUUCCUCCGAUUACUUCUUUUGCUAGACAGUGGCAGCCCAAACAAGAAAAAUAUUUGUAAGAGGAUGACAUAAAUAGUAAGUAAAAUAAAUUCUCGACACAAAUGGCAAGUAAAAUAAAUUAUUGGGUGUCCCCAAAAUCCACCUUAAUGUACUCUUAGAUCUUUUCCUUUCUUCCUUCCCCAAUUUAUAAUUUAGAGUCUUGAGAAGUAAAGUAGUUGGUAUUUACUUUGUAUCAGCCUUCCCUUAAACCAAUAAUAAAUUGUCAAAACUGAAGGAAUAUAUAACGAAUAAUGAGUCAGAGAAGCAAUGUAGUUGGUUUUUGCAUUUUAUAACACACCAAAAACGAAGCUGGUUUGACAGGAAGUUUUAAACCAUUUGUAAAUGCAGUGAGGCUCAAAUAGGAUACAAUGGAAAGUUCGUUAGUUCUAAAUUUCUUAGCAUUUCUAAACAAGAGCCAAUAGCAUUAUCCAGUAUCUCCUGUGGAAAUGCAAGUCAAAGCAUUUCUCGAUCUACGUUUGCCACUAUUUAUUUGCUAUUUUUGUACCUAAUAAACUCCACAGGAGUCUUUUUCUGCAGAUGCAGAGGAUAAAUAAUUAUUAGAUGAAGAGGACAAAGAAAGUGUGGAAGCUGAACAUCUUGACACGGAUUAUUUACUCUUCAGUCUCAUUUAACUAAAAAAAAGUGAAAGGGAAGUGAUCCAACUGAAUGUAAUGGUUCACAAUUGACUGGUUUUUCCACAAAAUAGAACACCAAAAAUACAAAGGCAUGGCGGACGGUUCAUUGGUUUCGGCUUGAUUUUUCGACGGUUGAAAGUUUCAGCACAAAAAAGACAGUCUUUAAAACGGAGUUGUGAAUGACCACCCAAGGGAAGUUAAUGGUAAGAGUAGGUUGAGAAAGGGUUCUUCUAACAAGGAUUUGAUGAGCUCGUUAGUACACAUAAAUAAUACUCAACUAAUAAUGUCUCAAUGCACACAUUUAUAAUUAUUGCCUGUCCUUGCAUUUAUGCACUUCCCUCAACUUUACUUCUUCAAAACAUUGCCACUUGAACGAUACCAUGAGACUGCCGAGAGACCUACAAAGAACAAAAGAAAAGUCCAGUUGCAGUUUACUAAUGUGCCAGACCCAACACAAUAACGAUAUUGGUAAGAUUAGCAUAUUUUAUUCAGAAUUUCUCAAUAAAGAUGCCAUAGUUGUACUACAAUCAAAGAUUUUAAUAUCAAAUGAUGAAGCUCAGUUGUAUAUAUGUCCUAAAUAUGUACUUGUCAGAGUGGAGGUGGCUUCCUGAUCUUUGUGGCUUGCUCAAAGUCGUAUGCUAUCUCUUUCAGUUUUGGCUCUGAUCCUUUUAGCCCUCCAAAAGAAAUGCCAUAUGGGGUGCCAUUAGAGUUAUAACCUGCUGGAACAUUUAUUCCAGGAUAUCCUCCGGUGGAUGUAGCAUAUAUAAUAUUUGCACCAGGUGUCACGAAGGCAUCCAAUUUAUUUUCCUUCAUCAACUUCUCGAAUCCAUUUUUGGAUGCUCUAGUUAAAUUAAGAAGUAGUUCCCUUUCCAUUCUGCCAAUGCCAUGGGUUUUCUCUGCUGCCUCAAAUAUAUCUUGCCCGUAUUGUUCUAUCCUUUCCUGAAGCACAUGCAGUCAAGUAGUCUAAGAGUAUUGUGUCUCUAACAUAAGGCCAUGGACUGAAUUGGGCCUAUUGUUUACUCACCAACUUUGAGUGUUUCUUAUUAAAGACUAUUGCAUCGGCUAGGGAUCGCACAGGAGAGGCAAUCAACUGUUUUAGAUAAGCAUUUAAUGCCAGCUUGAAUUCCACAUUCAUGGCUUUGAAUUGGUCAUUGUACAUUGAAGCUACGAUGGUGUCGAAUCUGGCUGUAUCCACAAUGUCUACCAACACUGCACCUCGUUUCUUUGUUUUAGACAAAAUUUUAGAAAACUGCGUCAGAACUUCGAAAAAUAUUGAAAUAGCCUGACCCAAGUCUAAUCAAAACAAGAUUUUCUAUUUGUUCUGUUAAUGAACCAAAAGACAUGGUGGAAGGUUUUUAACUUUGAUCCAAAUGCAAAGUUAAUCAAGAUGCAGUUUAAAGUAAAAACUGAACAAUUUGUUGUAGUUAGUCAUUCAGCUACUUUACAAGUUUAUAGAUAAGUUCACAUGCCAGGUCAAUCACAAUCAUCUUUCCUUGGACAUCCAAUGUAAGCUUUCAAUUAGGUAUAGAAGACCUUCGAAGGUUAGGCUAAUACCUUAGAAUGUGGAAGUGAGGUUCAAAAGCUUUCAGUGUUUUAGAGGAGUUGCCGAAUCCUACAAAGGAGUACCUUGGAAUCCCCAAUCUCUUUCCUUUAAGUCCAUUAGACUUAACAAAUUUCAAAUAGCCUCCAUGAGGAAUAUACUUCGAAACUUUUUUGGUUGCUACUACAUCAUCAGGGUCAAAUCCAACGAUGGCAUCAAGAACAUACACUGCAUCAGACACAGUCCUGCAUAUCGGCCUGUUCUGCCCGAUAAAGGUAUUGUUAUGAGUUUGUAUCUAUUUAUAAAUACUUCUUUGUCAUUUUUAAGCACUAAUUUCAAAUCUAUGUUAUAUGGCAAUAAAAUAUUGAUGUAAUAAAAAAAAUUGAGCAUCUUUCAUUACCCAACAGUAUCCUAUCGAUGUGAAAUAGGGACAACGCCAGCUCGACUUGUGAGCCCUACAGUUGGUUUGAUUUCCACGACUGAAUUAGAACUAGAAGGGCAUAAAAUUGAUCCAUAUGUUUCUGUACCCAAAGUAACCAUAGCCAUAUUUGCUGCAACUGAUGUUGUUGAACCGGUGCUUGAUCCACAUGGAUCAGCAGAUUUAAGGUAAGGGUCCUACAUGGAACCAAAAUCAUAAUAUGUCAUUGUAUAUCAGUACUUGCAUUUCUAAUUAAUUGACCUGGUAAGGCUGCAUAAGGACUCAGCUUUUGUUUCCUAAACAACAAAUUGUUGAGAACAACAAAACAAAUAAAAACAAAACUUCUGACUCAAAUAAUUGUAUGGAAGUUUGGAAUUUCAGUUGAAGCAUAUGAGCAACUCACCACACUUUGGCCACGUCUAGCAUUCCAACCAUUAGGCACAUUGUUUGACCUGUAUGCAGCCCAUUCUGUCAUGCUAGCCUUUCCUGAUAUGAUUGCACCAGCCCUCCUUAGCUUCUUAACCACCCAGCAUCCCGAGAUACAAUUGAUCCUAGAAGUGCAUAAGAUCCAGCUGUUGUAUUAAGCUUAUCCUUGGUUGCAAUGUUGUCUUUGAGCAGAAUCAGAAUACCAGCCAGUCCUGUCUCCGAUCCUGGCUUCUUAGCCUUUCGAUCCUGGUCUGCCUUGUGGGCUAAAUAUAGAGCAUCUGGAUUCACUUCUAUGACUCCAUUAAGAACUGGAUUUAGUCUCCUAAUCUCUUUGAGGUAGAAUUUAACUAAUUCCUGAGAAGUGAGUCUAUUAUGAUUCAAGGCAAUCCGAAUAUCAUGCAUCGUACCUUUUCUGAAUGAGAAGGGACUUCCCUCAGCAUUAUGAUUGAGGCCGAGAAUAGUAAUACUUGAAAAAAGUAGCAGCGGUAUAUCCAUGUGGAUUUCUAUGCUGCAAUAUCUUUGAGAGAAACUUGUUUCGUGCUUUUUCUUUCUGUGAUGUUCUGAACUUAGUUACUGAUAACAAGGUACUAUUUCUCCAUGUGGUGAUUGACUAAUAUAUUCGAGACAAUGGAUAUGAUACAGUCGGACGAUUUCAUCCUCUAUUGUUGCUUGCUUGGCCAUGUUCUCUAUGAUAAAGACUCUGUUGACUGUGACUUGUAUUUUUUGUAUAGUUCUUUCAGAGAAAAACAUAAAUGAAUAAAGGAUAAGUUACUCAUAACCCCGUGCCUUUUUUUUCCAUGAUAUCACAUGAUGCCUUAAAGUUUCAAAAUAUUUACAUAGUAUCUUAUAAAUUUUUUGUAAAGUGGUAUUUUGACAAAAAAGUACUAGUUGAAAUGCCAAUAAUAGCCUAACUUAAGCACUAUAUUGAAUACAAAAAAUCACUUUACAUAAAAUUAUAGAGAGAUUAUGUAGAUAGAUAUAAAAUUACAAAGGAUUUGAGUAGAUAUUUAUGCAAAACAUUCAAGGGUCCAAUGAAUAUAUAAGCAAAAUCAUAGGUAGAUUAAGUGUUUAUUAUAAUUUCAUUGCACUUACUUCUACAUCUCAAUCAAUAGCCGUUAUCAGAGAUACUUUCCAUUCAUUUUUCACAUUACAUAAAACUAUAUGAGCAUUAUGUAGAUAUUUUGAAAUUUUACGAGAGCCAUAUAGUAUUUAUGCAAAAGCACAAUAAGACUAUAAGUAAUUUACUCGUAAAUAAAAGGAGAAAAAGCAAUAGCCAAUCAUUUCUUUGAUGAAAACAAAGGCCACUGAGGAUGGUCACCUCGGUACUCGUCUAACCCGAGGUGGCCACCUCGCUCAUCACGAACUCCACUUCCUGGUCUCAACCCGAUCUCAGGCUCUGCCACGGAUGAUCUCCUAUAUACUUUGGCUAUCCCAUCUCGACUGCACGCGGAUGAUGUCAUCCUACCUGACACCAUAUUGAACGCCAGUGCUUUAUCUGAAGAGCUACUAAUGCUCUUAAUGGCGGCCACAUAGUGCUAUCUGUCAGGAGGCCCAGACUGCUACAGUGUCAGGGACAGACCUCUAGGCGGGAAAUAGAGCCGUAAUACUCAGAACAUGGGACCCGCUAGCAUGAGCCCCUCGUCCAGUCCUGUCCACUCUUACUCUAUAAAAAUCUCCUGUUCAAUCUCGACAAGUAAGCACACUAUUGCACUCGUACUGUUCAUUACUCUCCUUUCUUUCUCUAUACUGACUUGAUCGUCAGAGUGAUUCCAGGGGACGAAGCCCCACCUCUCACUCCGAAAUAGUAAUCCCAUCUCCAAAUUUCACGUAGCCGAAAGAGGGAGUUGAAUUAGGUCAGUUUGACUACUUAACCAAAAAUCGUCUCUUCAACUGGCGCCGUCUGUGGGAACGUACACUCUAAGAUGAGAUCCAUGUGAUCCUGGAGUAGAAGAGUUCCCUCAAUUGGGGCUGAGCCAAGCUCAGCUGCUCAGCAAGAUCAUGUUUCUGAGAAGCACGGGUCCACUGGGGCCCGGCCCAAGAACGAAGACGUCAUCGUGAAGAUGGCCGAGUUCGUAGCAGGAAACCCCACCAUCUUUGAAGAAUUGGGAAGGUACUUCAAGAGGCAGGGAAAGGAAAAAGCUGAAUCCUCCAAGAGGAGGUCAACAAAAUCCCUCGAGAUGCCUUUUGGAGAGGACUCAGAUGACGGGUAUCUUGACCAAAACGCCUCGAAAUGUGCUUCCUCAAAGGCCAUGUCCAUGAUUGCCUCCAUUUCUAGAGUAUUCUCCCGAAGUUUACUGGGGAGACGGUCUGAGGACGAACGUCGACGACCAGAGGGGCUGGCCGCUGAUUAUAUGAGGGUUGCGCCCUUCACCGAUGACAUCAACAGGAAAAUGGUUCUCUCCAAUUUCAAGCUCCCGAUCCUAUAGCCGUAUGACGGACAAAAGGAUCACUUCCGCGUUUUCAUCUUAGCAUUCCGGCUAUACUGCGUCCCUGAUGCAGUAAUCUGCCGAGCCUUUCCUAUCUUCCUACAAGACACUGUCUGGAAGUGGUUCUGGAGUUUAGAACCCAGCAGCAUAUCCUUACUGGACGAGCUGGUGGACAGGUUCAUCCACUGCUUCGUAUCGUCUCAUCCGGUUACAAAAACCUUAGCCUACCUCCUGAACCUAUAGCAAGCUCCCGGGGAGUCCUUGCGCUCGUAUGUGCAAAGGUUCAACGAGAAAAACGUGCAGAUACCUGACCAGAAUGAGUAGGUAACCAUGGCCGCCUUAACCAAUGGGUUGAUCGUGGGAACCUUAUACACAUAGAUACAUCGGGACUACCCCCGUUUAUUUCGGGAACUCUGGGAGCGGGUGGAUCGAGGCAUCCGAAGUAAGGACCUAAACCACAUGAAGUGGAAAGCCCAGGCCGCCCGCAACGGGCAAGAGUCUUGAACGAAGAAAGAUAUCGGCAGAGUUGAUCCAGGCCGCAGCGGCUUGUCGAAUCAAUUCCGAGAUCGCCGGAGCGUUUUUGACAGGAUUGUGAAGAGGAGAUCAUCCACUUCGGACAUUGAGCUGACUCCCCUUAAUUCCAGCGGGUCUCACAUUCUAGCUGUAAUGAGGCAAAACCACCUCGAUCGAGUCCCUCCUGAGAUCCUGGACAGGAGGGAGAAAAGGAACUCCAGUCUCUACUGUGCCUACCACCAAGACAUUGGGCACGAGACCGAAAACUGCAAUGAUUUGAAGAAAGAGAUCGAAAACCUGAUUAGGCAGGGAUACCUGAAACAGUUCGUCUGCAAGGAUGGAGGUUUCAGAAGAAGUGAAUCCCACCGGAAAAAUAGGGGCCCCUGCCGAGAAGACAGACGGGAUACGAAGAGCCAUUGCCGAGACCUCGAAGACCAUAGCGAGGACAAAAGGCCCCCCUGAGACGGGUCCCCGGAUUAUGGCCCUAACAUCGUAGGGUCAUCAACACAAUCGCAGGUGGUCCGACAGGAGGAGAUAGUCAAAACUCUCGGAAGAGGACCUACCUCCAAGUCAGCAUAGAAGCUGCCGAGGGCAGCUCCAGGCUUUCCGAAGUCAUCACCUAUGGUCCCAGUGACCCCGUUCCUGCUGCCUCCAACAACCACGAAACCCUCGUGAUCGAGAUCCUUACCAAUAACUACAUAGUCAAAAAGGUUUAUAUCGAUCCAGACAGGUCGGUAGACAUCUUGUACUACGGAACUUUUGAAAGUCUGAAGUUGACCCGAGAGCAGCUUACCCCUAUCUGGACCCCUCUUGUAGGAUUCGGGAGACAUGUGGUUAACCCUGAACGGAUGGUCUCCCUGAUGGUGACUAUUGGCCUCCAUCCCCGCUGCCAAACUGUCCCUAUAAGCUUUGCCGUGGUCAAAACUGACUCCCGGUAUAACAUGUUGAUCCGCCGGCCCACACUCAAUGCCUUGAGCGCUGUGUACUUCACAUAUCACCUGAGUUUCAAAUUCCCCAUACCCGCUAGAGUGGCCGAGGUGAGCAGCGAUAUGAGCGCGGCUAAGGAGUGCUACCUCGCCAGCAUACAGGCCGCAGUCACCCCGUGAGCUGAGUCAAAGGCCGAGUGGAAGAGGCCGGAUGUCCUCUCCAUAAACUGUAUCGACCACCAAGAUGCCGGAAAACCUGGCAGGCUGGACGCCGGGGACGAGGUGAGGUCCGACCAAGUGAUUCAAGUGGGGACGAACCUUCCCUCACCCUUUAGAGAAAAAAUGAUCGGCCUGAUAAAAGAGCACCGAGAUGUUUUUGUUUGGACAGCCGAUGAAGUGGUCAGAGUACCACCUGAACACAUGAUACACUGACUUAACGUCGAUCCACAUGCUCGUCCGGUUAAGCAAAAACGGAGGCACUUCGGCCUAGAAUGCAGCAAAGACAUCUUCGGAGAAUACCACGGUCACAGAAUAGACGGGCCGACGCUCUAUCCCGGUUAGAUUCCACUUCAUUUUCCAACCUCAGCAAGACAGUUCUAGUGGAAGUCAUGGACGAGUCAGGAUACUUGGAAGAGACGAUCUAUCCUGUAGACUUGGGGGACACGUGGAUAAGCCCAUUUAUCUUAUUUUUAAGUCAGGGAAUCCUUCCUGAGGACCGAGCCGAAACGAGAAGGAUCCAACGCAAAACUGCUCGGUACGUACUCCGGGAAGGGGAGCUAUAUAAACGAUCCUAUCUUGGCCCGUGGCUGAGAUGCAUUACGCCGGAGGAAGGACACCGCAUCCUCUAGGAAAUCCAAAAAGGCCUUUGUGGGACCCACGUCGGUCACAGGAUGUUGGCUAAAAAAGCCCUAUUCCUCGGGUAUUUCUGGCCUAUUGUCCGACAAGAUGCUCAAGACCUUGUUUUUGGCUGCCCUUCCUGUCAAGUCCAAGCCCCCGAACACCACCAUGCCACAAAUCUCAUGGUUCCUAUCACCUCACCCUGGCCAUUCGAACAAUGGGGGAUAGACAUUAUCGCCCCCUUCCCUAAGGCCAUUGGAGGAUAUACUUUCCUUGUGACCGCGGUGGACUACUUCUCUAAGUGGGUCGAAGCCGAUCCUUUAAGGACCAUCACAGGGUUACCAGUCCAAAAAUUCUUUUGACAAUGCAUAAUCUACCGCUUUGGCAUACCUUGGAUGAUCGUUUCGGAUAAUGGGAAGUAGUUUGCCGAGAAUUUGUUUAAAACUUGGUGCGAGGGUCUCGGCAUCAAGCAAUAUUUCACUUCGGUAGGUCAUCCUCAGGCUAAUGGUCAAGCAGAAAACUUUAACCGAACACUCUUGCAUGGGUUCAAGACCCGAUUGCAUCAAGUUGGAUCAUCAUGGGUAGACGAACUCCCCAGCGUCUUGUGGUCCUACUGAACCACGCCGAGAUCGGCUACGCAGGAAACCCCCUUCUCCGUGGCGUACGGCUUCGAAGUAGUCAUUCCGGUCGAGAUCCUGACACCCAAUCAUCAGAUUGCAGCAUAUGCGGCCGAGGUGAACAAAGAGGAAAGACAAUUGGAUCUCGAUCUCGUGGAGGAGAGGAGGGACGUCGCUUCAACUCGGGUAGUUUCAUACAAGAACAAUUUGGUCCGGCACCAUAAUGCCCGUGUAAAAUAUCGUCAAUUUUAACCGAGAGACUUGAUCCUCCGAAAAAACUUGGUCAGCUGAGUUGAACCGCAAGGUAAAUUAGCCCCGAAGUGAGAGGGCCUCUACCGAAUUAUGCAAUCUAGCCUGAAUGGGUAUUGUAAGUUAGGCUACCGAGAUGGUUCUCUAGUGCCAAGGACUUGGCACGCCGAGAACCUUAGAUUGUAUUAUCCUUGAGAAUUUUAACGAGUUGUUGACUAUUAAACCACUUGAUUAUUUUUAAUAUCUUAAUGCCGUUUGCUUGCUAUUAAAAAAUAAAGGGGACAAGUAGGAGACGAAGUAAAAAAGAAAAAGAGAGACGAUAUGAAGAAAACUCAAUCCAUUUCAUUAAACGUCACAAAAAGUACAAGAACCGAGGUCAGGGAUACUACUAAGCACCUCCCACCUCAGUAUUCUCAUCGCUCCCCACUACUCCCUCAGCCUCGGUUCCCCUGUGACCGGUCAUCUUCUCCGUCUUUUUCUUCGCCAACAUGACCAUUUUCGGCAGCCACUUCCACAAACUCCUAGUCGAGUUCGAACAGCCAUCGGUUGAACUCGUCUCAAACCUCGGCCAAGUUCUUUCUAGCCUGAAUUUCUUCGACCAUUCGAUCACACAACUCCUUGGACUCUUCAUUAUAGUUGGCUUUGUUUUUAAAAUGCUCCAAGUAUUCGGAGGAGAGGUGAGGAGCAACCUCGUCAAUGGCAGAAGUGUGGCCGAACAUAAAACUUGGCAGGGUCAGCUCCUCGGGAUCUUUAUUGAAGGCCUCGGACCUCCUGAAAUCCUCCACAGCCGAGGUCCUGGCACCUUCGAGUACUUGUUGGUGGGAUUUCUUCUCCUCUUUUCCCCUUUUCUACCCCUCUUCAAGAGCCGAUCUAAGGCUGUUGAUGGUGGCCUUGGCCUCCUCUCCCUUUGCCUAGACCUGAUGGAGUCAGUUUUGGAGCUCGAUCUUCUCAGACUCAGACACCGCAAGCUUCCUCUCCAACUUAAAGAUUUUUUCUUGCAACUUGCCGGAGUCUUACUUCUCGAGUAGGUCACUGUACCGACGUGUCGUAUCAGCAACGAAAGCUGUAGAAGAGGCUAUUGCCAGUUCGGGAGGAGUCAGCUUCUCGGUAAACUCCGCAUCCCUCAGCAAGUUGAAAAACAUAACCCACUCUUGCGUUACGCGAGGAUGGGUGCACCGGUCAUUGAUUGAGAGCUGCCAGUUCGGAUACCAGUGCUCGCCGGAGUGCAUCUUGUCUUCUCCGAAAAAUCGAGGUGAGCUAUGGAAACGAUUCCACAACGAAGACCCCAUGACCGGCAUGACUGAGGACUUCAGUUGCUUGCCUCGGCCAUGAGGAGGAAGCGCGACUGUGACCCCUUGAAUGGCUACCCCUUCUGGCACAGACGAGGUGGGCUCGGUAGCUGCCGCAGCUGAACUGCUCUUGGCUGCCGCAGCCGAGCUACUCUUGGCCACCGUAGUUUUAACUUCAGGCAUUUGUGUUUUCUUCUUCGACAGUUGUGCCGAUGUCUCUCCCGAACUUUUCCUCUUCGGUCUCUUGGCCACCUCUGUUGAGUCGGAGGUUAUGAAGUCAGAUACUUUAACCACUGCACAAGAAACAAAUAUUAUUAUCUAUACUAGCCGAAGUAAGAAGAAAGCUAAGAAAGAAAAAUUACAAGGCUUUUGGAGUUUAGUAGAAAAGAAAGCUGUUUUCUCGGGGUCGAUGGCAGCUCGGUUGAUUCCUCCGUCAACCAGCACUGCCUCGAGGUAGUCCCAAUUAUAGAUUUUGAGAUCUGACCCAUUAUCUUCUGAAAGCUCUUCUCGUCCAAGUUCCCUGGGAAAAGGUCAUUUUUCGCAUUCACGGGCCUCCACCAGAAGCCCCAUGGGAAGUCCUCGGCCGAGACGAACAUGAAGUUACGUUUCCAGUUCUUUAACAAAAUGAGGGCACCGACAACAAGUUUCAGGUUGGUGUUGUUCCGAUUGCAAAAAUAGAAUCACCCCUUUUCGCUUCCGUGCCUCUUGAUGAUGUAGCAUUGGCGGAAGAGAUAGACAGUGGGAGUCACCUUUUGUUCUUGGCAAAGCAUUUUAAAUCCCACCAAUAUUCAGAUCGCGUUCGAGAUGAGCUGGGUUAUUCGAACUGUAAAAUACGAAGUACAUUUCGAAAAAAUCUCGUGGUAGGCAUCUUGAGCCCGGCUUCAAGCUGCUCCGUGUAGAUGGCAACGGAGCCCAUUGAGGGCCUCUCGGCUGUGUGGUUCCACCCAAGAGUCCCAAUGCUGUACUCCUCUCUGAAGGGGGACUUCCGCACUAUCCUAUUGGCCGCCGCCGUGCCGAUUCGACUUCGGUACGAUGGAAUAUGGCCGAAGUCAAUGGCAGAGAAACCCUUAGGAAUGACUGGCUCUGCCACUCCCUCAUCACAGGAGACUUCAAUUCCGAGUUCGUCGUUGUAGAAGAUCUCUGAGCGCCUCUCGAGAGACUCCCCAACUUGGGAGUUUUGGUGAAUUCUUUUCCUGAACUGGACGUUUCUUCCUCAGAACUGGACGAUGUCGUCCCCUACAAUGGGUCGGGCCCUUCCCUGGCUUCGUAGCUCGGCUUCAAGGUUUUUUAAUGGGUUUUAGCCAUUUUAGCCAUGUAUAAAAAGUGACAUAAAAAAAAAGUACUUACUAUUGGCCUAGGAAUUGGACAAGAUGAAGAUCUCGACUGCCUUUCUCGCGAUCUCGGCUGAAAAAUAGAUCUCGGCAAAGCUCUCAAAUUUGCGAAAGUCCAGAUAUGAAGAUGAAAAAUAAUGAAUAGUGCGGUGAGAAGGACCCUCUAUUUAUAGGGGUUAGAAAGAAUACGAAGAGGCGGCAAGAAGACGAGAAGGCGACAACAUUAAAAGUCAAAAGGACGUGUCUCCCUCUCUCCUAAUUAAUACUCCGUCCUUUCAACUACCACGUUCUCUGCAUGUAACCAUCCACUAUACCACGUCCUCUCUUGUCCACAUGUCACGUCCCCUAAUCUUUCGGUACAAGUUGAAAUCUCAGGAGUUGAACGGUCUUGGCACCCUGGAGCCUCGGAACCUCUCAGACCUGUGCGCUCCCGAGGAUUGGAGGGCUUAUUGAGAAUGGUCUCCUCGGUACUCGUCUAACCCGAGGUGGCUACCUCGCUUAUCACAAACUCUACUUACUAGUCUCGGCCCGAUCUUAGGCUCUAUCACGGAUGAUCUCCUAUGUACUUUGGUCAUCCCAUCUCGCCUGCACGCGGAUGAUGUCAUCCAACCUGACACCAUAUUGAAAGCUAGUGCUUUAUCUGAAGAGCUACUAAUGCUCUUAAUGGCUGCCACACAGUGCUACCUGUCAGGAGGCCCAUACUGCUACAGUGUCUGGGACAGACCUCCAGGCGCGAAACAGAGCCGUAAUACUCAGAACGUGGGACCCGCUAGCAUGAGCCCCUCGUCCUAUCCUAUCCGCUCCCACUCUAUAAAUAUCUCCUGUUCACUCUCCACAAGUAAGCACACUAUUGCACUCGUACUGUUCAUUACUCUCCUUUCUUUCUUCAUACUGACUGGAUCGUCGGAGUGAUUUCCGGGGACGAAGUCCCGCCUCUCACUUCAGAAUAGUAAUCCCAUCUCCAAAUUUCACGUAGCCGAAAGAGGGAGCUGAAUUAGGUCAGCUCGACUACUUAACCAAAAAUCACCUCUUUAAUUGGCGCCGUCUGUGGGAACAUACACUCUAAGAUGAGAUCCACGCGAUCCCGGAGUAGAAGAGUUCCCUCAACUGGGGUUGAGCCAUGCUCAGCUGCUCAGCAAGAUCACGUUUCUGAGAAGCACAGGUCCGCUGGGGCUCGGCCUAAGAACGAAGACGCCAUCACGAAGAUGGUCAAGUUCGUAGUAGGAAACCCCACCAUCCUUGAAGAACUGAGAAGUUACUUCAAGAGGUAGGGGAAGGAAAAGCUAAAUCCUUCAAGAGGAGGUCAGUAAAAUUCCCCGAGAUGCUUUCCAGGGAGGACUCAGACGACGGGUAUCAUGAUCGAAGUGCCUCAAAACGUGCUUCCUCAAAGGCCACAUCCAAAAUUGCCUCCAUUUCCAGAGCGUUCUCCCGAAGUUCACUGGGGAGACGGUCUGAGGAUGAACGUCGACGGCCAGAGAGGCUGGCCGCUGAUUAUAUGAGAAUUGUACCCUUCACCGAUGAUAUCAACGGGGAAAUGGUUCUCCCCAAUUUCAAGUUCCCAAUUCUACAAACGUAUGACGGACGGGGUGAUCUCCGAGGAUCACCUCUGCACCUUCAUCUCAGCAUUUCGGCUAUACUGUGUCCUCGAUUCAGUAAUCUGUCGAGCUUUUCCUAUCUUCCUACAAGGCACUGUCUGGAAGUGGUUCUGGAGUUUGGAACCUAGAAGCAUCUCCUCACUGGAUGAGCUGGUGGACAGGUUCAUCCACCGCUUCGUAUCAUUUCGUCCGGUUACAAAAACCUCAGCCUACCUCCUGAACCUACAGCAGGCUCUCGGGGAGUCCUUGCGCUCGUAUGUACAAAGGUUCAACGAAGAAAACAUACAGAUACCUGAUCAGAAUAAGCAGGUAACCAUAGCUGCCUUCACCAACGAGUUGAUCGCCGGAACCUUCCACACAUAGUUACAUUGGGACUACCCCCGUUUACUUCAAAAACUCUGAGAACAGGUGGACCGAGGUAUCUAAAAUGAGGAUCUAAACAGCAUGAAACGGGAAGCCCAGGCCGCCUGCAAUGGGCAAGAGUCUCGAAGAAAGAAAGAUAUCGGUAGAGUUGAUCCAGACCCCAACGGCUCGUCGAAUCAAUAACGAGAUCGCCGGAGCGUUUUUGACAGGAUUGUGAAGAGGAGAUCGUCCACUUCGGACGCCGAGCUGACUCUCCUUAAUUCCAGUCAGUCUCACAUUUUAGCUGUAAUGGGGCAGAACCACCUCGAUCGAGUCCCUCCUGAGAUCUUGGGCAGGAGGGAGAAAAGGAACUCCAGCCUUUACCGUGCCUACCACCGAAACGUUAGGCACGAGACCGAAAACUGCAAUGAUUUGAAGAAAGAGAUUGAAAAUCUGAUCAAGCAGGGAUACUUGAAACAGUUCGUCCACAAGGACGGAGGUUUCAGAAGAAGUAAAUCCCACCAGAAAAAUAAGGGCCCCCACCGAGAAGACAAAUGGGAUACGAAGUGCCAUUGCUAAGGCCCCGAAGACCAUGGCGAGGACAAAAGGCCCCCUCCCAAGAUGGGUCCCCGGAUUAUGGCCUUAACAUCGUAGGGGUCAUCAACACAAUCGCGGAUGGUUCGACAGGAAGAGAUAGCCAAAACUCCCAGAAGAGGACCUAUCUCUAAGCCGACAUGGAAGCUGCCCAGGCUUUCCGAAGUCAUCACCUAUGGCCCCAGCGACCCCAUCCCUGCUGCCUCCAGCAACCACGAAACCCUUAUGAUCGAGGUCCUUACCAAUAAUUACAUAGUCAAAAAGGUCUAUAUCGAUCCCGACAGGUCGGUAGACGUCUUGUACUACCGAACCUUUAUAAGUCUGAAGUUGACCCGAGAGCAACUUACCCCUAUCAGGACCCCUCUUGUAGGAUUUCGGGGGACAUGUGGUUCACCUUGAAGGGAUGGCCUCCUUGAUGGUGACUAUUGGCCUCCAUCCCCGCUGCUAGACUGUCCUUGUAAGAUUUGCCAUGGUCACAGCUGACUUCCAAUAUAACAUGUUGAUCGGCCGACCCAUACUCAACGCCUUGAGGGCCGUAUACUCCACCUACCACCUGAGUUUCAAGUUCCCCAUACCCGCUGGAGUGGCCGAGGGGAGCAACGAUGCCAGUGAGGCCAGAGAGUGCUAUCUCGCCACCAUACAGGCCGCAAUCACCCUGCGACCUGAGUCAAAGGCCGAGGGGAAGAGGCCGGAUGUCCUCUCCAUAGACUGUAUCAACCACCAAGAUGCCGAAAAACCUGGCAGGCUGGACGCCGUGGACGAGAUGGAAGAAAUAGUUCUCGACGAGGUGAGACCCGACCAAGUGAUCCAAGUGGGGAUGAACCUUCCCUCACCCCACAGAGAAAAAAUGAUUGGCCUGAUAAAAGAGCACCAAGAUGUUUUUGCUUGGACGGCAAAUGAAGUGGUCGGAGUACCACCUGAGCUCAUGAUGCACCGACUUAACAUCGACCUACGCGCCCGCCUAGUUAAGCAAAAAUAGAGGCACUUUGACUCAGAACGCAGCAAAGCCAUCUCCGGAGAGGUUGACAAGUUGUUGCCAGCCAAGAUGAUUCGGAAAGUCCAGUACCCCACCUGACUGUCUAACCCCAUCAUGGUAAAAAAGGACACCGAUGGAUGGAGAAUGUGUGUGGAUUUCACCGACCUUAAUAAGGCUUGCCCCAAAGAUUGCUACCCGCUGCCGAGAAGAGACGCUCUCGUCGACUCGGUUAUGGGGCAUGAGUUCCUCUGUUUCCUAGAUGCCUUCAAGGGGUACCAUGAAAUAGGAAUGAGUGAGGAAAAUCAGAAGAAGACGGCGUUCUACACCGACCAAGAUGUCUACUGUUACACCACAAUGCCCUUCGAGCUAAAGAACGCCGCGUCGACCUAUCAAAGGCUUGUCAACUGUCUUUUCAAGGACCAGAUUGGUCGCAAUGUGGAGGCCACGUGGAUGACAUCCUCCUAAAAAGCCAAACCUCCUCGACCUUCCUGCCAGACCUGAGGGAGGUAUUUGGCAUUCUCCGAGAAUCCAAAAUAAUACUCAACCCAAAGAAAUGUGUCUUCGGAGUCGCCUCGGAGAAAUUCUUGGGGUACUUAGUUUCCCGCUGGGGAAUCGAAUCUAAUCCCGAUAAAGUCAAGACCAUUCAGGACAUGUCCCCACCUCGGAACUUCCGUGAAGUGCAGAGGUUAAACGAGCGUUUGGCCGCUCUAAACUGCUUCGUCUUAGUCUGCUAAGAAGGCUUUACCCUUCUUCAAGGUAUUGAAGAAGGCUGACCAGUUCGCCUGAAUCGAAGAGUGCCAACAGGCCUUUAACCAGAUGAAAGAAUAUUUACACCACCUUCCUACUCUCGCUUCACCUCGACCUAAGGAAAGGCUGUACCUGUACCUGUCUGCUGCAGACGAGACUAUCAGUGUCGUCCUCAUUCGAGAUGAGGGCGCUCAAGUGCCCGUCUAUUAUGUCAGUCGCGUCCUACACGGGUUCGAGGCCCAGUACACCCGAGCGGAGAAUCUUGUGUUAGGGCUAGUUCAUGCCGCACGGUGAUUGAAACCCUACUUUCUCGCCCAUCCUGUAUCCGUGAGAACAGAUCAACCAAUCCGGCGGAUAUUCGUGCGCCCUGAGAUUUUCGGGCACCUAACCAAGUAGGCUGUUGAAUUGGGAGAGUAUGAUUUAUCGUACGAACCGCGCACUGCCAUCAAAGCUCAAGCAUUGACAAAUUUUCUUACCGAGCUCACCUUCUCUAAGUGCUAAGAUGCCAUUUCCGCCACUUCUAACAUGUCCGAGCCACAGUAAUGGAUGUUGUAUGUGGACGGAUCCUUUAACAGUGAUGGCAGCGGAGCAGGACUGCUUCUAGAAGAUCUCCACGGAGAGGUGUGCUCAUACACCCUCCGCUUUGGCUUCCCGACCACCAAUAAUAAAACCGAAUAUGAGGCCUUGAUUGCGGGAUUUCGGCUAGCCCGUAAACUUGGUGCUUGACGGAUCCAUAUCCGCAGUGAUUCCCAACUUGUUGUGUGCCGAGUGCUUGGUGAAUAUGAAGCCAAGGAAGAGGCCAUGCAAUGGUAUCUCUCCAAAGUUCACCAACUCACCCUGUAUUUCGAGUCUUUUGAAAUCCAAAGAAUACCCCAGUCACGGAACAGACGGGCCGAUGCUUUAUCCUAGUUAGAUUCCACUUCAUUUUUCGACCUCAGCAAGACAGUUCUAGUGGAAGUGCUGGACAAGCCAAGAUACAUGAAAGAGAUGGCCUACCUUGUAGACUUGGAGGACACGUGGAUGAGCCCAUUCAUCUUAUUUUUAAGCUAGGAAAUCCUUUCUAAAAAUCAAAUCGAAGCGAGAAGGAUCCAACAUAAAACUGCUCGGUACGCACUCCGGGAAGGGAAAUUAUAUAAACGAUCCUAUCUUGGCUCGUGGCUGAGAUGCAUUACACCCGAGGAAGGACAUUGUAUCCUCUAGGAAAUCUAAGAAGGCCUGUGUGGAGCCCACGUCGGUCAUAGGAUGUUGGCUAAAAAGGUCCUAUUUCUCGGGUAUUUCUGACCUACUGUCUGACAAGAUGCUCAAGACCUUAUUUUUGGCUGCCCUUCCUGCCAAGUCCAUGCCCCCGAACACUACCAGCCCACAAAUCUCAUGAUUCCUAUCAUCUCACCCUGACCGUUCGAGCAGUGGGGGAUAGACAUUAUCGGCCCUUUUCCCAAGGCUGUCGGAGGAUAUACUUUCCCUGUGACCGCGGUGGACUACUUCCCCAAAUGGGUCGAGACCGAGCCUCUAAGGACCAUCACGGGGUUAGCAGUCCAAAAAUUCUUUUGAAAAUGCAUAAUCUGCCGCUUCGACAUACCUCGGGUGAUCGUUUCGGAUAAUGGGAAGCGAAUCCUGACACCUAGUCCUCAGAUUGCAGCAUAUGCGGCCGAGGUGAACGAAGAGAAAAGACAGCUGGAUCUCGAUCUCGUGGAGGAGAGGAGGGACGUCGCCUCAACCCGGGUAGUUUCAUACAAGAACACUUUGGUCCGGCACUACAAUACCCGUGUAAAAUAUCGUCAAUUUCAACCGGGAGAUUUGGUCCUCCGAAAAGACUUGGCCAGCUGAGUUAAUCCGCAAGGUAAAUUAGCUCCGAAGUGGGAGGGCCCCUACUGAGUUAUGGAAUCUAGUCUGAGUGGGUAUUGUAAAUUAGGCUACCGAGAUGAUUUUCUAGUGUCAAGGACUUGGCACGCUAAGAACCUUAAAUUGUAUUAUUCUUGAGAAUUUUAACGAGUUGUUAACUAUUGAACCACUUGGUUAUUUUUUAAUAUUUUGAUGCCGCUUGCUUGCUAUUAAAAAAUAAAGGAGACAAGCAGAAGACGAAGUAAAAAAGAAAAAGAGAGACGAUAUGAAGAAAACUCAACCCAUUUCAUUAAAUGUCACAAAAAGUACAAGAACCAAGGUCAGGGAUGCUACUAAGCACCUCCCACCUCGGUAUUCUCAUCGCUCCCCACUACUCUCUCAAUCUCGGUUCCCUCGUGACCGGUCUCCUCGCCGUCUUCUUCUCUGUUGACAUGGCUUUCUUCGGCAACCUCUUCCUCAAACUCCUAGUCAAACUCGGACAGCCAUCGGUUGAACUCGUUUCGAACCUCGGCCAAGUUCUUUCCAGCCUAGAUUCCUUCGGCCAUCCGGUCACACAGUUUCUUGGAGUCUUCAUUAUAGUUGGCUUUGUUCUUGAAAUGCUCCAAGUCUUCGGAGGAGAGGUGAGGAGCGACCUCGUCAAUGGUAGAAGUGUAGCCGAACGUAAAAUUUGGCAGGGUCAACUCCCCGAGAUCCUUGUUGAAGGCCUCGGAUCUCCUGAAAGCCUCCACAGCCGAGAUCCUGGCACCCUCGAGUACCUAUUGGUAGGAUUUCUUCACCUCUUUCGGUCUUUUCUGCUUCUCUUCAAGAGCCGAUAUAAGGCUGUUGAUGGUGGCCUCGGCCUCCUCUCCCUUCACGUCGACCUGAUGGAGUCGGUUUUGGAGCUCGAUCUUCUCAGACUCAGACACCGCAAGCUUCUUCUCCCGACUUGGAGAUUUUGUCUUGUAACUUGCCGGAGUCUUGCUCCUUGAGCAAGUCGCUAUACCGACAUGCCAUCUUGGCAACGAAAGCUGUAGAAGAGGCUGUUGCCACUAUAAGGCUCUGGAUCACCUCGGGAGGUGUCAGAUUUUCGAUAAACUCCGUAUCUCUCGGCAAGUUGGAAAACAUAACCAACUCUUGCGUCGCACGAGGAUAGGUACACCUGUCAUUGAUUGAGAGCUACCAGUUCGGAUACCAGUGCUCGCCCGAGUGCAUCUUGUCUUCUCCGGGAAACCGAGAUGAGCUAUGGAAACGAUUUCACAACGAAAACCUCGUGACCGGCAUGACCGAGGACUUCAGUUGCUUGCCUCAGCCAUGAGGAGGAAGCGCGACUGUAACCCCUUGAAUGGCCACUCCUUUUGGCACAGACGAGGUGGACUCGGUAGCUGUCGCAGCUGAACUGCUCUUGGUUGCCGCAGCUGAGCUACUCUUGGCCAUUGUAGUUUUGACUCCAGGCAUUUGUGUUUUCUUCUUCGACGGUUGUGCCGAUGUCUCUCCCGAGCUCUUCCUUUUCGGUCUCUUGGCCACCUUGUCGAGUCGGAGGUUAUGAUGUCGGAUACUUUAACCACUGCACAAGAAGCAAACAUUAUUAUCUAUACUAGCCGAAGUAAGAAGAAAGCUAAGAAAGAAAAAUUACAAGGCUUUUGGAGUUUAGUAAAUAGAAAGCUGUCUUCUCAGGGUCGAUGGCAGCUCGGUUGAUUCCCUCAUCAACCAGCACUACCUCGGGGUAGUCCCAGCUAUAGAUUCUGAUGUCCGACCCCAUUAUCUUCUGAAAGCUUUUCUCAUCCAAGUCCCCUGGGGAAGGGUCAUUUUUCGCAUUCACGAGCCUCUACUAGAAGUCCCUUGAGAAGUCCCCGGCCGAGACGAACAUGAAGUUACGCUUCCAGCUCUUUAUCGAAGCGGGGGCACCGACAACAAGUUUUGAGAUGGUGUUGUUUCGAUUGGAAAAAUAGAACCACCCCUUUUCGCUUCCGUGCCUCUUGAUGGUAUAGCAUCGGCGGAAGAGAUUGACAGUGGAGGUCACCUUUAGUUCUCGGCAAAGCAUUUCAAACCCUACCAAUAUUCAGAUCGCGUUUGGGACGAGCUGAGUUAUCUGACCUGCGAAAUACCAAAUUACGUCUCGAAAAAAUCUCGUGGUAGGCAUCCUGAGCCCGGCUUCUAGCUGCUCCGCGUAGAUGGCAACGGAGCCCAUUAAGGGCCUCUCGGCUGUGUGGUUCGGCCCAAAAGUCCCAAUGCUGUACGCCUCUCUGAAGGGGUACUUCUACACUAUCCUAUUGGCCGUCGCUGUGCCGAUUCGACUUCGGUACGAUGGAAGAUGGUCGAAGUUAGUGGCAGAGAAAUCCCUAGGAGUGACUGGCUCCGCCACUCCCUCAUCACGGGGGACUUCGAUUCCGAGUUCGUCGUUUUAAAUGACCUCUGAGCUCCCCUCGGGAGACUCCCCUACUUGGGAGUUCUCGGCGGAUUCUUCCCCUGAGCUAGACGUUUCUCCAUCAGAACUGGACGACGUCGUCCCCUCUGAUGGGUUGGGCCCCUCCCUAGCUUUAUAGCUCGGUUUCACGAUUUCUUUAUGGGUUUUAUCCGUUCUAACCAUGUAUGAAAGGCGAGAUGAAAAGAAAAGUACUUAUUGUUGGCCUGGGAAUUGGACAAAAUGAAGAUCUCGGCUACCUCUCUCGCGAUCUCGGCUGAAAAAUAGAUCUCGGCAAAGCUCUCAAAUUUGCAAAAGUCCGGAUAUGAAGAUGAAAAAUGAUGAAUAGUACGGUGAGAAGGACCCUCUAUUUAUAGGGGUUAAAAAGAAUACGAAGAGGUGACAAGAAGACGAGAAGGCGGCAACAUUGAAAUUCAAAAGGACGUGUCUCCUUCUCUCCUCAUUAAUAUUCCGUCCUUUCAACUGUCACGUUCUCUGCAUGUAGCCUCCCACUAUACCAUGUCCUCUCUUGCCCACAUGUCACGUCCCCUAAUCUUUCGGUACAAGUUGAAAUCUCAGGAGUUGAACGGUCUUGGCACCCCUGGAGCCUCGGAACCUCUCAGACCUGUGCGCUCCCGAGGCUUGGAGGGCUUAUUGAGGAUGGUCACCUCGGUACUCGUCUAACCCGAGGUGGCCACCUCGCUCAUCACGAACUCCACUUCCUGGUCUCGGCCCGAUCUCAGGCUCUGCCACAGAUGACUUCCUAUGUACUUUGGUCAUCCCAUCUCGGCUGCACGCGGAUGAUGUCAUUCUACCUGACACCAUACUGAAAGCCAGUGCUUUAUUUGAAGAGCUACUAAUGCUCUUAACGGCGGCCGCACAGUGCUGCCUAUCAGGAGGCCCAGACUACUACAGUGUCAAAGAUAGACCUCCAGGCGCGGAACAGAGUCGUAAUACUCAGAACGUGGGACCCGCUAGCAUGAGCCCCUCAUCUUGUCCUGUCCGCUCCCACUCUAUAAAUAUAUCCUGUUCACUCUCGACAAGUAAUCAUACUAUUGCACUCGUACUGUUUAUUACUUUCCUUUCUUUUUCUAUACUGACUUGAUCGUCGGAGUGAUUCCGGGGGACGAACCCCUACCUCUCACUCCAGAAUAGUAAUCCCAUCUCUAAAUUUCACGUAGCCAAAAGAGGGAACUGAAUUAGGUCAGCUCGACUACUUAACCAUAAAUCGCCUUUUCAGCCACCAAGGGCUUUAUUCACCGACAACAUUAGUACAAAAAAUAGGGUGGAUGCCAGUGAAUAUCCUUCGCAAACCAUAUGCUGCACUUUCGUUUCUGAUGGGAAAGUAACAUUAAUAAGUGCUAAAGAUCAAGAACAAUUAAUAGAAAGCAUAUUCAACUAAAUUCAUUUGAUCAACCAUUGAGCUUUGGCUCAGGCCAUAAAAAAGGAACUAAGUCCCUCUUUGCGUUGUAGGUCGAAGAUUUGAACCUCACCUACAGCGAAAAAAAAUCUAAAAUAGACUCUCUUUGAUUUAACCAUUAAGUUUUGUCAGAACAUCUCUUUGAUUUAAUCAGAUUUGUACAUCUGCUAGCCUCUUACACAAUCUCUUUAAACUCUUUUUUUGUAGAAUAAGAUAGAUUAUGUUUACAAAUGAUUUGAAGAUGGGAGGCCUAUGGAUCAUGGUAGCUUCUUCAAAAUUAAAGGCCAUCCCUAUUUGCUUAGGCUUCAUCCCUCUCAAGCCUGCAAAUGGUAUCCCAAACGGCAUGACAUCUCCAAAAUGGGCUGCAGGGACCACUGCAUCUAAACCAUUCUCCAAAUCUAGCUCAAGAAACUGUCUCUUGAGUUUUGACAAUUUUUCGGUCUACUCUAUUGCCUUUCUCUCUUCCUCACCAAUCCCAUUUGUGAAAUGUGUUGCAAUAAAAAUAUUUUGACCAUCAAAGUCGCCAAAUCAGGAUUGUUUUGUUGAAUGCUAUAAUGUCAGCUAACGACCGCAUACGAGAUUCAGUUAGGACUUGCAAAUUAGAAGUAAGAACCAUUGUUUGGAAAACCGGACAGGACCGGCUGGUUCGAUUGGUCGGACUGCGAAGCGGUCAUAGCUCUUGUCCGACUCAUACCUCUGGUUGAUCGAACUUAAAAACAGGUGAGAACCGUUUGAACCAGAUUGAACCGUUGAACCGGCGAUUUUUUUAUUUUUGUCUAUUAAAUUGAAAAAAAAUAUAAAAAGACUAGGUUUUCCUAAACCCUAAAAAUGAAUUAUUAAAUGCCACAGCCACUCACUUUUUUCUCUUAUCAAAUUUGCAUCUUUAUUUUCUAUUUUCUUAACUUUCUCCAAACUCCAAACAUUUUUUUUAAGUUGUAAUCUCUAACUUCAAAAAAUGUGAAUUAAAAAUUUUAAUUCACAAUGUCUAAUUCCCAUGGACACGAAUUUUGUAUAAUUUUAGAAUAUUGUGGUAUUUUUGGAGUAGGUUUAAGAUUAUUUUUUGGUAGAUACAAUUGAGACUGAGAUGCAAUUUAUUUGUUGCAACUUGUAAUUUAAAAUUUUUAUUUGUGAAAAUUCGAGUUUCUUUGAAAAUAUUAAAAUUUUCAUCAUAUAAAGUCUUAAAUUAGUCUAUUACAUGUCUUGUUUUGUACAUAUAUAUUUAUAUAAAUUAUUUUAAAAAAAUUCAUUGAACUAGGGUUGAACCGGUUCGACCGAUUGAAUCUUGACCAAAACACCUCGUUAGUCCAAUUAACGGUCCGAGUUUCAAAACAUUGAUUAGAACUGGUUUCAGUCGGCAUUGCCACUCUGUUACCACUUCGAAAUACAUCAAUAUUGGAUGCCUCCCAAAUGAUGAAUGACAGUUGUACCUUGUUGGCAGUGACGGAGCCAGGAUGUUUUUUUUCUAGGGGGGCCAAAAUUUUCUUAAUAUGCUAUGUUCAAAAUAAUUUCCAUCCAUUUAAAUAUAUGACAUCUAAAAACAUCCAUUAACUUUAAUUAUAAAGGCAUAUAAAAAAUAAAUAAAAUUUUUGGAGAAAAAAUUAAUUUAAUGGUGGCUAAUUCAUAUAUAUACACACACAUAUAUAAACUCUUAUAAUAUAAAUUAAAAUUGUAAAAAUUAGGGAGGAUCAACUUUGUUUUACUCACUAUAAAUGAAAAUUUUCAAAACAUAGUGAGGCCAUGGCCACCAUCAGCCCCCUUGGCUCGGUCACUGCUUGCUGGGAUCAAAAUUUUCAGGGAGAAGAAGAAACAUAGUAGCUAAGUAAAAGCAUUGGCCUAGAACUAGCAAUACAUCUGAGUUGAGCCUCACCUUUCUACCUUAAUGUGCGCAAAUGACACUCAAGAAUUGGAACCACAUUGGACCUACUCGAAUGGAUGACAAAGGGAUUUCUUACCACAUCUAAUUUCUUCCCUUUGAGCCUUUUUUUGUUGAGAAAUUUUUUAUAUGGCCAGCAACAGGAAUGAAUUUGGAAGCUGCUUUUGUUGCUUCACGGUCUUUUCGAUCAAAGCUCACGAUUGACAGCUAGACUGCUAGUAAUAAGCAUCAGCCUCUAAGCAAUAAGUGUCGGAUGCAAGAAACUUGCAAGCAAACAUUUGCUGCAGCAUUUAAUGUGUAUUUUCUCCAAAUGCACAAUCUAAACAUCAAGAAUGUUGUAAGUUUGUGGUUAUUCAGAAGCUAGUUAGCAUAACCUGUCAUCAUCUUGUCUUUCAACAAAAAAAAAGAGGCGCGCACACACACACACAAAACAUAAUCUCAAGAUAACAUUUGACAACUACUAUUUAGUAACUUGUUACUUUUGAACAGUUCCAAAUGGUAGAAUCUGAUACCGCGUAAAUAACAAAAGAUGCAGAAAUGAAUCUGGCAUGGCCAGUUACCAGUUAGUCCAAAAUAGUGGGCUUAAAGCCUGCAAUAGAGUUGGAAUCAUGGUUCAAAGUCGGGUCGCGGCCCAGACCGUUUCACAUCGGUCUCGACAUAUUGGUCAUAGUUUCGACGAGAUACAAAUUUUUAAAAUAUUUAAUAUUCUAAAAAUUGUAAAAAAUAUGAUAAACAAAAAUAAUUUAAAAAUAACAAAAAAAAAAAUUUGAGUUGACUCGGAUUAACUCGGGAUGACUCGGGACGACUCGGCCGUUUUUAUCUGUCUCGAAGAUGUCUCCGAUGAGUUCUCGGCGAUUCAUUAUCUCGGAGUUAUCUUGUCUCGGUGUUGGAUCGGGAAGCUUCGUUCCAGUGACGACUCGGCCGAGUCGUCUCGGUCUCAACCGAGUCGUCUCGGGAACCAUGGUUGGAAUCAGCAGGACAGAGGAUAGUUCCAUCUGUUUCAUUGCUCCGUUAAACCGCCACCAUAUGUGCCGCUACCGAUAUUGCAGAUUCACAGCUGUAUCCACAAGGAUAUCCCCCUUGGUCGUAAGGAACUUGGACAUCCAACGGCACCAACAAUUUGAUUUCCAAGUAAAACUUUCUAAGUUUUUUCUGUACUUCGCUGUUCAUGACUUAAAGUAACAAUCAUGUAUGCAAGAUAUUAAACCCACGAUCACAAUAGGGAGGCUUCAAUUGGCAUUGAGGCGUGCACAAACAAUGGGUGAAAAAGUUAACAGCGGUGAAAAAGUUAACAGAGGAUAGCGAGGCAGUGUUAGAGAGCCUGAAUCAAAACCAAGAGGUGGGGUCUAAUGAGGAGGCAGAAGGCACUUUAGUAAUUAAUCAGGAGAGCCAAUAUGUGGAAAGAGUGGGGGUAGAGGUAGUCCAGCAAGCAAAAAGGACUUUUAGAAGGUUGAAAUCCCCAAACAGAACCAGGAAACCUUUGACAGAGUUAAAUGGUAGAGGUGAUAAACAUACGAAGGCUGGAAAGAGGAAGUGCCUGGUUAGAGAUGAAGAAAUGGAUGAAGCUACCUAAGAGUUAGUGCUUUGGAAAAAAUCUAAGCCUCUGGAGGAGCUGUAUUCUACUGAACUGAGAGGAGAGGAGGAGGGGCCCUUCCUUAAAGGGGCCCCCAAAGGAGUAUGAGGCUCUUGGUGUGGAACUGUCAAGGAGUGGGGAGCCCCUUGACAGUUCCCCAGCUGAGGGAGGUUAACAACCUCUCCUCUCCAAGUUUGAUUUUUUUAAGUGAAACUAAGAAUAGGAAACUUGUCAUUGAUAGGAUUGCUAGAAGGCUCAGGUUUCAGAAUUCUGUAGUGGUCGAAGCUAUGAAUAGAGCAAGUGGCAUGGCUAUGUUUUGGUCUAAGGGCACUAACAUCUUAGAAGUGCAUACCACUGCUUUCACGAUAGAGGCUAAAAUUGAAGACAGUGACAGUAACAGUAUCUGGUGGUUUGUUGGCUUAUAUGCUAGCUGUGAUCAGAUGAUUAGGAGAGAACAAUGGAGGGUGAUCAGUAGAAGGAAAAGGCUUUGGGGAGACAGGUUUCUAAUAGCUGGAGAUUUCAAUGACAUCCUAUCUAAUGAAGAAAAGUGGGGAGGUGCAGUAAGAGAGGAGAGAAGCUUUAGGAAUUUCAAAGAAUUCAUCGAUCAGAACAAUCUAGUCGAUAUUGGCUAUGAUGGUCAACCUUGGACGUGGAGUAACCAUUGGAAUGAUGAAGGAGAAAUUAGGCAAAGGCUUGAUAGAGGCCUUUGUAGUGUGGGUUGGUUCCAAGUUUUUGAGAAGGCAAGAUGCCAGCACUUGACCACUUUGGCUUCUGAUCACUCCAUGCUGAUGAUAGACACCAUACCUGCAACUGACAGGCACAAGAAAAUGUUUUAUUUUGACAAGAGAUGGCUACAAAGGGAAGGGGUGCAACAAGUGAUUGAGAGUGCAUGGAAAAUAGAGGAGCAAGGCUCUAGGAUGUUCAAAAUUACAAAAAAGAUCAGAAAUUGCAGAAUUGAACUCUUGAAAUGGAGGAAUUCUUUCCAAGCCAACUCAAGGAGCAAAAUUCAUGAUCUUAAGAAAGAGCUGGAGGAAGCCAGGAUUUCGGAGUCUGCUAACAGGAGGCAAAAUCUGAAUGACAUCAAAGAUAAGCUGAGCACUGCAUAUAAGGAGGAAGAGCACUUUUGGAGACAAAAAUAGAGAAUUAGUUGGCUUAGGGAGGGGGAUAAAAAUACCAAGUUUUUUCACACCUAUGUCAAGGGUAGAAGAGUGAACAAUAGAAUCAGAAACUUGCAGCGAAAUGAUAGUUCUUGGACUAGUAACGAGGAUGAGGUUGUGAGGGAAAUUUUUGAUUACUUUAAGGAUCCUUUUAGUAGUGGUGGGAGAGGUGACAUGUCUGAAAUUCUAGAUGGAAUUCCUAACUCCAUAACUCAGGACAUGAAUAAUAAUCUGACUAAGGUAGUUGAGGAAAAAGAAAUUCAUGAUGCUCUUUUUUCCAUGAAUUCCGAAAAAACUCCAGGACAAGAUGGGAUGGCUCUUCUAUUUUUCCAGAGAUUUUGGAGCAUCAUCAAAAAAGACAUUAUCUCAGCGAUCCAAGCUUUCUUCACUUCAGGCUUCAUGCUUAAAUCCAUCAACCAUACAGUUAUAUCCCUUAUCCCCAAAAUCCAGAAUCUUAUCAGUUUAAAGCAUUUCAGGCCUAUCAGUCUUUGUAGUGUGCUUUACAAAAUCAUUUCAAAAAUCUUGGCUAAUAGACUAAAGGUAGUCCUGUACAAGUGCAUUAGCAAGACUCAAUCAGCCUUUAUCCCAGGAAGACAAAUCCUAGAUAAUGUAAUGAUUGCUCAUGAAUACAUGCAUUACCUGAAAAACAAAAGACAAGGGAAAGAUGGAUACAUGGCUGUUAAGCUUGACAUGGCAAAAGUUUAUGAUAGGGUGGAGUGGCAUUUUUUGCUGGCAAUGAUGAACAAAAUGGGUUUCUGUACUAAAUGGAUUGAAUGGAUAACUGGCUGCCUAACAACAGUCAAUUAUUCCUUCAAUUGUAAUGGAGAAGUGAAAGGUUUUGUCUCACCAGGGAGAGGUAUUCGUCAAGGAGAUCCAUUGUCACCAUACCUGUUCUUAAUAUGUUCUGAGGGAUUCUCCAAUCUGUUAAGGCAAGCUGAAGAAAGCAAGAGGAUCACAGGCUUGAAAAUCAGCAGGCAAGGUCCUCAACUUACCCAUCUUUUCUUUGCUGAUGAUUCGCUCAUCUUUUGUAAAGCAAAUAAGGAAGAGGCGGCUGAAAUAAUGAAAGUCCUAAAAGUCUAUGAAGUAGCCUCAGGACAGCUGAUCAACUUUGACAAAUCUGCAGUUUUCUUUAGUAAAAAUCUGGAAGAUGUACAAAGAGGAGUGAUCUGCCAAGCCUUGGGAGGGAUGGUGGAAGCUAAGCAAGGAAAGUAUUUGGGUCUUCCUAUGGUGAUUUCCAGAACAAAGAAUCAGAUUUUUGGUUUUAUUAGAGAAAACAUCAAGUGCAAGCUUCAGAAUUGGAAGAAUAAAUUUCUGAGCUUAGCUGGAAAAGAGGUCAUGUUGAAGGCAGUUGCAAUGGCCAUGCCUACGUACGUUAUGUCAUUCUUUUAGCUGCCCAGAUCACUCUACAAAGACAUUAGCACCAUGAUGUCCAAUUUCUGGUGGGGUGGAUCUGAGGGAAGGAACAACAUGCACUGGAUCUCUUGGGACAAAAUGGUAGUACACAAGAACAUAGGCGGCCUUGGGUUCAAGGAUCUAGAAGCCUUCAACAAAGCACUGCUGGGUAAGUAGUUAUGGAGGAUAUUAACCAGCCCAAAUCUUCUGAUCAGUAAGGUUUUAAAAUCCAAGUAUUUCCCUCAGGAAUCCAUACUACAAUGCACCCUCCCUAAAAAUGCAUCAUGGAUUUGGCAAGGAUUACUGGGAGCAAGGAGCUUAAUAGAGGAAGGACUGAUUAGGAGGAUUGGAAAUGGUAGGAACACGAAAAUCUGGGACCAUAAAUGGUUACCAGAGACACCCACGGGGAAGCUUUCAACAUGCAGAACAAGUAACUGUGAGCUAAAGAUGGUUGAUGAGCUAAUCUGCCAGCAGAGAUGGAACAGGAAUGUUAUCUUCAGAUAUUUCAACAAAGAAGAUGCUGAGCAGAUUCUCCGCAUCCCUCUAAGCUUAUCAGGGAGGGAAGAUAGUUUCUACUGGAAACCAAAAGAUGGAGGGGAAUACACAGUCGACUCAGGAUACAAAUUGUUGAUGGAGAAAGGCAUGAACAGAAGAAGGUGCAACCAGGAGGGAGCUGAAACAAGCAUCUCAGAAGGAAGCCAGCAAAUGGUUCAGAUGUGGAAUAUGUUAUGGAAGCUCAACAUUAAGCAUAAAAUCAAGCACUUCAUCUGGAAGUUUAUUAAACGAGCAGUACCAGUCAGGGAGGCAGUGAAAAAGUGAACAGGAGUAGGGGACCCUAUCUGCUCAACCUGUGGCGAGGCUCCAGAAACCAUAGAACAUAUGUUACUCAACUGUCCACAUGCACUGGAAGUAUGGAAAUCAGCCCCCAUUCAGUGGGAUGGAGCAAAUGAUCAGAGGGGUGAUUUAAGAGAUGGUAGAUGAGAAUUACAGAAGCAAGAACUAGACAGGAAGGGAAGGAGCAUAUUGGCCUGACAGCAAAUAUAUUAUGGCAGGUAUGGAAAGAUAGGAACAAGAGGGAAUAUGAGAACUCAAUUAGAUUAGCACCAUUGAGAAUAGUAGAACGUGUGCACAAAGAAUGGAUGGAACAAGGGGUAGAACAUCAGCAAGGGGAUAAAAAGAGUACAGAAGAAACAGUUCAUACCAAUGUUCACCAAGGACAGAGCAAUGGAAAUGAAGGGGCCUUAAUCAUACAAGUGGCAACAGUAAAGAAACAAGGGCAGAACGCCUUUGGCAUAGGAGUCACAGCAAAGAAUGCGGCAAACACUAAAAUUGCAGAUUGGAUGCUGACAGAGAGAAGUUUGGGGAGCAACAUCUUAGACGAAGCUCUGGCAUUAAAAUUGGUUCUGUACAAAGCUGUACAGCAGCAGUGGAGAGAGGUACGUCUCAAUUUCUGCAACAAAGAACUAUGGAAACAACUCACACAGUAACGACCAACAGAUAGCAAGAUGGCUACAUUGCUGGAGGAUAUUCUUGUAAGGCCCAAAGACAACCUAAGAGGGGGGAUGAAUUAGGUUGAUUAAAAACUUAAUUGAGUUUAUGCACUUUUUCCUUAAUAAAAAAUUUACCUUAUUUUCUAGUAGUGAUCAAUCAAGUAAAUUUAAAGAAGAGAACAAUGUUGAUCAGAAUUAAAAAUAUAUAUAAGCAAUGAGAAUUUUAUUAAACAAAAAGAAUAAGAUAGAGUAUCAAACCGAUUGUCUACCAAGCUUUCCUCAAACUUGAAGACCAAUCACAAGGAUGAACACCUUCUCUUUGAUGAAAAGAAAUCAACUCAAUGUACAACAAUGGAGGGAUCACUUCCUCCUUGCCCCAAGUCUCACUUAGUCAAGCUAGAAAGUUUUACUAUCGCUCAGAUAACCCUCAACAAAGCUACACUAUUGAAAAUUUCAAACACAAGAGAAGUGCUUACAAGAAAUUCACACCACUUGGAGAACAAAUCUUGCUUAGGAGACUAUUUUCUAUCUAAAAUAUCUCUUGAGAUCUUGUAAUCAAAGUGUGCAAAAAGUUCCUUCAUGAUUCAGAAUCGUUUGUAUUUAAAGGGGACCAAAAAUGAGCUUCAUUAAUGCUUCCAACGGAUAGAAGACAGAUAAAGAGUCAGCUAGCCGUUGGGGCUGUCGGACGUCCGACCGAUUAUUCAUCGUCCGAUCCCAUCGUCCAAAAAUCAGCCAAGUUGCCGUUCGGACGUCCAAUGGGAUUUUAUCGUCCAACAGAUUCUGCGUCUGAACGUCGUCAGAGAGUCAUCAAAACUUUGCAAAAUUUUUCGGACAUCCGACGCGAUCGAUGUGCGUCCUAAACGUGCAUCCGAUCCUCCCGGACGUCCGAUACUUCCUCACGAGCGUCCGACAGAGUUUCUUUCUUGAUGUCCUUCAUCCUUUCGGACGUCCGACAGCUUCCUUUCGGACGUCCGACAUGAGUGCCCUGAUUUUGGUUCUUUUUUUGGUUGAUUUUCUUUCCUUGACACCUUUGUACCUGAUUUUCUAAAAAGCAAAACACUUAUAUUUGAAGAGAAUUAGAUAAACAUUUCAAAGUCCUUUGUGAUCAUCAAAAUCAAGAAUAACAUUCUCCCCUUUUUUGAUGAUGACAAAACAAUGGUUUUAAAUGAAAUAUGAUGAUUACAAAUAGGCUCCCCCUUUCUCAGUCAAUCGUAGAACAAAACUUGAAAAACUCCCCCUCACUUGGCUACUUUACAGAUUUAUUCAAUCAUCCAAAAACAGUUAAGUAUCUAGCAUCCAACAUUUUACCAAUUCAACGCAUCCCGCAUAUCUAUACGCAUAUCCAUAUCCAUAUUCAUAUCUAGACCAUAUCCAUAUUCAUAUCUAGACCAUAUCUCUUCCCUUUUUUGUCAUCACAAAAGUCAAAAGGUAAAAAUACAUCACAAAAGUAGCAUGAGACAGAACUAAACAUUCAUAACAAAAUAACUUACGAGCAUCACAAACAUUACAUCCACAUAUCCAGUUUUGAACAUUACAAGUAUCAGAAACAAAGAAAACAAAAGAGUCCGAGGCAACCAUCUAACAUCCAGCAAAUAGAAAACAGUCAAAUAGAAUGCAAAUGAUCCUAAUAGGGCUAGUGAUCCUAAAUGGUAAACUAAGUGGAUCCAGGCGUCCUUCGAGUAAGCAGAUACUGAGAGAGAUCCUCCUUCUCAGUGUCUUCAUCAUCUUCAGCAUCUCCACCAACUGGUUUCUUGCCUUUGUCAGAUGUGGAAGGAUCGUGAGGUGCCACGGGAGUAGAGGUGAGGUCGAUGGGAGCAGGACUCACAGAGCGAAUAGGAGCUGAUGAACUCAGAUCAGUAGAGCAUGGCUCUUUGCCAUGAGGAACUUCCUCAACCACAGGUGGGGAAAAGAGAAGAUUCUUUUUAUCCAGGAAGUCUGCUUGUUACUCAGAUGACAUGGUGAGCAUGAGACCAUGUUCAAGAAAUAGAACAUGUUGUUUAAGAUCUCGAAGGAGUUCAACCACUUCAGAAUUUGAAGAAGAAGAUGCCUUAGUGGCAGUCUUCCUAGGAUGAAUAGAAUCAGUGCAGCAGAGGAUGAAGUGUGAAGGGGAUCAUGUGCAGCCUUAGUUCUAGGUUCAUUAGAUGUAGCCCCCUUAUAAGCCCACAUAUUGUCCCUAAAGACCAGAUUCUUGCGCUCAAAAUAAGCCUUAGUAAAGACAGAAGAAAACGUUUCUUUGGGACAAACACCAAGGAUGGGUACUUUGUAAAACUCAAAAAUCUACUGAAGAAAUUUUCCAUAAGACAGUUUUCUAUGAGAAUUAGUGGUAAAGCGAAGUAAAAACUUGCACAUGACAAAGCCAAAGUCAAUGCGAAUUUUUUCUCGAAAAUAAUAAAAAAGAUACAGCUUCAUUUUAUUAGCAUCUGUCCUAUGACCAUCGGUAGGCACAAGUAAAUUUGAAAUGAUUGAGAAAGCAAUGAGAUUCACAGGAGCAAAGUCAUUUAGUUUUGCAUCAGCAGGGGCAGAAAACUUCUUUUUGAAAUAAGACAACAUCUUAGCACUAUCAAAGUGAUUAUCAGCAGAGGGAUGCUCUUCAUAAGAAAAGAAAUUGGCAAUUUUACUUUUGCAUCCAGGUUCAAUAACAGUAUUUAAAACAGCAUUCACAAUCUCAGGAUCAAACACUAAAUCUACCCCAUUUACCCUGGACAUAAUUUCAGUGUCAUCAGUGCCAUUCCUAAGAUUGACAAAGAAUUGAUAUAGCAUUUCAGGGUAAUAAACGUUAGGCAUGGAAAUGAUAUGUGACCGUUUCUGGAAUUCAAAGAGACGCAGAAUGGACUCUAAACCUAUCUUGCGAAAUUCAAAGGGAUUUAUGGUACAUUGAGGAAUAAAACCUUUUUUGGGAUAUCCAGGAGUGUUUUUCUUUGGCAGCAUCAUCAAAGAAUGGGGAGACUGUGGUUGAUUGGAAGAGCGGUUGAGAUGUAGUCCCUUGUCCGGAUUCAGGCUGGGAGGAAGGCUGUCAAGUUUGAGCCUUUACUGCUCCCUUUUUGACGCGUUUAGAGGAUCUUUUGGCCCUAGGAGAAUCAGCAUCCUCAUCUCUGAGUGUGUGUUUGCGUCUGGCAGUCACUUUUCCUCUUCUUAGAUUCACCAUUGUGUGAAAUGCGUGAGAUGUAUGAUGCUAAUGAUGCACACAGUAGUAUGGGAACGAAUUACACAAGAAUUUUGGGGUAAACGAGCCUUGAAGAUGAUUGAACAGAGUGGCUAUGAGAAAAUAGGGUUUUGAGGAAAAUUUGAAAACUGUCGAAAUGUGAUGAGAUUUGGUGAAAAGAUCAGGAAAAUGAACUCGCAAUGAUCAAGAGAAGUUUUUGGUUGAGUCAAUUUUGGAAUGAGUGCUUCAGAAUAGCAUGAAUUUAAGGUGAAAGGAGAGACAGUUUUUCGUCCGAGAGAGGAGAGAAGAGAAGAAGAAGGGUCUGAAGCAAACGAGGAGGGAAGUUACUUAAAAAAGUGUACCGUUGCACUGUCGGACGGCCGAACGAAGUCGUGCGUCCGACAGUUUCGUCCGAACAGGUGCUUUCUGGGAAAAUAGCUGAAGAACAUUAUUGGACGUCCGUUCAUCUGCUUUCGGACUUCCGAAAGCUUUGAACAGGAAAAAAAAUUUAUGAUUUUUCAAUUAUCCCUAAUUUUGAUCUUAGAUGUAUGAAUUGAUCCAAUGGCAAAGCUUUUGUAAAAAAAUCAGCAAUUUGAUCUUUAGAACAAACAUAAUUCACACAAACUUCACCUUUUUGAACAAGAUCGCGAAUAAAGUGAUGCUUUACAUCUAUAUGUUUUGUUCUAGAAUGCUGAAUUGGAUUUUUGGUCAAAUUGAUAGCACUAGUAUUAUCACAGAAUAUAGGCAUGCAGUCAUAUAACAAUCCAAAAUCAUUCAAAGUAUGCUUCAUUCAUAAAAGUUGAGCACAACAUGCACUAGCGACAAUAUAUUCCGCUUCGGUUGUAGACAAAGAAAUUGCAUUUUAUUUUUUGCUAAACCAAGAAACUAAGCAAUUUCCAAGAAAGUGACAAGUUCCACUAGUACUUUUUCUGUCCACAUUACAACCACCAAAAUCCGCAUCCGAAUAUCCAUAUAGAGCAAAUUCACAAGAUCUAGCAUACCAAAGACCAUAGUCUAAUGUACCUUUCAAAUACCUAAAAAUCCUUUUAACAGCGUUCAAAUGUGAUUCUUUUGGACAUGAUUGAAAUCUAGCACACAAGCAAACAUCAAACAUAAUAUCGGGUCUACUUGCGAUUAAAUAGAGUAGGCUUCCGAUCAUACCUCUAUAGUGCUUUUCAUCCACAUGUUUACCUUUUUCAUCUUUGUCAAGUUUUGUAGAAGUGCACAUUGGAGUUCCAACAUGCUUUGAGUCCUCCAUGCCAAAUCUUUUCAAUAAUUUCUUGAUGUAUUUUGCUUGAUUUACAAAAAUUCCCUCUAGGGCUUGAUGUAUUUGAAGUCCAAGGAAGAAAUUUAAUUCUCCCAUCAUACUCAUUUCAAAUUCACUUUGCAUAAUGGUGGAAAAAUCCUUGCAUAGAUACUCAUUAGUAGCACCAAAAAUAAUUAUCAUCUACAUAUACUUGCACAAUAAGAAGAUCAUUUAACACUUGUUUAGUAAAAAGUGUGGUGUCCACAAUACCUCUUUUAAAACCAUUUUCAAUCAAGAAACCACUCAAUCUUUCAUACCAAGCUCUUGGGGCUUGUUUUAGUCCAUAUAAUGCUUUUGACAGUUUAAACACAUGAUUUGGAAAUUUUGCAUUUUCAAAAUCGGGGGGUUGAUCCACAUAUAUUUCUUGAUCAAUAAAACCAUUUAAGAAAGCACUUUUAACAUCCAUUUGAAACAAUUUGAAACCUUUGAAGCAAGCAAAAGCAAGAAGCAUUCUAAUAGAUUCUAAUCUAGCUAUGGGAGCAAAUGUUUCAUCAAAAUCAAUUCCUUCUUCUUGUGCAUAUCCUUUAGCAACUAAUCUAACUUUAUUUCUUACAACUGCACCUUUGUCAUCCAACUUAUUUCUAAAUACCCACUUCGUGCCAAUGAUAGGUUGAUUUUGAGGUCUAUCAACUAGUGUCCAAACCUUAUUUCUCUCAAAUUGAUUAAGUUCCUCUUGCAUUGCCAAAAACCAGUUUUCAUCCUUUAAGGCAUCAUUGAUAUUUUUAGGUUCAAAAAGAGAGACUAAAGCAAAAUUGUCUAUCAAUUUCUUAGAUGAGGAACGAGUCUUUACCUUCUCGGACGGAUCAUCAAUUAUAAGCUCUUUUGGAUGAUUUUGGCUAAAUUUCCAAGUUUUGGAAAGGUCUUUGAAUGAAUCAUCAUUCUUGUCUUCAUCUUCCUUUUCUUGAUCUUCAUGAGUUUCAUCCUCCAUUUCCUUUGCUUCCGGAUUAGAGUUUCCUUCAUCUCCAAUUGUUAGCUUUUUCAUUCCUUCACGAACACCUACAUCAUCAUCCUCACACGAACUUUUGGAAUUAUCGUCAUUAGUUUCAUCAAAUGUUAUGUGUAUAGUUUCUUCUAUCAUAAGAGUUCUUCUAUUAAAGACUCUAUAUCCUCUUUUGUUCCCACAAUACCCCAAAAAUAUUCCUUCAUCAGAUUUUUUCUCAAACUUACCAAGAUGUUCCUUUAAAUUCAAAAUAAAACAUUUACAACCAAAGAUUUUGAAAUAUCCAACCGUAGGCUUCUUAUAAAAAAUUAGUUCAUAAGAUAUUUUAUUCAAAAUAGGUCUCAAAAGGAUUCUAUUCAUCACAUAACAUACGGUGUUUACCGAUUCAGCCUAAAGAUAUUUUGGCAAACUACAUUCACUCAAUAUAGUUCUAGCAGCCUCUUGGAGUGUCCUGUUUUUCCUUUCUACAACACCAUUUUGCUGUGGAAUCCUUGCAAUAGAAAACUCAUGUGUUAUGCCAUUAUGAUCACAAAAUUCUGGAAAGCCACAAAACUUGAAUUCCGUCCCAUUAUCACUUCUAAUCCUAACAAUUUUUAAACCAAGCAGAUUUUGCACUUUAGCAAACAAUGAAGUAAAAUUCUUGAAGGCAUCAUCUUUAUGAGCAAGGAAUAUCAUCCAAGUAUAUCUAGAAUAAUCAUCAACAAUCGCAAAAUAAUAUCUCUUACCUCCCAAGCUAGUAAUUUGAGUAGGACCAAAUAAAUCAAGAUGCAAGAGUUCCAAAGGUUUAGAAGUUGAUACACACUUCUUUGGUUUAAAGGAAAUUUUUGUUUACUUCCCAAAUUGACAUGCAUCACAAAUUUUGUCCUUUUCAAAACUGAUUUUUGGCAAGCCUCUAAUCAACUCCUUUUUUGAAAUUUUCUUUAGUAAUUCCAUGUUAAAAUGACAAAGUCUCCUAUGCCACAAUCAAGGAUCUUCAUUUGAAGCUUUAAGACAUUGGAAGCUAGAUGAAUCAAGUUUAUCAAGAACAACAAUAUAAAUAUCGUUAAACCUCUUACCUUUGAACACAACAUUAUAUUUAGAGUCAAGCACAAUGCAUUCAUGUUUUUUGAACAACACAUUCAAGUCCUUAUCACAUAAUUGACUAACACUAAACAAGUUAUAACCUAAGUUAUCAACUAAGAGCACAUUAUGAACAAAAGUUUCCCCAUCCUUACCAACAUCUCCUAUUCCAAUAGUCUUAGCUUUCACGUCAUCACCAAAUGUCACCUUUCCACUUGAUUUUGAUUUUAGCUUUAUGAACAAAGAAGGAUCACCGGUCAUAUGCCUUGAACAGCCACUAUCGAUGAACCAUUUGGACUUGUUUGAGCCUUUUCCCUGAAAAGAAAGAGUGUUUGAUACCCUUUAAUUUUUGGGUCCACAAUAGUUAGCAUUGUGUCUAACUAACCACAUGCAUCUCAUUUUUUUGUUCAGAUUUCUUUUCACAUAACAAUCUCCCUUCAAAUGUCCUUUUUGACAAUAAAAACUACACAUAAUGGAAGAGUUUUUAACAUGUAAUGAUUUGAUAAAUCUCAAUCCACUCCUUCUAUAUGUUGUGAAAUCAUGUGCAUUUUUGUUGUGUGCUAAUGUUCUUUCAUGAACAGUAAGAAAGGUGGUUGACAUGUUCUUUUUGAGAUAAUUUUAUUUUCUAGCUUUUAAGGUCUCAUCCACAUUGUCCAUCAUUUUCUUCAAAUCACCAUGUCUUUCCUUUAGCAUUUUACAAAGACUUGUCUUUUUGUCAAGUUCAUUUUGAACAUCAAAUUCGGCUCUUACAAGACACUCAUUGUCAGCCUUUAGUUGUUCAUUUUGUUGAAAAAGACUUGCAUUUCUUGAAUGAGAAAAACAAUUUUCUGUUUUAGCUGCUUGUUUUUAUCAUAAGAUUCCUUCAAGGCAUUAUGCAAUUUUUCAACAAAGGAUUCAAGAUCAUUAUCAUCUUCAUCAUCACUUUCAGAUUGAGAGUGUAUGGAAGUUACCUCAAUAUCUCCAAUAGCCAUGAAGGCCAUUUGAGCUGAUUCUUCCUCUUCUUCAACUUCGCCUUCGGAGUUACAUUCAUUCCAUGUAAUCUGGAAGUUGUUGAACCUUGGCUUUCGAUCAGCUUUUCCAUCUUUCUUUUUCUUUAGGGAGCAUUCGUUUGCGUAGUGUCCAGGCUGUCCACAUUCGUAGCAUUUGUCCAAUUAUUUCUUGUUGAAUUCUUGUUUUCCUUUGUUCCUUGCGUUUGAAGACUGAUUCUGGAAUUGAUUGCUAGGUCCUCCCCUUCUAAACUUCCUUUUAUUCAAGAUUUUCUUGAAGUUUUUUGUGAUGAGUGCAAGAUCGUUAUCAUCACCAUCCGAGUCUUCAGCAUCCAACUGAGCUGGAUCAUCUUCACCUUGAGCUGCCUUUAGAGCUGUGUUUCUCUUUGCUCUCGCGUCCUCUUCCUCCUGUACUUUAGUUUUCAACUUCAACUCAUAGGAGGUUAGUGAAUUAAUGAGAGAUUCAAUAGGCACAGAAUUCAAAUCCUUAGCUUCCUCUAUUACAGUCACUUUACUUUCCCAUUCUUUGCCCAACGCAUUGAGAAUUUUCCUGUUUUUCUCUCCCAAGGUGUACUCUUUGCCCAACACCUCGAGAUCUUUGAUCAAGUCAUUGAACCUGCAAUACAUUUUGUCAAUAUCCUCAAGGGGUUCUAUUUUAAAUGAUUCAUACUUUGUGACCAAGAUAGACUUUUUCUGUUCUCUCACGUUGUCACUACCCUCAUGAAUUUCUCUUAACUUAUCCCACAUUUCUUUGACAGAUUUACAUCCUUUUACUCUAAUUGAUUCAUUUGAGUCUAAUGCACUAUAAAGAACAUUCAUGACUUUGGCAUUCAAUGUGAGAUUGGUUCUAUCUUGAACAUUCAACUCAUCUCUUGUUUUUGGCCGAAACAAACCUGUAUCUGUAUCAAGAAUGUUAGUAUCAUGCGGUCCUUCAUUCACAAUAAACCAUAGCUCAAUAUCAAUGGAUUGCAAAAAGAUAAUCAUUCUUUCUUUCCAACUAACAUAAUUGGAACCAGUAAAUAUGGGAGGCCUAGUGGCAGAUUGUCCCUCAACAAACAUGGCAUGAUUCGUUGUCAUCUUUACUCCAAGCCGUUUGAGCUUAAUCUCUAGGAGACCAAGCUCUGAUACCAAUUGGAAGGCCCAAAGACAACCUAAGAGGGGGUGAAUUAGGUUGAUUAAAAACUUAAUUGAGUUUAUGCACUUUUUCCUUAAUAAAAAAUUUACCUUCUUUUCUAGUAGUGAUCAAUCAAGUAAAUUUAAAGAAGAGAACAAUGUUGAUCAGAAUUAAGAAUAUAUAUAAGCAAUGAGAAUUUUAUUAAACAAAAAGAAUAAGAUAGAGUAUCAAACCGAUUGUCUACCAAGUUUUUCUCAAACUUGAAAACCAAUCACAAGGAUGAACACCUUCUCUUUGAUGAAAAGAAAUCAACUCAAUGUACAAUGGAGGGAUCACUUCCUCCUUGCUCCAAUCCUUACUUAGUCAAGCUAGAAAGUUUUACUAUCGCUCAGAUAACCCUCAACAAAGCUACACUAUUGAAAAUUUCAAACACAAGAGAAGUGCUUACAAGAAAUUCACACCACUUGGAGAACAAAUCUUGUUUAGAAGACUAUUUUCUAGCUAAAAUAUCUCUUGAGAUCUUGUAAUCAAAGUGUGCAAAAAGUUCCUUCAUGGUUCAGAAUCGUUUGUAUUUAAAGGGGACCAAAAAUGAGCUUCAUUAAUGCUUCCAACAGAUAGAAGGCAGAUGAAGAGUCAGCUAGCCGUUGGGGCUAUCGGACGUCUGACCGAUUAUUCAUCGUCCGAUCCCAUUGUCCAAAAAUCAGCCAAGUUGUCGUUCGGACGUCCGAUGGGAUUUUAUCGUCCGACAGAUUCUGCGUCCGAACGUCGUCAGAGAGUCAUCAAAACUUUGCGAAAUUUUUCGGACGUCCGACGCGAUCGAUGUGCGUCCUAAACGUGCGUCCGAUCCUCCCGGACGUCCGAUGCUUCCUCACGAGCGUCCGACAGAGUUUCUUUCUUGAUGUCCUUCAUCCUUUCGGACGUCCGACAGCUUCCUUUCGGACGUCCGAUAUGAGUGCCCUGAUUUUGCUUCUUUUUUUGGUUGAUUUUCUUUCCUUGACACCUUUGUACCUGAUUCUCUAAAAAGCAAAACACUUAUAUUUGAAGAGAAUUAGAUAAACAUUUCAAAGUGCUUUGUGAUCAUCAAAAUCAAGAAUAAUGAUUCUAAGUCUGAAGAGACUAUUUUGUAUGUGCUCUUUUGGUUUGGAAAGAGAGGAAAAUAUGUUAGACAGUAGACUACUGAGUGCAGAUGCUUUAAGCAUAAUUGUGGAUGAGAAAAGAAAUUUCCUCAGUGUUCGCUGAACACUUUUGUACAGUUACUUCGAGCCGUUGCUCGUACAUGUAUUAUGGUCUUUUGAUAAUGAAAUUUCCUAUCGUUUCGACCAAAAAAAAGGUAUCUAUCUCAAAUGCAAGUGUGCAACUAUAUAUACAUAUAUAUAUAUUUAUAUUUAUAUAAUGUUGUUCAGUUCUGUUUUAGUAAAUUGGUGAGUUGAAUACCUUCGUAUGAUGCAUGGUGGAUACUCUAUUUUGUUGUCACGUAGACACAUUUAAUGCCUUUUUUAAUUUUGUUCGUCUUUUUUUGUGACAAUUAAUUUCUUUUCUUUUUAAUUUCCUCAUAUUUUUUAUAAAAAAUAAUCAGUUAACCAUAGCUUUCAUUUUUAACAAACUUUCAAAUCACAUAAUUCCUUUUUUUGUAUAAUUUAUUGGGGAUUCGAUAAUUUUUUUACCAUUUUCCAUUUCUCUACUUCUGUUAUUUGGAUUGGUUAUUUAUUAUUACUUCUAAAGUUAUGCUAUUCCAUUUAGGUUGUCCAAGUAGUCAUUUGUUUUAUAAAGUUCGUUUAGUAAUCAUUAUAUUUUCUCCAUUGGAAACCGUUAGCCACACCCAAGUCCGUAUAAGACUUGACUUAGACAUGCUCUCUAUUACUUUUUUCUUUUCAUACUUCUUUAUUUCUUGAACAAUUUAAAAAAAAAAACUUCCUGUCAAUUUAGAUUUCCUUUUCCAGAUUCUUAUGCUUAAAGCAAAUUGGUAAUUCCUCUCUCUAUUAGUUUCCAUUUCUAAAUUUUCUAUUCUUCAAAAAAUUGAAUUUUAAAUGCAUUCAUUUUCCAUUUCCAUUCCUUACAUGUGAAGAUUCUAAAUUAUUUUCUCUCUCUUUUUUUCCCUUUUUUAAUCCUUAACCAAAAAUUUAUGAUCUCCAUUAUCCAAUUUAGAAAAUUAGAGAAACUAUAUAUCCAUCCCUCAUAGUUAAUCACAUAAUUUUACCCAUUCUUCAAUUUAGAAAAUUAUGGAAAGCAUAUAAUCUCCGUCCUUAUAACAUGACAAUGGAAAUCAAUUACUUCAUUUUUAAAUUAUGUUCAAGAAUUGAUUCAGAGCUUUACGUUCUUUUUCAUUUUAUAGAUUUUCAAUUAUUAAUUUCUUUACCUACAUCUUUCUUCAAAAAAAAAAAAACAAUGAUGUGUUAAAAGGCAUCUCAAUCUAUUUACUUCUCCAAACAUGUUACGUUACCAACACCAGUUAGAGUGAGCAAAAGUAAAUCAUAGGUUAAGAUUCAAUCCAAGCUAAUCAUGAAGUUGCUCUGAUUUAACUAUUGUUGUUUUGCUUAACUUGAUGAUUAUUCUUAUAUGUGGUAUGAAUCUUAAAUUUUAUGAAGUCUGUUAUUGUAGUUCUUUUCUAUUAAUGUGUUCCAAAUUCUUCUCUAAUUGCACAGGUGAAUAACUAGUUCCUCAUUAAUUUCUUGUUCUCGUGGUGAUUUUGUCAUAUAGCAAGUUUAACUUCAAAUUUGAUAAUUUGACGUUCUUAUCCUUUUCUAUAUUUGUUGAAAAGAGCAUAUCACUAAUAGGGGCAAUAUCUUCAUGUUCUGGCGAAGGUAAGUGCAAAACUAAGUGAAAUAACUAUGAUACCUAGAUUGGUGGAAAAGAAAAAUGUAUGGCCUCCAAAUAACCUGCUUACCUAAAUUGUCAAAAGUGGAGGGUGAGUGUUUUUUUCUCCGGAAAGAAUUGUUGGAUGCAAUAAUGCUAAGACAAAGAAAAUGCGGAAGACCGGCAUCCCUGACUAUGCAAUAAUAUUCAGUCCUAUUCCACUGAAAAAGGAAGCCAACUUCAUUCGAUACUAGGUUUACACAAACAAAAAACAGGAAUGGAGGACGGUUUCUUGGCCAUUUGCUUGAAUUUUUGGAGGGAAAAGGUCUAAAAUGUAACGUGACCGUCACCCAAAGAAAGUUAACUUGAGAAAGCAAUUUGAGAAAUGAGAAAUUACUAGAAAACUUCAGAUUUGGACAACCAUUAAUUGGCAACAUUUUCUUUACACAGUCAGUCUCUCCAAUAAAAUUGUAGAUUUACCCAAGGUCAUUACUUAGAAAAUUAUACGGGUAUUUAUUGAUAACUAGAAAAAAGCACGUGCAUUGCAUGUGUAUUUAAACAGUAGAAUUAAUCCAAGAUAUAGUUUAUAGAAGGGGGCCAAUUAUAAUACCAAUACUAUUAUGAUUGCCAAAAUUUUAAACCUGAAAAUGCAAUUGCAAAGAUGAAUAGAAGAUAGAUAGAUUUGCCUAAGUAAAUCUAAGUGUCAUGUUGGUCUCAAAAGUGCAAAGUUGGAAAGGCAAACUACUAAGCAAUGCAGGUAAAGAAGCACUUUUGAAAUCUAUGGUUUUAGCCCUUCCAUCAUUUGCCAUGUCUGUUUUUAAAUUAUAUAGUAACAUGUACAAAGAGUUAAGUGGUAUCAUGGCCAAAUUUUGGUGGGCCAAUGACCAACGGGGAAAAAAAGAUGCACCGGAAGAAGUGGCAAGGAUAGCAACUUCUGGAUUCAUAGCUCCAAGGAGGCAGAGAGAAUACUAAGUAUCCCCAUAAGCUUGGAAAACAGAGAGGACAACAACUUCUGGAUUCAUAGCUCAAAUGGAAAUUACUCUAUGAGCUCAGCUUAUAGGGUACAAUCUAGUUAUUAGCACUUCUGGAUUCGAUGCUUCAACAUGGCACUUCUUGCCAAGCAGGCAUGGAUGACUCUUACUAGUUAUUAGCCCCAAUUUGUUAAUGAACAAAGUGUUGAAAAGCAGAUAUUUCCCUCAGUCUGGUUCUCUGGAUUCAAAACUCAAAGUGGGAGCAUCAUGGUUAUGGCAAAGUCUUCACAGUUCCAUACCUGUUGGAAACUUUUCAAAAUUUGUAUGAUGUACAUACAUGUAUUUAAUGUAUAUUCAUGUUUUUGGUACAUGUAUAGUAUUGUGAAUGUUUCUAAAAUGUACAUUCAUUUAUGAAUGUAUUCAUAUAUAUGGGAAUCUUUGAAUGAAAGGAUAGAUUCAUGUUUUGAUAUGCAUGAAUUAAAGUACAUGAAUUUGUACACAAUACUUUGAAUCUAGUCAUACAAGUAUUUAAUGAGUUCUUUUGUUUCUUAAACAAUCUUCCUAUAUGAAGAUGUCAAGUAGAGAAUGGUUUGCUGCAGAAAAUUACUUUCCUACUAUUGUGUACUCUCUCAAAAGCACUCCAUAGUUCACAAAAGGUUUGUCUUGCUUUGUGCAAGAGUUUAGGACAAACAAACUUCAUCUUAUCCUAAAGGAUAUUUGUCCAAGAUUAUUGCACAUUAUACCGGACAAAUAAAGCCUAAAGGAAAGUGAUAUCUAUCACGAUUUGAAGCCAAUUUUUGUCACAAUAUUUGCCAGUUCUUUGCAAUUUUUCCAACAAUACCUUUAAUGUCUAGUGGCCUGAGGAAAGAACUAAGAAGUGGAGAUGGCAUAUCGGUUAACAUCUGGAAUGAUUGUUGGCUACCUAGAAUUGACCGUGGAAAAAUCUCAUCAUCAAGACCAGCCGGAUGCACGGUGGAAUGGGGUAGUGAACUGCUGCAAUCUCUGCUCACACAGGAGGGAAUUCAAAAAAUCCAACAAAUGCCAAUAUGAAUGUUUGGUGGUAAAGAUAAGUUCAAAUGGCUCCACUCAACUAUUGGCCUCUACACAACAAAAUCCGGAUAUGUGGUUGAGAAAGCGAGAUAGAAGGUCAAAGGAGCAAGCAUGAAAGAGGAGGGCAAUCCAGGCAGAAACAAAGAGCAGUCUAAACUACGGAAUCAAAUAUGGAGCAUGAACAUUUGAAACACUUCCUAUGGAAGUGCCUUCACAACAUUCUACCUACUAACGAAGUGGUGUUUAGAAGAACAGGAAAAGGAAAUGCUAGAUUGAAAUUACUGUGGAGAAUCUAAAGAAACUCUGGAACAUGCACUCUUAUCGUACAAAGCUAGCUGGCUUGGAAAUCCUCUCCAAUAAAGUGGGAUGGACUAGAGGAACAGAAAUGGAAUUUCUGGAUUUGGUGGGAAACUAUGCAAUGUAUUGAGAUCCAAAUAUGAUAUGUUGAAUUUUUUUUAAGCACUACAUUAAAGUUCACAUGUCUAUUGCACUCCCUCUCCCUUUGCCUCUCCAUAUUAACCACACUAGUAAUGUGUAGUUGUAGGCUUAGUGUUCUGGAUCUACAAGAGGGUUCUAGCCUAAAGAAGAGGAUAGCGGCAGGCCAAAUAAUGAAAGAGAGAAAAUAUUUGUAACACAAAGGCAUAAAUAGUAAGCAAAAUAAAUUCUCAACAUAAAUAGUAAGUAAAAUAAAUUGUCCGAUGUCUCCAGAACCCAUCUUAGCUAGUACGGAUUUUAGUCGACUCUCAAACUUGGUCAUAUAUAUAUAUGUGAUUUUGUGCCAUGAUCUGAGGAUUGUGUGAGUUUUUAACGCUGUACAUAUUCCCUAUGAAUGUAAUGUAAUCAAGCCAAGAUAUAUCUUUCCUCUUAGUGCGUCUGAUGGCUGCUGUGAACAUUCUGUCGGUGCUUGCGGGUGGGGCAGUAGUGUAAUGUGGCACACACAAUGGAAGGACUUAUAAGUUGUAAUGGGAUAUUUUAGAAUUUUGAAAGAUGUUGUGUACCAAAGAAAAAGCUUAAUCAUUUUUUUAAAAAAAAUUAUCUAAAUAGAUAGUUCCUGGUGAUGACUCAAACAACCCAUACUGAAUUUUAAGAAACUUCCCAUAAAAAUCACAUCCAACGGUAAGAAAAAAUAGAGAAACCAGAAACUUCUUGAAGUAAAACUCCAAAUUACUGAAUCACAUAGAUUGUCAAAAGUAUAGUGUAAGUGGCUUUUCUCCAGAUGUAACCCAAAACCACCGAAAAAGAAAGAAAAGAAUUAUUGGAUGCAGAGGACAAAGAAAUAGUGGAAGUUGAACAUCUUGUCCCGGAUUCUUCAAUUUUUAGUCCCAUUUGACAGAAAAGAAAAACGAAAGUGAAAGAAUCCAACUUGAUGGAAUGGUUGAAAAUUGACUGAUUUUUCCACAUAAUAAAACAUGAAAAACCAAAAGGAACACUGGACGGUUCAUCAGUUUCGGCUUGAUUUUUCGACGGUUUACGAUUUCAGCAUAUUAACGGCUGUACAAAAAAAAAGAGAGUCUAAAACGGAGUUGUGAAUGACCAACCAAAGAAAAUAAAUGGAAGAGUAGUUUGAGAAAGGUUUUAUUGAACAAGCGUUCGAUAAUACUCAACUAAUCAUGUGAAUGCAUACAUUUACAAUUAUUGCCUACCUAUGUAUUUAUGCACUUUCCCUGAACUUUACUUCUUCAAAACAUUAACACCUGAACUCCAUCUUAAGAGUGCCGACAGAUAAAACAAUCAAAUCACAAAGAUCAAAAGAAAUUUCAAUUGCGGUCUACUGAUGUGCCAAAACAAACAUGAUAAAGAUGUUGAUGAGAUAGUAAAUUUUUAUUUAGAAUUACACAACAAAGAUGCCAUAGUUGUACAGCAGUCAAGAUGCUAUUAUCGAAAGAUGCAUCUCAGUUGUAUAUAUGUCCUAAAUAUGCAGUCUCGAGAGAGGAGGUGGCUUCCUGAUCUUUGUGGCUUGCUCAAAGUCAUAUGCUAUCUCUAUCAGUUUUGGUUCUGAUCCUUUUAGCCCUCCAAAAGAAAUGCCAUAUGGGGUGCCAUUAGUGUAAUAACCUGCUGGAACAUUUAUGCCAGGGUAUCCUCCGGCAGAAAUAGCAUAUACAAUAUUGUCAGUAGGCGUCACUAAGGCAUCCAAUUUAUUUUCCUUCAUCAACUUCUCGAACCCAUUUUUGGACGCUCUAGUUAAAUUAAGCAGUAGUUGUCUUUCCAUUCUGCCAAUGCCAUUGGUUUUCUCUGCUGCCUCAAAUAUAUCUUGUCCGUACUUUUUUAUCUUUUCCUGAAGCACACACAGUCGAAUAGUCUGAGAGUAUUGUGUCUCUAACAAAAGGCUAUCGACAGAAUUGAGCCUGUUGUUUACUUACCAACUUUGAGUGUUUCUUAUUAAAGACUAUUGCAUCAGUUAGGGAUCGCACGGGAGAGGUAAUCAACUGCUUUAGAUAAGCAUUUAAUGCCAGCUUGAAUUCCACAUUCAUGGCUAUGGAUUGGUCAUUCAACAUUGAAGCUGUGAUGUUAUCGAAGCUGGCUGUAUCCACAAUGUCUACCAAUACUGCACCUCGUUGCCUUGUUUUAGCCAAGACCUCAGAAUACUGUGUUAGAACUUUUAACAGUGUUGAAAUAUGCUGACCAAAUCUAACCAAAACAAGAUUUUCUAUUUGCUCUGUGAAUCAACCAAGAAACAUGCUAGAAGUUUUUUAAUUGGGGCCUGCAGAGGCCCCGUCCUGGGCCUAGACACGUGGUAGCCCAGGUAUGGCCGAGUUGGGCCUCGACCCCAGGCCCCUAGUAACCGUCCUGGGCCGCAUCGCUGCUAGGGCUCCAGAGGGCCCAGGGGACCAUCCCGCAGAGGUCGGAGGAAAUCCCCCUCGCCGCGGGAUAAGGGUUAUCCCGGGCAAGUCCCGAAACGUACGGAGGUCGGACUCUCAGGAAGGUAUAAAUGGUAAUGCACACCACUUACACAAGGUACGCUCACUAUUGGCACAUUACUCUCGGCUGCUUAAAUUCCCAUAAACCUCAUCCACCGGUGAACUAACUUGACCGUCGGAGUGCCCUCGGGGACGACCUCGGGGCCCCCUGUUAGAUCACCCUGUUGUCCGUCUUGCAGGCUUGGGACCAGCUCUACCCAUCAGCACACCGAGCUCAUUAGUCCAGCUCGGUCCGAGGAAGCUCAGCGCUUCUUCAGUUGGCGCCGUCUGUGGGAACCGUAAGGUAAUCAAGACUGUGUUGAUGGCGAGAACGCGAUCCAAGCGAACGAUAGAGAGCACCGACCCUGGAGCCGGCGAAGGAUCCCAGCGAAUGGAGGCCGAGGCGGCUCGGGGUGCCGGGGGCUCAGCCCUCUCAGGGGAGCGGAGGCAGCAGAUCUUCCAGUUCGUGACGGAGAAUCUCCCCAUGCUGGAAGACAUUAUCCGGCAGGCGAAGGAGGAGGGCGAAGCCGGUGGCGCACAGACCUCCAAGGCGAAGGGGAAAGAGAAAGAACCACUUCCGGACCCCUCGGAGGAUGAGUCACGCGACCAACCCCCCAGAAAGAAACGGCCACGGAUUCCCCCUCGCCCCCGAGUCUCGGUGGUCGGGGACAGCGAGAGAUACUCCCGCGACCGGCCCGCGGGGAGCCGUCCAAGAGACCCCUCCCCACGGAAACCUACGCGGAAUGGGCUCGAGCGUUCCCCUGCUCGGUCUGUGAAGAGCCGGCCGCGCGACCUACCCCCGUGGAAACCUGUCCGAGACGAACUCGAGCAGAUCUUGCGGCUGCAGUUGUACGAGGACAACUACACCACCUCGCCCUUUCCCCGGGAAAUAGAGGAUUACCCCCUAUUCCGGAGAUUCAAGAUCCCGAACAUUGAGAUGUAUGAUGCUUCAACCGACCCGAAAGACCACCUCUUGGUCUUCCUGACGCACAUGCGUCUGCAAACAGCCGCGAAUGAGAUCCGCUGCAAGACCUUCCCCAUGUUCUUAAAGGGGAAGGCUCGGCUCUGGUUCCAAGGUCUGGCACCAGGGUCUAUCCGGAGUUUCCCUGAAUUGGCCAGAUAGUUCGUAACCCAAUUCGUUUCCUCGAAAACUUACUCGAAGAAUGCAACUCACCUAAUGGCUAUCAGGCAGAGGCUCGACGAGUCCCUGAGAAAUUUCAUGACCCGUUUCAACGCGGAGAGUUUACAGGCCAGGGACAAAGACGAAAAGUUGGUCAUGGCCGCCUUCACGAAUGGGCUCAGGGUAGAGGAGCUCUUCUAUAACUUGGCCGAGAAGCCUACUGAAAAUCUGGAGGAGCUCCUGACCAGGGCGCACGCGGCCGCUAAUGCGGAGGAGGCAGGCCGUCUGAAGAAAGAGUCAGAUCGGGAGCUCGGAAAUCGGAGGGGACGGGGAAACCCCCCUGAAAGCAAGGAUGGUUCGGCCAGGAAAAACGUCUUUGACCGGCUCUCGAGGGAGAAAGCCCCUGCUCCGCCACCACUCCCGGGGAAAGGCUACACCCCAUUGACUCGGCCUAGGGCCCAGAUCCUGGCUGUUAUGGAGGCGGAAGGCCUGGGAGGUCGGCCGCCCAAGAUGGGGACACCUCGAAACAAGAGGAACCAGGACCGGUACUGCGCUUUCCACCGCGACGUCGGACACGACAUGGAGGGGUGUUGGGCCCUGCGGAAGGAGAUCGAAAAUCUGAUCGAGUGCGGCUUCCUGGGGCGAUUUGUGCGGCAAGGUUGCCCCGGCCAGGAGCCCGGGCACACCUACCGCGGAGACCGGGGCGAAAGCCGGAGUCGCGACCGUCCUGAGCGGCGUGACCUGCGUCGGGGCCGCUCCCCCGACCAGGACACCCAGAACCCGGCGGGAGUGAUAAACACCAUCGCCGGCGGCUCCACCGGGGGAGACAGUCACACAGCUCGGAAGAACAGGCGACCUCCCCCUGAGGGGGAUGACUCCCUGAAACGGCUGCGCAUGGACGAGGAGAUCACUUUUGGGCCAAGGGAUGCAGUCCCCCUAGCGUCUGGGAACCAUGAGGCCAUCGUGAUAGACAUUGUUACCAACAACUACCGGGUGAAGAAGGUAUAUGUCGACCAGGGAAGUGCGGUCGACAUCAUGUUCUAUCGGGUGUUCAAGGAGCUCGGCUUGGAGGACGGGCAGCUGACCCCAGUUCGGACACCACUGAUGGGCUUCACCGGACCCCCUAUCAACCCGGAGGGAAUGAUCACCUUGAUGGUCACGGUAGGGCAGGCCCCCAAAUGCCGGACCAUCCCUAUCAACUUCGUGGUGGUCAAGCAACAAUCCCCGUAUAACGUGUUCUUGGGUCGGCCUGCCUUGAACGCUCUCCGAGCUAUCCCCUCGACGCUCCACCUCAGCGUCAAAUUCCCCACUCCGGGAGGAAUAGCCGAGGUACGCGGUGAUCCAGAGGUGGCCCGAGCUUGCUACUUGGCCAUACUUCAAGGACGGGAGAAGGUGGUCGCCCAAACGACCUGCCUGGAGCCCUACAUUUCGGGGGAGGAAAUCCGGCAGUUGGGCACCCAGGACGAGAUAGAGGAGUUCCCCUUGAGGGAGGACCGGCCCGACCAGGUGAUCCGCAUCGACUCGCUGCUACCCUUUGAGGAGAAGGAGGGUUUGAAGGCCCUGUUAAGGGAAUACUCUCAGGUCUUCGCGUGGACGGUUGAGGACAUGCCUGGGAUUCCGACCGACCUGGCCGUCCACCACCUCAACGUGGAUCCUCGCUUCAAGCCGGUGAAGCAAAAGAAGAGGAGUUUCACCCCAGAAAAGAAUGAGGUGAUUAAGAAAGACGUCGGAAAACUGCUGGAGCCUAAGAUCAUCCUGGAGGUCUACUACCCGACCUGGUUGGCAAACCCGGUAUUGGUUAAGAAAGAGGACCAGACCUGGAGGAUGUGCGUGGACUUCACGGAUCUCAACAAAACCUACCCAAAUGACUGUUUUCCUCUGCCGAGAAUCUACAGGUUAGUAGAUUCUACUGUGGGAAUUGAUGUCUUGUGUUUUCUGAAUGCCUUCAAGGGGUACCACCAGAUAGAGAUGGCUGAGGAGGACCGGGAAAAGAUCUCCUUCAUCACCGAGGAAGGAACCUACUGCUACCGGACUAUGCCGUUUGGCCUGAAGAACGCGGGAGCCACUUACCAGCGUCUGGUCAACAAACUGUUCCAGAAUCAGAUCGGCAGGAGCAUGGAAGUCUACAUAGAUGACAUGAUCGUCAAGAGCCGAACUGAUCAGCAGCUCAUCCCCGACCUGAGGGAGAUACUGAGCAUCCUGCGGGAGAGCCGGAUGCGAUUGAAUCCGAAGAAGUGUACCUUCGGGGUUAGGUCGGGGAGGUUCCUGAGAUUCUUGGUGUCUCGAGACGGGAUCCGGGCCAACCCGGAUAAGCUCCAGGCUAUCAUAGACAUGGCCCCCUCGAGGAGCGUAAAGGAGGUCCAGCGGCUAAAAGGAAGGAUGGCCGCCCUGAACAGAUUCCUCUCGCGUUCCGCGGUCCGGGGGCUGCCCUUCUUCCGGAUCUUGAAAACUCCCAAGGACUUUCAAUGGAUUGCAGAGUGCUAGAAAGCCUUCGCCGACCUGAAGGCCUACCUGGCUGAGCUGCCCACUCUGACCGCCCCGGAGCAGGGGGAGACCUUGUUCCUAUACAUGUCCGCUUGCAACGAGGCCGUCAGCGCGGUCUUGUUGCGGGAGGAUGGAGGGACUCAGAGGCCGGUAUACUACGUCAGCCGUGCUUUGCAGGGGCCGGAAACGCGGUACACGCCGGCAGAGAAACUGGUCCUCGCCUUGGUGCACGCGGCCCGUAAGCUCCGACCUUACUUCCAGGCCCACAGCAUCGUCGUCAUGACGGAUCAGCCCCUACGGCAGAUACUUACAAAUCCCAAGGUCUCGGAUAGAAUGACCAAGUGGGCCGUUGAACUGGCCGAGCACGACAUCGGCUAUCAGCCUCGCACCGCUAUCAAGGCUCAGGCCUUGGCGGACUUCCUCGCUGAGGGGGCUAGCUUGGCCAUCACCAGGCAGAGCUCUCCGCCCAGUGAGUCGCGGUCGGGAGAGCCUUGGAUCCUGUUCGUAGAUGGGGCCUCGAGUAAGGAAGGGAGCGGAGCUGGCCUGUUGUUCAUCUCGCCUACCGGGGAGGAGCUCACCUACGCCCUCCGAUUUGACUUCCCCGCAUCCAACAAUGAAGUCGAGUACGAGGCCUUGCUUAUAGGAUUGCGGAUAGCCCACCAGAUGGGUAUAACCGCGAUCAAAGUCCGGAGCGACUCCCAGCUCGUCGUCCUCCAAGUUCACGGGGAAUACGAAGCCAAGGAGGAUAUCAUGAAGAAAUACCUGGCCAAGGUACGGGAGGCAAUAGCCCUAUUCGAUACUUUUGAAAUCGAGCGGGUGCCGAGAUCCCAGAACAAGCGCGCGGACGCCCUGUCAAAACUGGCAUCCUCCUCAUUUGCCCACCUGAGUAAGAAAGUCUUGGUAGAGGUGGUCAAGCAAAAGAGCAUUGAUCAGGUCCAGGUCUUGGCCAUAGACAGCUCGGCCACCUGGAUGACCCCCCUGAUGAACUUCCUCAGCUCGGGUGUCCUGCCCGAAGACAAAGCGGAAGCUCGCCGACUCCAGCUCAAGGCUGCCAAUUACGCCUACGCUGGUGGGACCCUCUACCGGAGGUAGUAUCUGUCCCCCUGACUAAAGUGCGUGACUCCAGAGGAAGGCGAUUACGUCAUUCGUGAAGUUCACGAGGGCUUAUGUGCGGCCCAUGUGGGGUCCCGAGUACUGGCCAAAAAGUGCCUUCUCCUGGGCUACUAUUGGCCCUCGGUGUUCCAAGAUGCAGCGGCCCUGGUUCAGAAGUGCCGAGCUUGCCAGGUGCACGCCCCACUGCGCCAUCAGCCAGCCCGGGAAAUGGUCCCCAUCCAUAGCCCCUGGCUCUUCGCCCAGUGGGGGAUAGAUCUCUUGGGUCCUUUCCCUCGAGCCCCGGGGAGAUACGAGCACCUCGUGGUGGCCGUCGACUACUUCACAAAGUGGAUGGAAGCGGAACCUCUGGCCACUAUCUCUGGGAGGGUAAUUCAAAAAUUCUUCUGGAAAAACAUAGUCUGCCGCUUCGGGAUUCCGCAUGUCUUGAUAUUCGACAACGGGCGCCAGUUCGCCGAGAACCCCUUCAAGAGCUGGUGUGUCGAGCUCGGGAUCAACCAGCACUUCACAUCGGUCGGCCACCCCUAGGCCAACGGCCAGGUGAAAAAUGCUAACCGAACCAUUUUGCGGGGACUGAAAACCAGGUUUGAACUAGCCCAGUCUAACUGGCUCGAGGAACUUCCUAGUGUCCUCUGGGCUCACCGCACUACGCCCAGGACGGCUAUCCACGAGACCCCGUUCUCCUUGACUUAUGGGGUAGAGGCGGUGGUGCCUGCAGAGGUCGGACUCCCCUCACCUUGAACACAGAAUUUCGUCGCGUCGGCCAAUGAAGAGGAGCUACGGUGCAACUUGGACAUGUUGGAGGUUAAGCGUGAGGAGGCGGCGAUACGGAUGGCUAGGUACAAAAGCCAGUUCGCUCGCUAUCACAACGCAAAAGUAAGAAACGUGCAGUAUCGGCCGGGAGACUUUGUCUUAAGAAAGAACUCGGUCAGCAGGGCUCACGGCUCCAACAAGCUCGACCCAAAUUGGGAAGGACCAUACCAGGUCCUCGAAGCGAGCCGAGCUGGUUACUGCAAGCUCGCGAAGAUGGAUGGAUCAGAGGUACCCCGUACUUGGCACUUCUCCAAUCUGCGACUGUUCGUAGCGUAGGUUAGACCAGGGUGUUUGGCUGUCUGUUCUUUGGAAUCUGAAUUUCAAUUUUGUCAUUCAAUAAAUGUUCUACUUUCAAGUUUUAAAUUCAUUCUGAUAUUUUGCCUUUUUAAGUUCGAAUCCUACACUAGCACACUCAGCGCUCCCUCACUCAGUGUCCUAGUGGAGGGCUAGGGGGAUGAAAGGUAAUGGAUGUGAUGCCUUUAAAAGUGCGGGAGUGCUCGACCGCAAGAGGUCGGCAAAACUUCAAAGCAGAUGGUCGAACCGAGGAGGUCGGCAUGGUCAGGGAUGCUCGACCCCAGGAGGUCGGCACGAAUGAAAACUUUGAAGUCUGAAAGUUCAACGCUUGACCCAGGAGGUUGGCGGGAAUGCCUUCAAAGUGUGAUGCUCGACCCCAAGAGGUCGGCACGGGUUAAAACUUCAAAAUGGAGGCGUGACCCCAAGAGGUCACCACGGCUCCAAAGGUUAGAGUCUGUGGGUUCCACGUUCGACUCAGGAGGUCGGCAUGAAUACCUCUAAGGCUCGACCCAGGAGGUCGGCACGGCUCUAAGACCUUAGGACUUGAAGGUCCGACGAUGCUCGACCCCAAGAGGUCGGCGCGGGGCGAACUAUUCUGGGUUGGUUAGAAUUCGGGAAUUCGACGCUCGACCCAGGAGGUCGGCAUGAACACCUUCAAAAUCGGACGUUCGACCCAGGAGGUCGGCAGAAAUAUCCUUACAGUUUGGUGCUCAGCCCCAAGAGGCUGGCACGUUCCCUUGAUAGGUCUAUUUGGUACUCGACCCGGGAGGUCGGCACCAGGUUUUAAUAGUCUGAUUGCCUUUGGCAAUUUAGCUGUGGGAUUAAAAAGGGGAUAUAUCCGGUGCUCAACCCAGGAGGUCGGCACACGGCUUUGGUUGCUAAAGUUGGGCGAAGGCGAGAAUUGCAAGGAAAUGUCCUUCGAGUUUUAUAUAUGCAUUCAAAGCCUAUCUAUUACAAAGCUUCUAAGUCGGUAGUCUCCUUCGAGUUUCAUAUAUGCAUUCGAAACCUAUCUAUUACAAAGCCUACCGGGCUAUAAGAGAAAGACAGUUCGGUCCCUAUUCUUCUUGAUGGCAGCCUGCUUAGAGCAGGGGCUAAAGGUACAUCUUAAACAUGUUGAGAGGCGUAUGGUGAAGGCUAUUCAAGGUAGCCGCAAAGGCCCUGGGGCAGGGGACCUAUCCAUCUCGGAUGGACCUUCGAGAGCAUUUUCAACUGGAGCAUGGUCACAUCCUUAUAAGAAGAUGGAAAGGGUUUCUGGAGUGUUCGCCGCCCUAGGCUACCGGCUCCUUCCCGGGAGCUCUGCCGGAAGCUUCAUCCUCCUCCAGGGGAACCUCCGCCAGGUCGACUCCCACAUCACUCUUGCCCGCUAGCUCCUUCAGGGCAUGCCCCUUGCAAUACCCGUCAAAGAGCCAGUCUACCUUCUCCUCGGCUUUAGGGUUGUACUCCUUAAAAGCGGCCAAGUCGAAGCCAGGCAGGCCGAGCUCCUUGACCUUAUCCAGAGCUCGCGUGAAGCCGAUCUGGAGAAUGGGCUCGUUGAGAAGGGCGACGUCCUCGGUAAACUGUUCGGAGGAGAUGAACUCCCGAACAGCCUUCUUCCGCUCCCGGCUGACGGUGCCGGAGAGUUCGAUGGCGUGGUUUUCCUUCAGCUUGACCACGCCGGCCUUCUCUUGGUCGAGCUCCGACCUAGCGGAGGCGAGCUGGACCUGAGCCGUUUCUAGCCCUUUCUCGACCUUGCCCAAUUUGGCCUUAAGGGAGUCCACCUCCUUAAGGGCAUGUGUAAGCCUCUGCUCUGUCUCCUGAUUCUUCUUUUGCAAUUUCUUCAAGUCGGGAGACAGCUCGGAGAGGCGGGUCUCCAGGGCAGCGCCGGCGGCGUUGGCCUGAGGAGGAAAGAAAGCAGGUUAGCGCGUCACGCUAUCCAGCCAAAACGCAGAGGCGCAACUGGCCCAAGGGCUAGAAAACUUACUUGAGCCUGGGCGGUGUAAUAUGCGUCUUGGAGCUCGGAGGGGCUUGCCAACUCCAUCCACCUCUUGUCGCGUGGGAGGACCGAGCCAGCAAUCAGCUCGCGGGCCACCUCGGGAAACUUGGCCCGGUCGUUGAUAGAGAACCCCCAGGACGGGUAGAAGUGGCGAGGGUCGUCCAUAGUGGGGGCCUGACCCGGCUUCAAGGGGGCUAUGUGGCGGAAGUGCCACAAGCUCGGGGGAGGUGACUCCCGAGUAUGCUUCUCAGUGGAGCCAACGCCCAGAUGGACUGGGCCUCCCCAUGUCAGCGCGGGGGGGCUGUGCUGGAACCAGCGCGAGCCUCUUUCCGGGCUGGGAGGGCUCGUCCCCUCGACCCCUCUUCUGCCCGGUCGCCUUCUUCUUGUUGUUGGUGGCCUUCUUGGAGGGGGAGGAGGUGUUCUGCGCUUCCUUCUGGGGGGCUUGGUCGCCUCCCGGGGACGGAGCAACCCCAGGGGCCUCCUUGGCCGCCUCUGGCUGAGGGGUGGGGGUAGCCUCCUCAGUGGACGCGCCCAGCAGCUUGGAGAGCCUCCUCACUGCAAUUGACAUCACCAGGUCAGCCAAAACAGGUCAGUUAAGAGAUCGUAAUGUAUGACAUGUAUAUAAAUGUGACAAGCUACAGGGACAGAGUCGGCGUUACAAGCAUCAAGGUCGGUUUUGGAGGCCACCACCUCUCCGGAGGACCCGGACAACGUCCCCAUCAACCCGGCUGCAGAAAUCUGCUCGGUGGAGAACUUGAUGGCAUGGAGUUUCACCUUGGAGCUCACCAGCUGGAUGAGGGUCUCUGAGUCCAGGUCCUCCGGGUAGGGAUCGGAUUUCACCUCCCCGACGUUCCACACGGUGGCUUCACGGCCGAUGGAUUUGACAAAAAAGAAGUCCCCUUUCCAGUUCUUGAUGGAAGAGGGGAACCCGUAGAACAGGUCCUGGGUGCCCUUGUCCCCCCGACCUUGGUUCCCGGUCCGGCGGGAGAAGUAAUACCACCCAGGAAGGGUGAACUUGAGGAUGUAGGCAGCUCGGAAGAGGGAGAGAGAGUAGGGGAUGGAGCAGACUUGGCAGUAGAUCAGAAAUCCUAUGAUGAUUCUAAUCGAAUUAGGAUGAACUUGGGUGAUCCUGAGCCCCCAAUAGCUCAAGAUCUCAGCCAGGGCUGAAGGUAUUGGUAGUCGGAGCCCCCUAAGCAGCUGCUCCUUGUAGAUGGCUACAAAGUCAGGGGGAGGUCGGCUGGCUCGGUCGUUGGGCCCGGCAGCCCUUGGCUCGAAGGCCGGAGGGAUGGAGAAGGACCCGACUAGCUCGGCCACCGCCUCGGGUGAGAUGGUGACCUCUUCGUGGUCGGGGCGACCGAAGUCGAGCUCGGCAUCGUCCUCCUGCUCGGGGGAAUGAGGAUGAAGGAGUCGCCGGAAUCUGGGCACAGAAAGCCGGAAGUCUCUUUACUGGGAAAUGGAAAUGCGCGAAGAAAGGAGAAAAUGGCAAAUAGAGUCGAGUGGAGUCUGAUAACUCCCAUUUAUAGGGGGCAAAAUGGGGGGGAAACAGUUGCUUGAAUUUGAACCGUCUCAUGUGAACACAUUUAAUGAGGGUACGGAGACCGAAGGGACGCGACAACUGAAAGGACGUGGGCGCGGCUUCCCUAUGCCAGCACUGUACCGGAGGUGACCUUGGCAGAGCAGUGCGCGGCGCCGGCCUCCCAACGUGGCAGGGGUAGAUUAGGUCUGCCUGUCAGCCCUACCUAAUCUAGGGGGCUAGUGCAGAGGCCCCGUCCUGGGCCUAUACACGUGGCAGCCCAGGUAUGGCCGAGCUGGGCCUCGACCCCAGGCCCCUGGUAACCGUCCUGGGCCGCGUCGCUGCUAGGGCUCCAGAGGGCCCAGGGGACCAUCCCGCAGACGUCGGAGGAAAUCCCCCUCGCCGCGGGAUAAGGGCUAUCCCGGGCAAGUCCCGAAACGUACGGAGGUCGGACUCUCAGGAAGGUAUAAAUGGUAAUGCACACCACUUACACAAGGUAGGCUCACUAUUGGCACAUUACUCUCGGCUGCUUAAAUUCCCGUAAACCUCAUCCACCGGUGAACUAACUUGACCGUCGGAUUGCCCUCGGGAACGACCUUGGGGCCCCCUGUUAGAUCACCCUGUUGUCUGUCUUGCAGGCUUGGGACCAGCUCUACCCAUCAGCACACCGAGCUCAUUAGUCCAGCUCGGUCCAGGGAAGCUCAGCGCUUCUUCAGGGCCCAAAUGCAAAGUGAUCAAAAUUCAAUUCAAAGUACAAACAGAAAAUUUUGUGGUAGUUAGUCAUUCUGCUCCUUUAUAACUUUACAGAAAUGUUCACAUGCAUCCCAGAUCGAUCACGAUGAUCUUUCUCUGGGCACCCAAUGUAAGAUUUCAAUUAGGUAUAGUAGAACUUUAAAGGUUAUGCUAGUGAACUCACCUUAGAAUGUGGAAGUGAGGUUCAAAAGCUUUCAAUUCUUCGGAGGAGUUGCUGAAUCCUACAAAGGAGUACCUUGGAAUCCCCAGUCUCUUUCCCUUAAUUCCAUUAGACUUAAGAAAUUGCAAAUAGCCUCCACGAGGAAUAUACUUGGAAGCUUUUUUGGUUGCUACUGCAUCAUCAGGAUCAAAUCCAACAAUGGGCGUCCAGAACAUACACUGCAUCAGAGACAGUCCGGCAUAUCGGCCUGUUCUGCCCCAUAAAGGAAUUGUUAUGAUUUUGUAUCAAUUUACUAAUAGUUUCUUUGUCAUCUUUGAGUUCUAAUUUCAAGUUUAUACUAUAUGGCGAUGAAAUACAAGUAAAUUAAUCAUCUUUCAUUACCCAACAGUAUUCUGUCGAGGCGAGAUGGGGACAACACCUGCUCGACUUGUGAGCCCUACAGUUGGUUUGAUUCCCACAACCGAAUUAGAACUAGAAGGGCAUAAAAUGGAUCCAGAUGUUUCUGUACCCAGUGUAACUGCAGCCAUAUUUGCUGCUACUGAUGUUGCAGAACCGGUGCUUGAGCCACAUGGAUCAGUAGAUUAGGUAUGGAUUCUACAUCGAAUCAGAUCCACAAUAUGGAAUUAUAUAUCUGUAUAGGAAAUUCUAAUUGAUCUGGAAAUGCUGCAUAGGAAAUCAACUUUUUGUUUCCUAAGCUACAAAUUAUUGAAAAAAUAGAACAAGAAAAAAAAAGGAAACUUCUGACUCAAAUAGUGGCAUGGAAGUUUGGAAAUUCAGUUGAAGCAUAUGAGCAACUCACCACACUUUGGCCACGUCUAGCAUUCCAACCAUUAGGCACAUUGUUUGACCUGUAUGCAGCCCAUUCUGUCAUGCUAGCCUUUCCUAAUAUGAUAGCACCAGCCCUCCUUAGCUUCUUAACCACCCCAGCAUCCCGAGGUACAAUUGAUCCUAGAAGUGCAUAAGAUCCAGCUGUAGUGUUAAGCUUAUCCUUGGUUGCAAUGUUGUCUUUGAGCAGAAUCGGAAUACCAGCCAGUCCUGUCACCGAUCCUGGCUUCUUAGCCUUUCAAUCCUGGUCUGCCUUGUGGGCUAAAUGUAGAGCAUCCGGAUUCACUUCUAUGACUCCAUUAAGAACUGGAUUUAGUCUCCUAAUCUCUUUGAGGUAGAAUUUAACUAAUUCCUGAGAAGUGAGUCUGUUAUGAUCCAAGGCAAUCCGAAUAUCAUGCACAGUAGCUUCUCUGAAUGAGAAGGGACUUCCCUCAGCAUUAUGAUUGAGGCCGAGAAUAGUAAUACUCAAAAAAAGUAGCAGCGGUAUAUCCAUAUGGAUUUCUACUGUAAUAUCUUUGAGAGAAACUUGUUUCUUGCUUUUUCUUUCUGUGAUAUUCUAAGCUACUGAUAACUAGGUACUAUUUCUCCAUGUGGUACAGUCGGACGAUUUCAUCCUCUAUUGUUGCUUGCCUGGCCAUGUUUUCUAUGAUAAAGACUCUGUUGACUGUGACUUUUGGAGAAAAACAUAAAUGAAUAAAGGACAAGUUACUCGUAACUUCGUGCCUUUUUUUAUCCCAUGAUGCCACAUGAUACCUUAAAGUAUCAAAAUAUUUACAUAAUACCCUAUGAAUUUUUUGUAAAGUGGUAUUUUGACAAAAAAAAAAAGUUUUUGUAAUGUCCACUUUGCAUAAAAUUAUAGGAAAAUUAUGUGAAUAAAUACAAAAUCACAAAGGAUUCAAAUAGAUAUUUAUGCAAUACGUUUAGGGUCAAAUGAAUAUAUAAGCAAAAUCAUAGGUAGAUUAAGUGGUUAUUAUAAUUUCAUUGCAUUUACUUCUAGAACACGUCUCAAUCAAUAACAGUAUACCUGACAAUUGGCGGAUUGGGCGGGUUUUGGGCGAGUUAAUACUGGAUUUUCACUUAAAUGGGUUAUAUCCAACCCGCCCAACUUUAGAUUGGGUUAAUUUUGGGUUGGGUCAUAUUGGGUUAUCUCAAACCCAUGACCCAAUAUAUUAAUUAAUACAUUUUAAUACAUAAACUUUUUCACAUACAUUUUAACAUACAAAAAUGAUUUUUUUCACACACAUAAACACAUUUUCACAUACAUAAAUGUAUUUUCACACACACUUACUUCUUAAGUUCCUUGAAAACACAUAAAUAGAAUAAUAUUUUAUAUUGUUUGUAUUGUGAAUUUUAGAUAAUAAAUUGUACAUCUAAAUAGACUAGCUAAAAAAAUUGUUUACUUUAUACUUUUUAAUACUACUAAUUGAUUGAAACUUAUUAAAUGACAGGAGACAUUACUACAUUUUGGUAUUUGGACUUGGUAAUUAAGAGGGAAAAUUAAUUGUCUUGCUGAUUCCAAGCUUCUCAUGAAGUUGAAGAUUGGAGGUAUUUGCUUUAGACGAAAUGAAAUUGUUGGACUAGUCAUGCUCAAGUUGCCAUAAUUAAUCAAAACAAAAUAAAAUCCGCAAGUCAACUAUAUGAUUCGAAGUUAAUAUCAUGAUCUAUAUACAUAUAAUAUAUAUUAGAAGGUAUUUUUUUAUUGAUUUGAUAUAGUUAGAUAAUUCAUCACCUGAUUAAUUAGAAUCAUCUAGGAUCAGACUUGAUGCUAUGGUCAUAUUAAUCUUUUAGGAUUACCACAACUCUGAUAUAAAGCAGAAAAUAUUAUACGCUUGUAAAACUGGUAUUGGUCCCCAAAAUUUUUUUAAGGAAAAUCCCAAACUUUUUAAGAAAUAAAUGAGAGGAGAAUUCAUGAACUAUUCUGACAUUUUUACCACAUUGGGAUCGCAUUAUUUUGAAUUAUUGAAAAAUUAGGCUGAUACAAAGUAAGCUUUUGUUUGUAAAUUUGAAGAAUCCGAAAUUAUAUAAUGCUAAAAGGUUAAAAAAGAAAUUUGUACAAUAUUAUAAAUACACAAAAUAUUAACAAACAAAAGCAAGUAGUAACUUGAGAACAACAAAAAAAAAAAGAAAAAAAAGGGGAGGAAAACAACAUACUCUUAAAAGGCAUAAUAAAUUAUUAUAAAAGUUGAGCAAGUUUAACUACUAUUAUAAAAGUAAAAUAAGCAUGAGUUUUUAUUUCAAGUUUCUUUUUUCUUUUAAAUAAAAAUUUAAAAAAUUGAUUAAAAAAUAUAUAUAUUUAUAUAUAUAUUGAUUAAAAUAUAUAUGAGAAUUUUGAAUACAAAUUAAUGAAUGAAUUAUUAACACAUGUCCAAAUGCAAAUAGUUGGACAUAUGUGUAUUGAAUCUUGUAUUUAUUGUUUUGAAUUACUUUUAAACAAGUUGGAUAUUGGGUACCCAAAUAAAAAACCCCAACCCACCCAAGGAAUAAAUUGGGUUGUUCUUACCUAACCCUACAAAACCCAUAACCCAAUUGACCCAACCCAUCCUUUAAAAUUAAUGCGCGGAUUGGGUGGGUUAUUGGGUUUUGGACUUUUUUGCCAGCUCUAAAUAACAGUUAUUAGAGAUACUUUCCAUCCUUUUUUUACAUAACAUAAAACCAUACGAGGAUUAUGUAGGUAUUUUGAAACUUACGGGAGUCAUAUAGUAUUAUCCAAAAGAACAAUAGGACUAAAAGUAAUUUACCGGGCAAAUUACAUUUUACCCCCUGUGAUUUACCCUUAUGGUUUGGAUUAAAGUGUCAAAGUGACGGAAAUAGUCAUUCGUAAUGGAACUUCUAGAAAUGUCAUAAUUACCCUUAUAAAUACAUGACAUACUAAUCCUGUAUGAUUUUUAUAUAUAACUAUAUAACCCCCUUAUGGUUUAAUAUUUUACCAUAUAACCUCCUUAUGAUUUUCAAAAUAUACACAUAACCCCCAUUGGUUAAUAAAUAAUUUUCAACUUUACAUAAGGGUAUUUUUGACAUUUUAAAUGACUCCGUUACUAAUGAUCAUUCCCGUCAUUUUGACACUUUAAUCCAAACUAUGAGGGGGUUAUAUAUAGCUUUUGAAACUAUAGGGGGGUUAUGUAAAAAUGCUAAAUCACAGGGGGAUAAAGUGAAAUUUGCCCUAAUUUACCUGUAAAUAAAAGAAGAAAAAGCAAAGGCCAAUCAUUUCUUUGGUGAACACAAAGGCCACCGAGGGCUUUAUUCACCGACAACAUUAGUACAAAAAACAUCGUGGAUGCCAGUGGAUGUCUUUCACAAACCAUAUGCUGCACUUGCUCUCUGAUGGAAAAGCAACACUAAUAAGUGCUAAAGAUCAAGAACAAUUAAUAGAAAGCAUUUUCAACUAAAUUCAACGGAUCUGAAGAUGGGGAGGCCUACGGAUCAUGGUAGCUUCUUCAAAAUUAAAAGCCAUCCCUAUCAGCAUCGGCUUCAUCCCUCUCAAGCCUGCAAAUGGAAUCCCAAACGGCAUGACAUCUCUAACAUAGGCGGCAGGGACCACUGCAUCUAAACCAUUCUCCAAAAUCUAGCUCAAGUAGCCGUCUCUUGAGUCUUGACAAUUUUUCCAUCUACUCUAUUGCCUUCCUCUCUUCCUCACCAAUCCCAUUUGUGAAGUCUGCUGCAAUAAAAAUAUUUUGACCAUCAAAGUAGCCAAAACUCUCCUGUAAAACCAUGAGUUAAAUGAGAAGUGUGCAAGUCUUCAUUCGACUAACCAUUUAAUCAUGUAAUAGAAUGCCCACUUUAGAUGAGGAAAAAACCAAAUCAGGAUUGUUCUUGUUGAAUGCUAUAAUGUCAGCUAACGACUGCAUACGGGAUUCAGUUUGGCCUUGCAAAUUAGAAGUAAGAAUUGGUUUCCGCCGGCAUUGCUACUCUGUCUCCACUUUGAAAGACAUCAAUAUUGGAUGCCUCCCAUAUGAUGAAUGAGAGUUGCACCUUGCUGGGAUCAAAUUUUUCAGGGAGAAGAAGAAACAUGUUAGCUAAGUAAAAGCAUUGGCCUAGAACUAGCAAUACAUCUGAGUUGAGUCCUCACUUUUCUACCGUAAUGUGCGCAAAUGUCACUCAAGAAUUGGAACCGCAUUGGACCUACUCGAAAGGAUGACAAGGGAUUUCUUAUCACAUCUAAUUUCUUCCCUUUGAGCUUUUUUUUUUUUUUUUGUUGAGAAAUUUUUGAUAUGGCCAGCAACAGGAAUGAACUUGGUAGCUGCUUUUGUUGCUUCACGGUCUCUUCGAUCAAAGCUCACGAUUGACAGCUAGACUGCUAGUAAGAAGCAUCAGCCUCUAAGCAAUAAGUGUUGGAUGCAAGAAACUUGUAAGCAAAAAUUUGCUGCAGCAUUUAAUGUGUAUUUUCUCCAAAUGCAUAGUUUAAACAUCAAGAAUGUUGUAAGUUUGUGGUUAUUCAGAAGCUAGUUAACAUAACCUAUCAUCAUCUUGUCUUUCAACCAAAAAAAAAAAAAAAAAAGAGGCGCGCACACACACACACAAAACAUAAUCUCAAGAUAAAAUUUGACAACUGUUAUGUAGUAACUUGUUACUUUUGAACAGUUCCAAAUGGUAGAAUCUGAUACCGCGUAAACAACAAAAGAAGCAGAAAUGAAUCUGGCAUGGCCAGUUACCAGUUAGUCCAAAACAAUCUGAUUCCAUCUGUUUCAUUGCCCCGUGAAACCGCCACCAUAUGUGCCGCUACUGAUAUUGCAGAUUCACUGCUGUAUCCGCAAGGAUAUUCCCUUUGGUCGUAAGGAAUCUGGACAUCCAACAGCACCAACAAUUUGAUUUCCAAGUAAACCUUUCUAAGUUUCUUUCUGUAUUUCAUUGUUCAUGACUUAAAGUAACAAUCAUGUAUGUAAGAUAUUAAACCCACGAUCGCAAGAGGGAGGCUUCAAUUGGCAUUGAGGCGCCCACAUGCAAUGGGUGACGCAGUUAAACAGAGGUAUCUAUCUCAAAUGCAAGUGUGCAACUACAAAUAUAUAUAUAUAUAUAUAUAUAUACAUAUACAUAUUUAGUUUUUGCUAUCGAUUUGGAAUUCAGGAUAUAUAUAUAUAUAUAUAUAUAUAUAUAUAUAUAUAUAUAUAUAUAUAUAUAUAUAUAUAUUAGUUCUGUUUUAGUAAAUUUAGUGAGUUGAACACCUUAGUAUAAUGCAUAGUGGACACACUAUUUUGUUGUCACAUAGACAUAUUUAAUGCCUUUUUAAUUUUGUUCGUCUUUUUUUCAUGACAAUUAAUUUCUUUUCUUUUUAAUUUUCUCAUAUAUUAUAAAAAAAAUCAGUUAACCAUAGUUUUCAUUUUAACAAACUUUCAAAUCACAUAAUUCCUUUUUUCUAUAAUUUAUUGGGGAUUCUAUAAUUUUUUUACAAAUUUUCACUUCUCUACUUCUGUUAUUUGGAUUGGUUAUUUAUUAUUACUUCUAAAGUAACUCAUACCAUUCAAUUUAGGUUGUCCUAUUUUAUAAAGUUCGUUUAGUAAUUAUUAUAUUUUCUCUUUUGCAAACCUUAAGCCACACCCAAGUCCAUAUAAGACUUGACUUAGACAUGCUCUCUAUUACUUUUUUCUUUUCUCACUUCUUUAUUUCUUAAACAAUUAAAAAAAAUUCCUGUCAACUUAGAUUUCCUUUUCCAGUUUCUUACGCUUAAAGCAAAUUAAUAAUUCCUCUCUCUAUUAGUUUCCAUUUCUAAAUUUUCUAUUCUUCAAAAAAAUUGAAUUUUAAAUGCAUUCAUUUUCCAUUUCCAUUCCUUACAUGUGGAGAUUCUAAAUUAUUUUCUCUCUUUUUUUUCCCUUUUCUAAUCCUUGACCAAAAAUUUAUGAUCUCCAUUAUCCAAUUUAGAAAAUUAGGGAAACUAUAUAUCCAUCCCUCAUAAUUAAUCACUUAAUUUUAUCCAUUCUUUAAUUUAGAAAAUUAUGGAAAGCAUAUGAUCUCCGCCCUUAUAAUAUGACAAUGCAAAUCAAUUACUUCAUUUUUAAAUUAUGUUCAAGAGCUGAUUUAGAGCUUUACGUUCUUUUUCAUUUUACAGAUUUUCAAUUAUUAAUUUUUUUCUUUGCCUACUGCUUUCUUCGAAAAAAAAAAAAAAUCUGUGAUGUGUUAAUAGGCAUCUCAAUCUAUUUGUUACGUUACCAACACCAGUUAGAGUGAGCAAAAGUAAAUCAUAGGUUAAGAUUCAAUCAAAGCUAAUGAUCAAGUUGCUCUGAUUUAACUAUUGUUGUUCUGCUUAACUUCAUGACUGUUCUUAUAUUUGGCAUGAAUCUUAAAUUUUAUAAAGUUUUUUAUUUUAGUUCUUUUCUAUUAAUGUGUUCCAAAUUCUUCUCUAAUUGCACUGGUGAAUAACAAGUUUCUCAUUAAUUUCUUGUUCUCGUACCUAAAUUGUCAAAAGUCGAGGGUGAGUGUUUUUUUCUCCGGAAAGAAUUGUUGGAUGCAAUAAUGCUAACACAGAAAAUACGGAAGGAAGACAGGCAUUCGAUACUAUGCAAUAAUAUUCAGUCCUAUUCCACUGAAAAAAGGAAGCCAACUUCAUUCGAUACUAGAUUUAGACAAACAAAAAACAGGAAUGGAGGAUGGUUUCUUGGCCCCUUGCUUGAAUUUUGGGAGGGAAAAGGUCUAAAAUGGAACGUGACCGUCACCCAAAGAAAGUUAACUUGAGAAAGCAGUUUGAGAAAUGAGAAAUUACCAGAAAACUUCAGAUUUGGACAACCAUUAAUUGGCAACAUUUUCUUUACACAGUCAGUCUCUCCAAUAAAAUUGUGGAUCUUAGAAAAUUAUACGGGUAUUUAUUGAUAACUAGAAAAAAGCACGUGCAUUGCAUGUGUAUUUAAACAGUAGAAUUAAUCCAAGAUAUAAUUUAUAGAAGGGGGCCAAUUAUAAUGCCAAUACUAUUAUGAUUGCCAAAUUUUUAAACCUGAAAAUGCAAUUGCAAAGAUGAAUAGAAGAUAGAUAGAUUUGCUUGAGUAAAUCUAAGUGUCAUGUUGGCCUCAAAAGUGCAAAGUUGGAAAGGCAAACUACUAAGCAAUGCAGGUAAAGAAGCACUUUUGAAAUCUAUGGUUUUAGCCCUUCCAUCAUUUGCCAUGUCUGUUUUUAAAUUAUAUAGUAACAUGUACAAAGAGUUAAGUGGUAUCAUGGCCAAAUUUUGGUGGGCCAAUGACCAACGGGAAAAAAAAGAUGCACUGGAAGAAGUGCGAGGCCUCUCUAGACUCUAGAGUCUAGAGUUAAAAGGGACAUUCAAUGCUUCAACAUGGCACUUCUUGCCAAGCAGGCAUGGAGGACUCUUGCCAGUUACUAUCCCCAAUUUGUUAAUGAGCAAAGUGUUGAAAAGCAGAUAUUUCCCUCAAUCUGAUUCUCUGGAUUCAAAAGCCAAAGUGGGAGCAUCAUGGUUAUGGCAAAGUCGGUUAACAUCUGUACCUUUACUGUCUAGUGGCUUGAGGAAACAAGUGGGAGAUGGCAGAUCGGUUAACAUCUGGAAUGAUUGUUGGCUACCCAGAAUUGACAGUGGAAAAAUCUCAUCAUCAAGACCAGCCGGAUGCACGGUGGAAUGGGUUAGUGAACUCUUAUGUGGCCAUGAAUGGAACACUGAACUGCUGCAAUCUCUGCUCACCCAGGAGGAAAUUCAAAAAAUCCAACAAAUGCCAAUAAGAAUGUUUGGUGGUAAAGAUAAGUUCAAAUGGAUCCACUCAACUAAUGGCCUUUACACAACAAAAUCUGGAUGUGUGGUUGAGAAAGCGAGAUAGAAGGUUAAAGAAGCAGAAACAAAGAGCAGUCUAAACUAUGGAAUCAAAUAUGGAGCGUGAACAUUAAACACAAGGUGAGACACUUCCUACAACAUUCUACCUACUAACGAAGUGGUGUUUAGCAGAACAGGAAAAGGAAAUCCCGGAUGCAAUUACUGUGGAGAAUCUAAUGAAACUCUGGAACAUGCACUCUUAUCGUGCAAAGCUAGAGAGCUGGCUUGGAAAUCCUCUCCAAUAAAGUGGGAUGGACUACAGGAACACAAAUGGAAUUUCUGGAUUUGGUGGGAAACUAUGCAAUGCAAGGUAUUGAGAUCCAAAUAUGACAUGUUGAAUUUUUUUUAAGCGAUACAUUAAAGUUCACAUAUCUAUUGAAGUAAGGUAGAAAAUAAAGAUGCCACAGUUGUACAGCAAUCAGAGAUGCUAUUAUCGAAAGGUGCAUCUCAGUUGUAUAUACUCGUCAGAGAGGAGGUGGCUUCCUGAUCUUUGUGGCUUGCUCAAAGUCGUAUGCUAUCUCUAUCAGUUUUGGCUCUGAUCCUUUCAGCCCUCCAAAAGAAAUGCCAUAUGGGGUGCCAUCAGGGCUAUAACCUGCUGGAACAUUUAUUCCAGGGUAUCCUCCUGCAGAAAUAGCAUAGAUAAUAUUGUAUUUAGGUGUCACUAAGGCAUCCAAUUUAUUUUCCUUCAUCAACUUCUCGAAUCCAUUUUUGGACGCUCUAGUUAAAUUAAGAAGUAGUCCCCUUUCCAUUCUGCCAAUGCCAUGGGUUUUCUCUGCUGCCUCAAAUAUAUCUUGCCCGUAUUCUUCUAUCCUUUCCUGAAGCACAUGCAGUCAAGUAGUCUAAGAGUACUGUUUCUCUAACAUAAGGCAAUGAACUGAAUUGGGCCUAUUGUUUACUUACCAACUUUGAGUGUUUCUUAUUAAAGACUAUUGCAUCGGCUAGGGAUCGCACAGGAGAGGCAAUCAACUGCUUUAGAUAAGCAUUUAAUGCCAGCUUGAAUUCCACAUUCAUGGCUUUGAAUUGGUCACUGUACAUUGAAGCUGUGAUGGUGUCGAAGCUGGCUGUAUCCACAAUGUCUACCAAUACUGCACCUCGUUGCCUUGUUUUAGCCAAGACCUCAGAAUACUGUGUUAGAACUUUAACAGUAUUGGAAUAUGCUGACCAAAUCUAACCAAAACAAGAUUUUCUAUUUGCUCUGUGAAUCAACCAAGAAACAUGCUGGAAGUUUUUUAAUUGGGGUACAAAUGCAAAGUAAUCAAAAUUCAAUUCAAAGUACAAACAGAAAAUUUUGUGGUAGCUAGUCAUUCUGCUCCUUUAUAACUUUACAGAAAUGUUCACAUGCAUCCCAGAUAGAUCACGAUCAUCUCUCUCUGGGCACCCAAUGUAAGCUUUAAAGGUCAUGCUACUGAACUCACCUUAGAAUGUGGAAGUGAGGUUCAAAAGCUAUCAAUUCUUCGGAGGAGUUGCUGAAUCCUACAAAGGAGUACCUUGGAAUCCCCAGUCUCUUUCCCUCAAGUCCAUUAGACUUAAGAAAUUGCAAAUAGCCUCCACGAGGAAUAUACUUGGAAGCUUUUUUGGUUGCUACUGCAUCAUCAGGAUCAAAUCCAACAAUGGCAUCAAGAACAUACACUGCAUCAGAGACAGUCCGGCAUAUCGGCCUGUUCUGCCUCAUAAAGGAAUUGUUAUGAUUUUGUAUCAAUUUACUAAUAGUUUCUUUGUCAUGUUUGAGUUCUAAUUUCAAGUUUAUACUAUUUGGCGAUGAAAUACAAGUAAAUUAAUCAUGUUUCAUUACCCAACAGUAUCCUGUCGAGGCGAGAUGGGGACAACACCAGCUCGACUUGUGAGCCCUACAGUUGGUUUGAUUCCCACAACCGAAUUGGAACUAGAAGGGCAUAAAAUGGAUCCAGAUGUUUCUGUACCCAGUGUAACUGCAGCCAUAUUUGCUGCUACUGAUGUUGCAGAACCGGUGCUUGAGCCACAUGGAUCAGCAGAUUUAAGGUAUGGAUUCUACAUCGAAUCAGAUCCACAAUAUGGAAUUAUAUCUGUACCGGAAAUUCUAAUUGACCUGGAAAUGCUGCAUAGGAAAUCAACUUUUUGUUUCCUAAGCUACAAAUUAUUGAAAAAAUAGAACAAGAAAAAAAAAGGAAACUUCUGACUGAUAUAGUUGCAUGAAAUUUUGGGAACCAAAUGAAGAAUAUCAGCAACUCACCACACUUUGGCCACGUCUAGCAUUCCAACCAUUAGGCACAUUGUUUGAUCUGUAUGCAGCCCAUUCUGUCAUGCUAGCCUUUCCUAAUAUAAUUGCACCAGCCUUCCUUAGCUUCUUAACGACCCCUGCGUCCUGAGGUACAAUUGAUCCAAGAAGUACAUAAGAUCCAGCUGUAGUGUUAAGCUUGUCCUUGGUUGCAAUGUUGUCUUUGAGCAGAAUCGGAAUACCAGCCAGUCCUGUCACCGAUCCUGGCUUCUUAGCCUUUCGAUCCUGGUCUGCCUUGUGGGCUAAAUAUAGAGCUUCUGGAUUCACUUCUAUGACUCCAUUAAGAACUGGAUUUAGUCUCCUAAUCUCUUCUAGGUAGAAUUCAACCAAAUCCUGAGAAGUGAGUCGGUUAUGAUCCAAGGCAAUCCUAAUAUCAUGUACAGUAGCUUCUCUGAAUGAGAAUGGACUUCCCUCAGCAUUAUGACUAAGGCCAAGAGUAGUCAUACUCAAAACAAAUAGUAGCCAACUAUCCAUAAGGAUUGCUCCACUGUAAUAUCUGCAGAGAAACUAUUUCUCGCUUUUUCUACAUACAUACAUACAUAUAUAUAUAUAUAUAUAUAUAUAUUCUGAAGUAGCUACUGAUAACUAAGUAGUCAACAGAAUGUGUUUAAUGCCAGCUUGAAUUCCACAUUCAAGGCAAUACGACAUCAUCGUCUGUUGUUGCUUUCUUGGCCACGUUUUCCAUGAUAAAGACAUUCUGUUGACUGACUUUUAUAUUUAGUAUAGCCCUUUUGGGGUCAAAAAUAUAUAUAAAUAAAAGUGAAUUAUUAUUUAUCGUUCAAUGGUUUAGUACUUUAUCAAAUAAUUCCCAUGAUUUAAAAAUUCAUACAUAGCUGCCUCAUGAUUUGAACUAAAGUAUCAUGGUUAAUUUUUUUUUCAUUAAAACUAGCAAUUGACAUAAAAAAAAUAUGAGUAUCAUGGUUAAUUUUUCCACCAUCUUUGUACUACUUUUUUUUUUUCCUUUGGGAAGGGUAGAGAUGAUUUACUCAAUAAAGAAGACAAAGACAUUGCCGAUCAUUCCAUUGGUAAAAACAAAGGCCACCAUUAAUUGAAUGGCUUUAUUCAGCGACAACAUGUGAAUAACAACAUAGUGGAUGCCAGCAUGGUUCGAAGUCUCGGCCGAGACUGAAACGACUCGGCCCCUACCGAUACGAUAUCGUGACGAAACGAUACCGAAAUACUUGACUCGCCGAGAAAUCGGUCGAGUCGUCACCGUGACGGAUUGACUCGGCCGAGUUACUCCGAGUUACCCCGAGUCAAGACGAGAAAUCAGCCGAGUCAUACCGCGACGGAUUGACUUGGCCGUUUCUUUUGCUAUUUUUUAAUUAUUUUUAUUUAGCAUACUUUUUUAUAUUAUUAACCAUUUUUAGAAUAUUAAAUACUUUAAAAUUUGUGUCUCACCGAGACCGCGAUCGAUAUGUCGAAACCGAUGUGGAACGUUCCAGGCCGCAAUUGCGACCGCGACCGUGACUUUGAACCAUGGAUGCCAGUGAAUGUCUUUCACAAACCACAUGCUGCACAUGCUUUCUGAAGGAAAAGCAAGAUUAAUGGAUGAUUGGAUGCUGAAUAUCAAGAACAUGCAACCAAAAAGCUGCUUCAACUAAAAUAAACUCCUCUGGGACCUGCAGAACAUGAUGGCUUCUUCAAAAGCAAAAGCACUCCCAAUUAGCUUCGGCUCCAUCCCUUUCAAGCCUGCAAAUAUUGUCCCAAACGGCGUGGCAUCUUUAUCAUAGCCGGUGGGGACUGAUUCCGGGACAUCCUCAAAUUGCCAAAACUGUUGCCGGCUUGCCGCAGAUGAACGUAUUGUCAUCACAGCAUCUAAGUAAUUCUCCAAAAUUAAUGUCUUGAAGCCGUCUCUUGACUAUUCUCUAUCUACUCCAUUGCCUACUUCUCUUCCUGACCAAUCCCAAUUCUGAAUCUGCCGUAACCAAAACAUCUUGACCAUCGAAGUCGCCAAAACUCUCCUGCAAAACCAUGAGUUGAUUGAGAAGUAUGCAAUUCUUGCUUUGUGAUAUAGCUAACCAUUUAAUCGUGUAAUAGGAUGUCUAUGUCAGAUUAUUCAAAUACCCAAUCAGGAUUGUUCUUGUUGAAUGAUAUAAUUUCAGCAAACGAUAGUACAUGAGAUUCAAUUAGGCCCUCAAGAUAAUCGUGUAAUAGGGAGAGCUUAAAUUCAGCCAGUAUUGCUACUGUCUCGGCCACAAAUGCUGUCUCAGCCAGUAUUGCUGGCUUCAACUUAUUCAGGGAGAAGAAGAAAACAUGCUAGCUAAGCUAAGCACAAUUAAUGGCCUAGAACUGGCAAUAUAACUUAUUUCAGUCAUCACUUGUCUAUCUUAAUGUGCGCAAAUCAUUCUCAAGAAUUGGAACCGUAUCAGAUCUAUUCAAAAGGUUGAAAAGGGAAUUCUUACCACACACAAUUUCUUUCCUUUGAGCUUGUUAGCACGAAAAAUCAUGCAGUGGAAGAUAUUAAAAGUUUACCUAACCAAUAAACAAGAAAUCACUCAGUAUAACUGUAUUAUUUUAGUCAAGUUACAUUUUUAGUAGCUUUAUUGGAGCCAAAUUAUCGUAGUUUUAUUGUUUAGAAAGUGAUAUUAUGUUUGAAAAUUUAUGGUAGCUGUGAAGAUUUGUUUACCAAGUCAUCUGAUAUAAAUAGGGAAUCUUGUUAUAAUCAUCAUUUAAUUGAGAAGUGAAGAGUAAAAGUUUGAUAGGCUUAUUUUGUUGUAUCAUUGAUAUAAUAUUUUUGACUUAUUUCUCUUCUUCUACACAUAUUUUUAUGUAUGUAAUUGUCUCCCUAUAUACAUUGAUCUUAGAAAUUUAUCCCUUAUAACUUUUUAGUAGAAUGUUUUGGGUUCCGCAUACUAGAUAUUGAUUUUUGAGGAUGCGGAGCAUAAAAAGUUUUGGGACAGUCUAAAUGUUGUUUUUCCAUUUGCAUUAUAGUUGAAGAUGGAAUUAGCCAUCUGCUUGUAUCUGCUUGUGCUCGUGGUUUAACUAGAUUUAUCCGCUGUGCAGAGAAAAAGUUUCUACCCUGUUAAUUAGGUAAACUAGUAAACCACAAAGAAAUGUUGUAGGAAAUUUACGGCAAAAUAAUAAAAUCUCAAAAGCUCCCCCUUUUCUUCCCUUUCUCCCUACCUCUCCUCCUUUCUCCUCCUCCUCUCCUCUCCCCCCUCCUGCUCCUUGUCCCCUUCCUUCUCUCCCCCUCUCCCUUCACCCCUCCCCCUCCCCCUCCCCCUUCCCCGCUGGCCUCACGACAGAGCACAAUAAUCAGAUCACAAACAACAAAAGAAAAAAAAGGUUCAAUUGCGGUCUACUAAUGCGCCAGACACAACACAAUAAAGAUGUUCAUGAAACAGCACACGUAUUAUCUAGAAUUCGGCAACAUAGAUGUCAUAGUUAUACAGCAAUCAAAGAUGCUAAUAUCAGAAGAUACAUCUCAGUUUUAUUUAUGUCGUGAAUAUUUCAUCUUCACAGAGGAGGUGGCUUCCUGAUCUUUGUGGCUUGCUCAAAGUCAUAUGCGAUCUCUAUCAGUUUUGGUUCCGAUCCUUUUAGCCCUCCAAAGGAAAUGCCAUAUGGGGUGCCGUCAGUGUCAUAACCUGCUGGAACAUUUAUUCCAGGGUAUCCUCCGGCGGAAAUAGCAGAUACAAUUGUGCUAAUAGGUGUCACUAAGGCGUCCAAUUUAUUUUCCUUCAUCAACUUCUCAAAUCCAUUUUUGGACGCUCU